RNAcentral lists this long non-coding RNA (121108 nucleotides) under Ananas comosus (pineapple). RNAcentral describes it as "long non-coding RNA (ACOM_LNC001113)". The record is from RNAcentral. Lineage: Eukaryota; Viridiplantae; Streptophyta; Magnoliopsida; Poales; Bromeliaceae.
CCGAGAGUAAAACUCUCAGGACUCAGCCAAAACUCUCGAGAUCGAACUUUUAGGCUGGUAUACCAUCGACGGCCCUCCACCAAGUGUGGAAAAGUUCGGAAUAUAAAUCAAAUACUCGAACCUCGCAAUUUGCAAAGGUCCAGUGUGCUACAAAGGGGGAGAUGAUAAGUUGGCUCAUGAUGAUGAUGAUGUCUGAUGAUGAUGAUGUCUUUUGAUGCAUUUAGCUUAGUUGUGUAAAUUUUGAUUAGAUGGUUGCUUAGGUGCUUGACUAUGAUGAACUAUGAACUAUGACUUGUUGCUUUGAUUGCUUUGACGUUUUAUCUUUUAUGAUAAGUAUGCUUGAAUCUUGAUUAUGUUUUAAGAAUAUUUUUGCAGAAAUAUUCAAGACUUCAAGACUCCAUGUCUAAGUCAUAGAGUCUGUAUUAAGGUUGUGAAAAAUGUAAUUUUCGUUUAUUGGAUCGAUCAUGCAGGAGAUUGUCGUUUGGUGAUUACGAUGAUCUUCUUUUUUUUAUUUCUGAGUUGUGUACGAGCUUUGUAGUAUAUUUUGUCACGAAAUCGCCAAAGGGGGAGAUUGUUAAGGAUUUUAUAGGUUGGCGGAUUUCGUAGAGUUGAAUGGAGUCUUGAAGAGUUGAUCGCGGAAGUUUGAAAAAAAGAUUCAAAUUGAAGAAUAAAGACUCAUUCGGAAAGCUCGGCACCUCAAGUAUGAAGAAUAGAUGAUUUAUGGUGAAGGUUUUUAAUUGUAAUAAGUUCAGAAGGCUUAGAUUGCUUUAAAACUCUUUUACUGAACUUUUAUGUGUUCUGGGACCGGUCUCCUGAGUUGAGAGACCGGUUCCCCUAAGGUCCUCACUGUGUGAAUGUUGAGGCAAUCGGUCCCCUGAGAUGAGAGACCGGUUCCCGAACAUUGGUAUUUCUAUCGCACAGUGAGGGACCGGUCUCUGGCUUGAGAGACCGGUUCCCGAACGUUGUGAUUUCUGUCACGCAACGAGGGACCGGUCUCUCACUUGAGAGACCGGUCUCUCACAGACCGGUCUCCUCGAGAGGACCGGUCUCUGAGGACGACACAUGUUUUUAAAAAGGACUUUUUGCAAUCCUAUUCUACUUCUAAGUCUUCUGAACAUAUAAAUAAGCCAAGGGGGUCAUCUUAAAGUUUAAGGCUUUGAAUUUCUACUCAUUCUAAACCCUAGAAACUUGUUUUUCCCGUUCCUAUGAUUCUAUUCCAAUAACAAGUUUCUAAUAAUCAACGAUCGACUUGAUUCUUCGUUUUUACUCGAGAACUUAUACGAGAAUCAAGUAGAUGUUUGAUUAAAAGGUAGACCCUCAUCGCUUAUGGGAUUCUAGGCUUAAUCACCACAAAUCUUCGAUUCUACAAGCUCCGGAAGGAGGUUCGGCGCGUGGAUCUCGCGUGUAGCCGAGGAUUCGGUGGACGCUUCGAGGAGUUGAGGCGUUGACGCUGCAAGGAGUUGCGGUGAGGUCAAUUGGAGGAUUCCUAUCGAUUGAGGACCGGCGAAGAUUCCCAUCAACGGGAAAUCGGUAAUUGAGUCGUGUAUUUUUGUCAAAAUCACUUGUACUCAAGUUUUCUUAGUGGAUUUUCUUCGCAUAAUCGGUCCCGUGGGUUUUUCACUCCGGUUUGGAGUUUUCCCACAUUAAAUUCUCGGUGUGCUGUUUUAUUUUCCGCUAUUUCGUUUUAUUUGCAUCGAGAUUUUUGAGUUUGCCGUUUUUACACUUAUUCACCCCCCUCUAGGUGUUACUUACCUUUUAGAUCCUCGGGAACCAUAUCUUAUAGUUUACUUAUGCUAAGUCUAAGUCCCACUAUCAUGCAAUUCCUAGGGUUCAACAACACAUGUCCAUCAUGGUUUCAUUUCUCUCUAUUUUCAAAUACCCUUGAAAUAAAUAUAAUGAAAACAACCAAAGUUCACAUGUGCAUUAACCCUAAUAUGCAUGAAGGACUAAACAACCAUAUGCUCAAGAAUAGAGAAAUAGACAUAGAAGGAAAUCCAACGAUUCCGGUGUGCACCCCCCACCUCUAAUGAUCGUGUGGGUGUGGAAUGUGAUGACUCCCGAGCGCUACGAAUGCCGGCUCCGCGUCCUAUAACCAAAUUAGUGCCUUAUUAGGCCUUUUACACACGAACUAUACUUAAAUAUUUUCGUUUCGUCAAACGGAGUUGUCUCACGCGUUUAGGACACCCCCAAUUAGAUUUCUACGAGGUCAAUUUGUCCCCGAAAAAUUCUAGGGCAAAAGCCCCAAAUUUGAGCCCUAACAAUGUCAUCUAGGGUUCCCUCAUGGAUUGAUCUCAACCCUAAGCAAAUAAUAGCUUAGAAUCAUCUAAGAAGCAUCCUACAAAGAUUUUUAAGCCUUUAGAACCAUCCCUAGGGCUCCUAACACAACUUCCAAGGGUUCACCAUGAGAGCACCUUGGGCUCUCAUGGGUACCAUGGCAUUCAUGGCUCAAAAGAGCCUCUAAAGGCCCUAAGGAGCACAAAGCUCCAAUUCUCUAAACCAAAAUCCAAACCCUAGAGAAAAACCUUACAAAACUUACCUCUAGCCCAAGCUCCACCAAGGUUCUUCUUGUUGGAGAGCUCCUAGAACCUCCAAAGCACCAAAUCCACCUUCUUCUCCAAGUUCUUCUUCUUCUUCUCCAAGCUCUAGAGGGGUUCUAGAGAGAGAAAGAGAGAAAAUGUGAGAGAAUGAGAGAAAUGGCUGUGGGAGUGAAGGGUUGAGCCAUAUAAAGUGUUGUGAUAAUUGCAUUUAAGCCCCUCCACUUGUUUCCCAUUGAUCUGCCCAGACUGGGCAUUUUUCGCUUUCGGGGACCGGUCUCCCCGACGAGGGACCGGUUCCCGAACGGGGGUUUUCCAGGACUUAGCCGAUUUUCGAGCUUUUUCAGCUGCUGCGCAACGAGGGACCAGUCUCUCUCCCAGGGACCGGUCUCCCGAGGACCGGUCUCACCACCAGGGAACGGAUGCCUCAGGAUUUCCUGGCAGGCUACGCGUACGGGGACCGGUCUCUCCUUCAGGGACUGGUCCCCGAGAGUACAAAAUCUGGGACUUAGCCAGAUUUUGAAAUCUCACUCUCUCGGGUCCCUUUGCACCAUAUAUAGGCUCCAAUACACCUAGGGCCUAUACCCACUCGUUCCGCUCCGCGUUCCGCUCGUUUUGACGGAACUCGGCACGAUUUACGAGGGAUGUGGUAUGUUACAGCUACCAUUCCGAACUCGCUUGGCACGAACGGCUCCAUAAAUAACAUCCACGGCAACAAUCCUUCCGAUAGCAACGGAAACCGACGAAUCAUCCAAACUUGCUUACCAAAGGUGGCUACUUAAUUCCUCAAUUGGCAUUGCAUCACAAUACCUCCACGUCAAUCUCACUUCACCACCCGGGUAGCGCUCUCAAAUCCUCUACUAUGAAUAUAGUCAUGGACCAAAGUUCAGAAGCUUCUCCAUUCCACUAAGGUCAUUCCCUUAGUCUCAACUCGAUGUCUCAAAUAAACUCUUCGUAAGCCUUAGCCAAGGGCUUAUCUUCGGUAGGAGAUCUCAUAACAUUAACCGCUCAGUUGCACAAGAAGCUCUACUCAAAAUUCUCAUCCUCAAUGCCUUCCUUAGCAUCGGAUGCUCCAGGUGUCCAUAGUCACCGAGCUCAUCUUGAGUGAUAGAAAGGGAUCAAUCCACAAUUCAAUAAUAGCUCUCUAUUAAUGUCAUCCUGAUGUGACCAUCAACCAAAUAUCAAUCCAAACAAUUCUCUCACGCAGUUUCCAUUCCCAAGAUUUUGAUUCCUGGUGCAUAAACCGGACAAGGAAAAAUAGCAACUUGGUAUUUUUCCCUCUCAAGUUUCCAACCACUCGAUCCAACAGUGAGAGUUUCACAUCUCGAUCAUGUCAAUCUGCCUCGUAGUCAAUCCUUGCAAAUCUUCAUCAGAAUACUCAUGGCCAUCCGCGACCGGUUUCACAAAUCCAUCCAGAGGGCUUGGACUUAUUAUUCAGCAAGUCCCUAACACUGGUGGAGUACCACGGGAUUAGGCAACAUCACAAGUGUCACACCCCGAGCUCCGCCAAUUUGGUCGGAUUCGAGCACGCGACAAACGCCGAACGGACAGUACCUCCCCUCUCCGCCCAAGGCUACAACAACAAGUAUAAUACAAGCAAGUCAACAAGGAGAAUUGCGAGAUAUACAAGGUUUACACGAGGGCAAAUAACAACCACAAGUGAAAGCAUCGAACUAAACAAAACAUCCUGUAUACAAGUCAUUUGAUUUCCUUUGAAUCAAACACAAGUAGUCAAAUACAUUUACACUCAUUACAUUAUUAUUGCAUUACCCAAAAUAUAAUUUACAUUACAUCACUUUUACUUUACAGUUUCAACAUACAAAAGUUGAAUACACCAAGAGUAGGGUAUGCCUAUACAACUCCGAGGCCGCUAUCUAUGGCGCGACUCCCUUGCCUCGAUCCUUCGCCGCCCCGCUCGCGUACGGAUCUGCAGGGUUAGUAGUAAUGAGAACUAGAACGAAGUUCCCAGUGGAUUCGGCCGCCGACCACGCCGAUUCGCCCACUAGGUCUAAUUCAGGCAUAUGUAUUUCAAUAAAGAAGAAUAACAAACCAACUAAUGCACUUUUAAUAUAAUGCCUGCACGAAAGCAAUCACAAAUAGAUAUUCAUAUUCAAAUACAUGAUAAUUAUGCAUGCAUGUCCUUUUUCACUUUCCUUGGCCUUUACCCAAUUCAACCUGGGGUGCUCCUGGUUUACCCCAACUCACAGUCCGCAUAUCCAUCUAACGGGGGAGGCACAAGGCACAACCACCCGAAGGAUCUUCGCCGGGCACGUCCACCCGUGGUGCAUUUCUUCUCCGGAGUACACCGCUCGUGGAGGAGCGACCUCGCACAAGCCGGAACCAAUACAUGUGAGUAUGAUCCCAUCCUCAAUUUGAGGAGGUAUGGCCAACCUGUCACAAUUCUCACUGUCUCAAUGCCGAUGAAUGGUUACUACCUAUUCAUGCACAUACUGUCACUUGCCAACGUCAUGGUGGUCCUGAUGCCACAAUACACAAGAUGUCACUCGGAUUAAACCUUGUUUAACUAUUCACUUAUCGAUGUCAAUCGAGUCACUAAUGUCAAUGUCGCCUUUGUUUACUAUGGUCACGGUCAUUUCUUACAUUCACAUGCAUAUAGGGUCUUUCACUUUUCUUUUUCACAUGGUUCUAUAUCACUACAAUGAUCUUACGCAGAUAAUUAUCACAACCAACAUGUACUGUUCAUUACAGUACAUGCAAGAAUGCUAUAAUAUCAACAUGCUCAAAGAAGGGACAUAGACAUAGAAAGAGAUCCGGUGUUUCCGGAUAGCACCCCCCACCUUUAUGUGUCACAAGGAUGCCGCGGUUCCGAUUUCACGAUUUUUGGACUCGUUCGCCGCGGGCUACGACGAUCUGUACUAUUUCAACUUGUUUUCUUAAUAUCUUCACGCACGCUCGUCGUAUCGCCGAACCGAGCGCACCGAUGCGUUCGUAAACCUACCAAUUAGGUUAAAAUGAGAUCAAACCCAAGUUUGAAUCUCAAAAUUACAAAACCCUAAAUAUAGGUCCCUUAACAAAGUUAUCUUCCCCAACAUAGGCCCCUACUCAUGGGAAACAUGGGGAAAAUACUCUAUUCCAUCUCCUAGGAGUAUAUUAGAAGGAAAAAUCCAAACUAUAACUCAAAACCCAUGAAAACUCACCUUGGGAGUCCAAAACUUUUCUUCAAAGCCUUGAUCCAGCUUGCUCUUCACCUUGGAGAGCUUCUUCUCCAAGCUUUUCUCCUCCAAACCGUCCUUGGUCCAAGCCCUAGAGAGAGAGGGAGAGAGAGAAGAGAGGUUUUUAGAGAGAGAGAGGGAAGGUUGUGUUUGGGUGUGAGGGAAUGAGAGCUAACCCUAACCCUUAGCUCUAUACAACAAUCUCAUGCAACAUUUGCACUUAAACCCCUCUCAAUUUCAUUUUUGCAACUAGCCCUUACUGGGCAUUUUCGGGUUCGGGGACCGGUCUCUCCCCUUCAGGGACCGGUUCCCGAGAGUUACCCUGCACUCUGCGCAGAAGGGGACCGGUCUCUUACCGAUGAAACCGGUCUCCGGGGACCGGUCUCUCACCUAGGGAUCGGUUCCCGAGAGCUUAAUUUCCAGGACUUAGCCGAUUUUUCCCUCUGCUUGGCUGAUCAACGUUCGGGAACCGGUCUCUCAUCCAAGGGACCGGUCCCUAAGAUUAAAAUUCUGAAAAUUUUCCAGAAUUGCAGUUUCACUCUCUCGGGUCCCUUUAUACUUUACAUAUAGGCUCCAAUGCACUUUUAGCCUAUAGUAACUCAUUCCUUUCNUUUCCCUCUGCUUGGCUGAUCAACGUUCGGGAACCGGUCUCUCAUCCAAGGGACCGGUCCCUAAGAUUAAAAUUCUGAAAAUUUUCCAGAAUUGCAGUUUCACUCUCUCGGGUCCCUUUAUACUUUACAUAUAGGCUCCAAUGCACUUUUAGCCUAUAGUAACUCAUUCCUUUCCGCGUUCCGCUCAUUUUGACGGAACUCGGCUCAACCUACGGGGAAGUGAUAUGUUACAUUCCCCACCCCUUAAAAUUGUUUCAGCCGCGAAACUAAAUCAUUCGUAAUUCAAAAUCCAUACCUCAACUUAGUUCCUCGAAGAGAUAAGGAUGACGCUCUCUCAUCGCGUCCUCAAGCUCCCACGUUUCUUCUCAGUCACAGUGUUCGCUCCAAUGGAUCUUAACACACGGAAUUUCUCGAUUCCGUAGCUUUCGCACUUCCCGAUCAACAAUGUACGCCGGGAACUCCUCGUAAGUCAUGUCCUCUUGAAGUUCUGUUGGUAUAUACGAGAGAACAUGCUCCGGAUUGUGAACAUACUUGCGGAGAUUAGAUACAUGAAACACAUCGUGCACCCCCGCAAGCCUCGGCGAUAAUGCUACUCUGUAGGCCACCGCGCCAACCCUUUCCAAGAUCUCAAAGGGUCCGACAAAUCGGGGACUCAACUUCCCCCAAACUCCAAACCUCUUAACACCGCGCAUCGGCGAUACCUUUAGAAACACGCGGUCUCCAACCGCGAACUCAAUGUCUCUCCUUCGCUUAUCGACAUAGAUCUUGUGCCUUGAUUGCGCUGUUGCUAAUCUUUGCCGGGCGAGACGAACCUUCUCCUCCGCCUCCCGAACAACUUCUGGGCCAAGAACAACUUUCUCGCCCACCUCGCUCCAAUGAACUGGCAGGCGACACUUCUUUCCAUAAAGGGCUUCGAAUGGCGCCAUUGCAAUACUUUCUUGGUAGCUAUUGUUGUAUGCAAACUCCGCCAUCGAUAAGUAAUCGCGCCACCCUCCACGAUAGUCAAGCACACAUGCUCGCAAUAUAUCCUCGAGUAUCUGAAUAGUUCUCUUAGAUUGUCCAUCACUCUAAGGAUGAAACGCCGUACUAAAAUCGAGCCGCGUGCCUAGAGCAUCCUGCAAGCUCCUCCAGAAAUGAGAAGUGAAUCGGGGGUCUCGAUCGGAUACAAUCGACACGGGAACCCCAUGCAGUCUCACUAUCUCGUCCAAGUAAACCUGGGCUAACCUGUCUCCUGACCACGUGGUGUGGAUUGGUAAAAAGUGAGCUGACUUCGUCAAACGGUCCACAACCACCCAUAUGGCGUCAUGUCCAGCUAGUGAUCGGGGCAGCCCGACCACAAAGUCCAUCGCGACAUUCUCCCACUUCCACACGGGGAUCGAUAAGCUUUGCAACUUCCCAGCGGGAAAACUACGCUCGGCUUUUACUUGUUGGCACGUCAAACACUGCGCCACGAAUUCUCCGAUAUCCUUCUUCAUACCCGGCCACCAAUAAUGCAAUUUCAGAUCCUUGUACAUCUUAGUGCCGCCCGGGUGAAUACUAUACAGGGAAUGAUGCGCCUCUUGCAACACCAUCUUACGAAUCUCAUCGUCCUUGGGUAUGCACAAUCGGUUUCGAAACCGAAGUGCACCGUCAGCUCCCACGCCGAAAUCACCAGCUUGCCCAUCACUAACAUCGGCCAGCACCUUUUGGAGAUGCGGAUCAUCAGCUUGCCGCUCCUUAACUUGCUCCAACAAGGUCGGUCGAACCACUAGUGCUGCCAAGAUAGUCGAAACUUCCGGCGCCACUACUUCCAACCCAAACCACUGCAUUUCCUUAUGUAAUGCCGGUUGACUAGUAAUCGUCGUCGCCAAGUUUUCAACAGACUUUCUACUCAGCGCAUCGGCCACCACGUUGGCUUUACCGGGGUGGUACAGGAUAGUUAGAUCAUAAUCUUUUAUCAACUUCAGCCACCGCCACUGCCGCAUGUUCAACUCUUUCUGGGUGAACAAAUACUUGAGGCUUUUGUGAUCGGUAUAUACCUCACAAUGUUCACCAUAGAGAUAAUGCCUCCAAAGUUUCAGCGCAAAAACAACCGCCGCUAGCUCGAGAUCGUGUGUCGGGUAGUUCUUCUCAUAGCUUUUCAACUGGCGCGAAGCAUACGCAAUGACUCGCCCAUUCUGCAUAAGAACACACCCGAGACCAGUAUAGGAAGCAUCACUAUACACCACGAAGCCCUCUCCCGGCGUUGGCAAAGCAAGUACCGGGGUAGACGUCAAUUUCUCCUUCAAUUCUUGGAAGCUUCGGUCGCAACCUUCGCUCCAGUCAAACCUUACUCCUUUAUGCGUGAGGUGUGUGAGAGGAGUAGUCAACUUCGCAAACCCCUCAACAAAGCACCUAUAAUAGCCUGCCAAUCCGAGGAAACUGCGGACUUCCGCCACAUUCGUUGGACGGGGCUAAUCUCGAAUCGCCUCAAUUUUCUUCAGAUCCACUGAGAUUCCACUCCCGGAUAUCACAUAGCCUAGGAAAGUCACCUCCGAAAGCCAGAAUUCGCACUUCUUGAGUUUAGCAUGAAGCUUCUCAUCUCGGAGUCUUUGCAACACGGUCCUUAGAUGUUCCUCGUGCUGUUCUUCACUCCGCGAAUAUGCCAACACGUCAUCGAUAAACACCACGACACACUUAUCCAACAACGGUCGGAAGACCCUAUUCAUCAAGUCCAUAAAUGCUGCUGGGGCAUUAGUAAGCCCAAACGGCAUCACCGUAAACUCGUAGUGGCCAUACCGCGUACGGUACGCCAUCUUAUGCACGUCCUUCGGUCGGAUUUUCAACUGAUGGUAUCCCGACUGAAGAUCUAUCUUCGAGUAUACCCGUGACCCCUGCAACUGAUCGAACAGGUCGUAUAUUCUCGGCAAUAGGUACUUGUUCUUGAUCGUCACCUUGUUCAACUCGCGAUAAUCAACGCAGAGUCGAAGGGUGCCGUCCUUUUUCUUCACAAACAACACCGGUGCUCCCCACGGGGACACACUUGGCCUCACGAAGCCCUUAUCGAGUAGGUCCUGCAACUGGGCCUUCAAUUCUUUAAGCUCCACCGGUGCCAUCCUAUAUGGAGCCUUCGAAACUGACGCCGCACCGGAAAUCAAGUCAAUGACGAACUCGACUUUCCGAUCCGGUGGUAGUCCCGGUAACUCCGCCGGAAACACGUCCGGGUACUCACACACCACCUGAAUAUUCUCCAACUCCGGGUGCUCCUUUUGAGGGUCCACGAUAGUCGCCAAGUAAGCCUUGCAACCGCCCUUGAUCAUCCUUUUUGCCCUCACCGUCGAUAUAGUCGCCGCAAAACGCGCGCCUUUACACGCCCGAUACUCAAAUUCUUCUUGACCAGGCUCACUAAAAGUGAUCACCCUACUGUCACAGUCGAUGCUGGCAUAAUACUUGGAGAGCCAAUUAACUCCCAAGAUGACAUCAAAUCCCCACAUCUGCUUGAGAACUAGCAAAUCCACCGGCAUGAUCCAGUCGCCGAUUUGAACCGGACAAGCUAGGCACUCGUCGUGGACUCUAAACGAGUGUUCUGGUGCGUUAACCCACCAAUAGUCAUAAUUGUGUUCUAUGUCCAUGCCAUGCGUCUUAGCAAACGAGGCAUCAAUGAAUGAAUGCGAUGCGCCCGUGUCAAAUAGUGCUCUUGCUCUAACGCCAUUAAUCAGAAUGAUACCUGCCACGACGUCGUCGGGUACAGCAGGCUGCUCCUCCACCUGAGUAGCGAAAACCUAUCCACUCGGUGCACGUGAUCCCUCCGGUUGUCGCGGUGAUGAAGUGCGCCCAGCCGACAUGGCAGGUGGCAGUCCUGCGAGCUGUCGUGGAGCAUACUGAGCCGAAGCAGCUGACGGAGCCGGUGACGCGCCGCCCGGGCAAUCCCAUCUCAUGUGUCCCGCUUGGCUGCAUCGAAAACACCUCCCGUCACACUGAGAAUAUUCACUCGGCCUAUGAUUCCCACCGCAAAUGACGCACGGGGAGGAACUCAUCUGACUCCUUGUCUGGCCUCUAUCUCGCCGCCAUUGCGAUCGAGGGUGCCGAGGGGGUCGCUUGGAACUCGACUGCCCCGCGGAACCACCAGCCGGUCACUUCUUAGAUUUCUUCCUAUCCUUGUCCCUUUCAAACGCCUCGCGUUCCUCAUGCGCAAUGGCGUUGCCGCGCUCUAUCCAUAGCGCACGAUCGAGCACCUCUUCUUAGGUCUUCAGCCGAAGCGCCUGAACAGUCUUAAAUAUCUCCGGCCGUAACCCACGCUCGAAGACCUCCGCCCGAUCUCGGUCACCAUGAACCAAACCGGGAACACAAUUAACCAAGUGCGAGAACUCCCUUUCAUACUCCCGCACCGUUCGUGUAAUAUACCGAAAAUUCGGAAAAUAAAAAAUAUCGAACUUUAGUCAAAUUGACCAAAGUGCGAGGAUGGAACACUUCGGAAAGUCCGAAGGUGUUAAAAUGAUUAAAAGUGAGUUGUGGAAGGUUUUCGAGAGCUAAAGAAUUGAAUUCUGCAAAGCUGCAGAUUUUCAGCUCUCGGGGACCGGUCCCUGAAGGGAGAGACCGGUCCCCGAACGCGUGCAGAAUGAGACAGCCGAAAAAUCGGCUAAGUCCAGGAAGGAUAGCUCUCGGGAACCGGUCUCUGCCUGAGAGACCGGUCCCCCAGAGACCGGUCCCCCUAGGAGAGACCGGAUGCAUCGCGCGCAGCAGCUCUGGCUGCGCUGGGAGAGCUCUCGGAGACCGGUCCCUAGUCGGGGAGACCGGUCCUCGAGCCCGAAAUCUGCCCAGACCAGGCAGUUGAAAUAGAUGAAAGUUGAGGGGUUUAUUAGCAUUUUUGCAACCCAAUGGAUAUGUUAGUGGGCUGAGGGACUUCCCCUCUCAUUCCACUCCCCCUCACACCCUCUCCUCUCUUUCUCUCUCUAGAAGACAAAGAAGGAGAAGAAAAAGAAGGAAAGAAAGGAAGGAAAAGAAUGAGAAGAAGGUGAAGAAGAAGCCUUUGGAGCAAAGAGGCUUCAUCCUCUUCCUCUCUAGUGCAAGUUAGGGAAAGCUUUAAGGUAAGCUUUUAACCCUAGUGUAGUAAAACCCUAGAAUGAGUUUUGAAUGACCUAGGAAUGGGUUUUAAUGGAAUGAUUAAAGAGUUUUGAAGCUUUCUUUUGCUUCUUUAGAGAUCAAAACCUAGGUUUGUUUAGAGGUGAGCUUGGACCACCUCUAAUGGUGAAAUCCAAACUAGGGUUUUGGAAAGGCUAAGAAUGGUUCUAAUGAACUAUUUAGAGUAUAAUGAAGCUAAUUUUGCUUCCCAAUGAGAUCAAACCCUAGGUUUUGUAUAUGCAUUGGAGCUAGGGCACCAAAUUGGGGCUUUUGCUCAUGAGGGUUUCUAAGUGCAAUUGACCCUCUAGAAACCUAAUUGGGGGUAUUUCCGACGCGUUGGUGCGCUCGGAAUAGCAUUUCGAAAAGUGUAUGAAAGGUUAUGGGCAAAAUGGCCUAAUAAGGGUUCGUUUUGCCGCAGGUAAAGAACGAAGCAUCUAAAAAUCCCAAGAAAAUCAUCGGGGCACCUUUGAAAGCCUACGAGGUGGGUGGUGCUUUCCAAACUCAUUGAAAUUCUCUCUAUGCCUAAUGUGUCAUUCCUUGAGCAUAUGUUCUAUAUAUUGUUGCAUGCAUUUUAGGGUAAAGUAAUGAUGAAAUGUGAUGAUUGCAUGAUUGUGAGCGCAACUUGCAUAAUGAGAUGGUUGAGAACCUAAUAAUGUCAAAACCCUAGAUGUAUGCAUGAGAGAAUAUGUGAGCACCCAAAGUGAGCAAAAGAACCGAGUGGCACAAUGACAUAGAUCGAGUGGCAUUUGAAAAUGUAAAGUAAAGAGACACUAGAGUUAGUGUGAUGCAAAGAACCAAUGUAAUGUAAAGAAUGAUCAAGAUAACAAUGUUAAAGUUAAAGUAAUGAGGGGAAUAAAGAAUAUAAUUGCUAGAGUUAGCAAAAGUAAAAGAAAAGUAAAGAAUGUGAUUGCAUGAGUUUGCAAUAUAAAGUGAUGUAAUGAACACUAGAGCUAGUGUAAAGUCAAGAUUGAACUUAUAAAUCCUUUGAGUUAAGGAUAUGAUCAUACUUGCUAUGAGUUCCGUGCUCGAGGGUGGUCGCUCCCCCUCGAGCGAUGCGCUCCGGAGUUAUGCAUCCGGGUUGGAGUAGACCCGUAAGGACGGUCCUAGCUGGUGAGUUCCUGCGAUGAUGGACUUAAUGUGAAGCAAGUUAAAGUGGCGAAACCCCCGGGCUAGCCUUAAUGAUUAAAGAACAAAGAGUAAAGAACAAAGUGUAAAGUGCAAAGAACUAAAGAACAUGCAUAACCUGCAUUUAUUUAAUGUUGAGCAUAUUUCUUGCUAUUUGUUCAGGCAUAUUAGCAUCAUGUUAUAGAUUGGUUACUAUAUCUUACUUAUCCUUUCUAUUAUGCCUGAGUUAGUCCUAGUGGGAAAGUCGGUGAUGUUGGGGCCGAACCCACUGGGAACUUUGUUGUAGUUCUCACCCCACUAUUUCCACAGAGCCGGGACCGAGCGAGCCGGCGAGCGACCGAGGUAAAGGUAUCGCGCCUUAGACAGAGGCCACCAAUGUUGGGUUCAUUUUGUAGUAAAGUACCUUAUGAUCAUAUUUUGUAUUUGAUGAUUAGUAAUAUAAAGAAAAGAAUGUAAAUCUUAUUUUGAGAUAAAUGUGAUGUAAGAAAGACAUGAUGAAAUGAUGUAAUGAAUGUAAGAGAUGGAUGCAAUGUAUAUGAUCUAAAAUGAAUCAUAAUACUUGUGAAUGUUUAGUUUCCUUUCUUUCACUAAUGGCUAUUGCUUACCUUCGUGUAAGCCGUUUGUGUAUGUUUCCGCUAGUGCACUUCUUAUUGAAAAUGUACAUGUGAUGAGCCUUGGGCGGAUAGGGGAAACUCUGUCCGUUCGGCGUCUGUUUGACGUGCUCGGGUCGGGCCAAAUUGGCAUCGGUCCCGGGGCGUGACAGUUCGGCUUCCUUGUCUUAACUUGCGAAAGUCCUCCUUAAUCUUCCACUUGUCACUUUCCGGAAAGUACUCCAUCAGUAGAAUCUCCCGGAAUGCCUCCCAAGUCAUAGUACCCGGAUCCAAGGACCGACCAUUCUUUACUCUCGUCCACCACGAUCGAGCCGGCCCCUCUAAACAGUGAGCCGCCAACCGAACCUUGUCCUUCUCGAGGGUGUAGAUAUCCUCGAAUAAUGCCUCUAUCGCAGAAAGCCACGCCUUCAUCAACCAUGGGUCUUUCACAUCACCCAAAAAAGUCGGAGGAUUAAACCGUUUGAAGGCUGUCAACACCACGAACGCCCGCUCCUGCCGACCUCAAGUACCUCCAAAAUAGGGGCCGAAGAACCUGAAGCUGCCGGCGGGUCCUGAGGUACAGGUGCAGCCGCCGCCGCCUGUCGAGCCACCAAGUCAUGGAGUUGCCCUAUCUACUCCUUCUGUUGUCGCAUAGCCCCAGCCAGAGCUGCUACUUGGGCCCGCAACUCGCGAACUUCGUCAGAUCCAACCUGCUCUCGCACCUCAUCAGGCGAUGCCGGAGUGGUCCGACGCGUAUAUCGUCUCGGUGACAUCUGUCCUGAAACGAAACACACGCGUUAAUAACCUACAUCCGAGACUCUUACUCAUUCCAAAUAACUACCCAAUCAUGUGAAAGCAAUCAAGUACGCUCGUUUUCUACUUUCGGCAUUAUGUAGUCGUCCGCCCCACAUAAUACCUUGAAAGAAAACAAACAUUCCCUUGAAUCCAUCUCUAUCUCCAUUUAGAGAAGUUCUGCUCAUAACCCAAUCAAUUUGCCUUCGCCAAUCCAAGUCCACGUUACACGUGUCCUAAUUCCUAGGGUCUCCAAUCCUAAGGUCCCUAAGUCCAUCCUAGACUUUUGCUUUCACAUCGCUCUGAUACCACCAUAUCUGUCACGCCCCGAGCUUCGCCAAUUUGGUCGGAUUCGAGCACGCGACAGACGCCGAACGGACAGUACCUCCCCUGUACGCCCAAGGCUCCAACAACAAGUAUAAUACAAGCAAGUCAACAAGGAAAAUUGCGAGAUAUACAAGGUUUACACGAGGGCAAACAAUAGCCACAAGUGAAAGCAUCAAACUAAACAAAACAUCCUGUAUACAAGUCAUUUGAUUUCCUUUGAAUCAAACACAAGUAGUCAAAUACAUUUACACUCAUUACAUUAUUCUUGCAUUACCCAAAAUAUAAUUUACAUUACAUCACUUUUACUUUACAGUUUCAACAUACAAAAGUUGAAUACACCAAGAGUAGGGUAUGCCUAUACAACUCCGAGGCCGCUAUCUAUGGCGCGACUCCCUUGCCUCGAUCCUCCGUCGCCCUGCUCGCGUACGGAUCUGCAGGGUUAGUGGUAAUGAGAACUAGAACGAAGUUCCCAGUGGGUUCGGCCGCCGACCACGCCGAUUCACCCACUAGGUCUAAUUCAGGCAUAUGUAUUUCAAUAAAGAAGAAUAACAAACCAACUAAUGCACUUCUAAUAAAAUGCCUGCAUGAAAGCAAUCACAAAUAGAUAUUCAUAUUCAAAUACAUGAUAAUUAUGCAUGCAUGUCCUUUUUCACUUUCCUUGGCCUUUACCCAAUUCAACCUGGGGUGCUCUUGGUUUACCCGAACUCACAGUUCGCAUAUCCAUCUAACGGGGGAGGCACAAGGCACAACCACCCGAAGGAUCUUCGUCGGGCACGUCCACCCGUGAUGCAUUUCUUCUCCGGAGUACACCGCUCAUGGAGGAGCGACCUCGCACAAUCCGGAACCAAUACAUGUGAGUAUGAUCCCAUCCUCAAUUUGAGGAGGUAUGGCCAACCUGUCACAAUUCUCACUGUCUCAAUGCCGAUGAAUGGUUACUACCUAUUCAUGCACAUACUGUCACUUGCCAAUGUCAUGGUGGUCCUGAUGCCACAAUACACAAGAUGUCACUCAGGUUAAACCUUGUUUAACUAUUCACUUAUCGAUGUCAAUCGAGUCACUAAUGUCAAUGUCGCCUUUGUUUACUACGGUCACGGUCAUUUCUUACAUUCACAUGCAUAUAGGGUCUUUCACUUUCCUUUUUCACAUGGUUCUAUAUCACUACAAUGAUCUUACGCAGAUAAUUGUCACAACCAACAUGUACUGUUCAUUACCCUACAUGCAAGAAUGCUAUAAUAUCAACAUGCUCAAAGAAGGGACAUAAACAUAGAAAGAGAUCCGGUGUUUCCGGAUAGCACCCCCUACCUUUAUGUGUCACAAGGAUGCCGUGGUUCCGAUUUCACGAUUUUUGGACUCGUUCGCCGCGAGCUACGACGAUCUGUACUAUUUCAACUUGUUUUCUUAAUAUCUUCCCGCACGCUCGUCGUAUCGCCGAACCGAGCACACCGAUGCGUUCGUAGACCUACCAAUUAGGUUAAAAUGAGAUCAAACCCAAGUUUGAACCUCAAAAUUACAAAACCCUAAAUAUAGAUCCCUUAACAAAGUCAUCUUCCCCAACAUAGGCCCCUACUCAUGGGAAACAUAGGGGAAAUACUCUAAUCCAUCUCCUAGAAGUAUACUAGAAGGAAAAAUCCAAACUAUAACUCAAAACCCAUGAGAACUCACCUUGGGAGUCCAAAACUUUCCUUCAAAGCCUUGAUCCAGCUUGCUCUUCACCUUGGAGAGCUUCUUCUCCAAGCUUUUCUCCUCCAAACCGUCCUUGGUCCAAGCCCUAGAGAGAGAGGGAGAGAGAGAGGAGAGGUUUUUAGAGAGAGAGAGGGAAGGUUGUGUUUGGGUGUGAGGGAAUGAGAGCUAACCCUAACCCUUAGCUCUAUACAACAAUCUCAUGCAACAUUUGCACUUAAACCCCUCUCAAUUUCAUUUUUGCAACUAGCCCUUACUGGGCAUUUUCGGGUUCGGGGACCGGUCUCUUCCCUUCAGGGACCGGUUCCUGAGAGCUACCCUGCACUCUGCACAGAAGGGGACCGGUCUCUUCCCGAUGAAACCGGUCUCCGGGGACCGGUCUCUCACCUAGGGACCGGUUCCCGAGAGCUCAAUUUCUAGGACUUAGCCGAUUUUUCCCUCUGCUUGGCUGAUCAACGUUCGGGAAUCGGUCUCUCAUCCAAGGGACCGGUCCCUGAGAGUAAAAUUCUGGGAAUUUUCCAGAAUUGCAGUUUCACUCUCUCGGGUCCCUUUAUACUUUACAUAUAGGCUCCAAUGCACUUUUAGCCUAUAGUAACUCAUUCCUUUCCGCGUUCCGCUCAUUUUGACGGAACUCGGCUCAACCUACGGGAAAGUGAUAUGUUACAACAAGAACCCUCGUGAUGUCCCAACCUAGCAUCAAAUCUGCUUGAGGCAUAACUUCAAACUCCAACUCAAACGGUUGUAUUCAGAUUGAAUCACAAUCUUAUCGAGUACGCUAACCACCCAAGGCUAUUUGAAUAGAUCAAUGAGCCUCUACAGCGGUCCAAACGCUAAUCUUGGUUCGAUUUAGAUCACGACAGCCGACAUACAGUCGAAAUGGCCCAUCCAGUCCCACAGUAGGUGGGGGUGCUUCUCCACGAAGCAAAACACUAGGUACAAGAACCUCUCUGCCAAUCGAGCUCACAAUUUGUGACUCAGGCGGCUAAACAACGACAACUCGGAAGAUAUCCUCCACUACGAGGAUUCUCGAUCAACAAAUGCUUUCGGCCAACUAGGCCCCAAAUCCACUCCAAAUACCCAAUUUUGGGUAGAGAGACAGUCGUUGAAACUAGCGAAACUAAAUCCUCAAAUCGCACUAUUUCGUGCUCAAAACCUCAAGGCGAGUCAAGUCAGCUCGCAAGACCAAGGGUACCAGGUACCCACAAUAAUUGCACACCAAAUAAGGCCAACUAAUCAUUGGCGCAGAAAACCCUCUCACAGGGUAAGGCGUUCAAAAUGAUACACCCGAUCAUCCGAUCAUCCUAUAUGCAUCGAAAAUGAUCAACGCUAACAAUCCUCGGGUUGGGUCACUACACACUCGGUGUAUCCUCGAUCUCACGAUCCAAUAUGUGGCAUUCCACGCUCCAAGGUCAAAGCUCGGACUACCGUCCUGACCAAACUCUGCCCUACCCGUAGGUACCGGGCCGCUGUCACACACAGCUGACUGCGCCUGCCCAAAGGGCCCAGGCUCCACAGUGCACAAACGGUCCAGGCACGGUCGUCCCCAAGCACCAUCCGGCGAGCAGCUGAUCAAGGGGUGCAAACAAUGCAAGAAUCGUGAGAUUUACAAGCAUAGCAAAACAUGCUACCCACAACCCGCAAAUCAACCGCCUAGCUCGAGAGGAGCCGCUCAACAUCGUAAACAGCGAACUAACGGAAUGCCAUGCAACUCGGCAAAUAGCCGAUCAAAGUAUGGAUGCAUAACAAACAAUGCACAAUUCGAAUGCCACAAAACAAACUAAUACCUGAAGCCACAAUCCUAGCUGCUGCCGCCUCCUCAAUCUCGGCCGCAUACAUGCGCCCGCUCAGGGCCUGUCGUGACCCCUCCAUCUAUCUCUGGACAGGUGGCCUCCCUGCCUGAUAGUGAGCAGAAGGCGUCCCCUGGCGGGGACCCGGUAAAGCUGGUGCCGAUGCUGAAGAUGGCGCUGGUACUGAGCCCCUCAGGCAGUCCGACUGGAAGUGGCCCUCCUGGCCACACAAGUAGCACCUGCCCCGCCCUUGCGAGCACUGCCGUGGGUAAUGACGACUACCGCAGAUCACGCAGCUCAGAGUCUAGCGACGCUCAGAUCCUCCCUGCUAUGCAGAUGUGCCCCGUCCUCGUGACUGGCUCCUAUUUCUGGGAUGUCUCGGCGGCCUCCAAGAGUGAGUCUGACUCGCACCCUCAGCCGCGGGCCGCUUGCCCUUUCCUUUGUACGAGCCUUCUCGACGCUCCUGCAAGUCCACCGCGCCAGUCUCCAUGAUGAGCGCGUAGUUUACCACAUCUCGGUAAGUCUGAAGGUUGGAGGAUUGCACCAACCAAAAGAUCGACGGUCGAAGUCCUCGCUCAAAGAUGUGGGCCUUGUCCUCGUCGUCCUGCACAACGAAGGGCACACAGUGUAGAAGCCGAGAAAACUCCCUCUCGUACUCAGCCACGGUUCGAUCCCGCUGGCGCAUCUCGCGCAGAUCCUGCUCCAUCUUCCUCUUAACACUGAUAGAAAAGUAAUGCUACAAUAAGAGUUCUUUUAACCUCUUCCAAGAAAUUACUGCUAGGUCGGUGUUGGGAUUGUCCUGUAUACCCAACCACCAGCUAUAGGCCUCGCCGUCCAAAUGGUGAGUGGCGAGCCAAACUCUGUCUCUCUCCUCCACGAAAGUGUCGUGGAACAAUUUCUCCAUGUGCAUCAACCACUUCUCAACGAUCCAGUGGUCGGCUUUCUCUCCAUCAAAAAUCCUGGGAUCGCACCUCCUGGACUCGUUGAGGCGAUCCGUGAGCCGUUAUCGCUCUGCUCCCUCAACCAUCACGGGAAAAACCGCCGUGCCACAGGCACCUGGGCUGGUGGUGCCGCAAAUACCUCCUCCCGAGGUGCUACCGCAGGUGCCGUCCGCGAAGUGUCGAGUGCAGGGGACGACCCCCUCGGUGCAACCACCUCUACCUGCGCUGGUGGUGUAGGAACCUGAGCCCCCCUGGCAGCCGCCUGCUGUAGUAGAAGGUCCUCUAGGCGCUGCAUUCGUGCCUCCUGCCGGCGCGCCGCAUCUGCCUCCUGCCGAGUUAUACAGUAGGUAGAACAUAACUAAACAAUAAAAGCAAAGCAUAAAGUUAUACAGUAUCCAUCUCAAAAGUACAAAAAGGGGUGGUCUCUACAAAUAGUACAAAUCUCUCAACCUCUCCAAAAAGAAACAAAAGAGAGGUGGACCACCUAUCCAAUAAUCCCUCGCUAGCUAGCCCGAGGCGAUUCCUUUUCCGCAAUCCCGAGCCUCUCCCGGAGUGGAAGGCUUUGAAAGAAAACAUAAAACAGGGGGCAUGAGAACUAUAAUUUAUAGUUCCCAGUAGGCAAUUACUAACCUUAGCAAAAUGCACCACUAGGCCCAAGUCAUGAGCAUAUAUAGAAAAUGAAAUAACAACUACGGAAAUAAAAGCAUAUAAUGAAAUGCUAUACUACUAUACCACAGGUAUACAUGAUAUGAAUAUGGAGUACAUCUACUCUAUCAUGAAUCUAAUAUGCCGAUACAUAACAAGUAUGCUCUAUCAUGACUACCAAGUAAGCUGUGAUGCAACAAGUAAUACUAUCAAGUAUACAAUAUGUCCCAAAAUUCAAUACAUAUCUAAUAUGUACUAUCAUAGCAACUAAGGGUACCACAAAUCCCAAUGUCAGCUAAAUCCAACUACGAUAUACUAUCAAGUAGUGAUUGUCAUUUAAUUGAUUAAGGUUCAUCAUUCAAUCUCAUCCAGAACCAACACAUGUGUAGUCCAACUUGUGCCGCCUAGCUGCCGGUGGUAGCUCCAACGUCCCCCCUCGAGGAAUGAGACUGUCCCACGCGACCCUACAGGUGCCUCACCGCCUAGCUGCCCGUGGUAGCUCGUCAUCCCACUUUGGAAUGAGACUGUCCCACGCGACCCUACAGGCGUCUCAAUCCCGCACGCGCGAACUAUGUCGCAAAAGGCCAACUCCGGAGUGCCGGCUUGUAGGGAGCGACCCUCACAAGUAUGUGCGAAUGAGCACAAAUGGCAAGUAAUCAUAGUCAUCAUAUCACGGAUCUCGUCAUCAUGUCUCUAACAUAGAAUAGCAACUCAACAGUCAUCAUGUCUCUAACAUGGAAAUACUCACUAGUAACCCCGAGGGUCUAGUCUAUGCCUCAAGUGAAGGUUUACUAAGUUCACUAUGUCCAAUGCCUCUUUAUGGCAUUAUCUCACCAUGCCCCAAAACCAUCCCAAGCCUAAUGCCGCUUUAUGACAUUAGCUUACCAAGUCCAAUCUCUAGUCCCAGCCUAAUGCCGUUUUAUGACAUUAGCUUACUACUUACAUACACUCUAACCUAUGUCACUUAAUGACAAUAUGCCCAACAAUGCCAGGCAUGCGUUCCAAGUCCAAGAGUGUAACCUAUAUGUCAUAUGCACUACAUGCAACAUGAUCUCAAUCAAAUGUAAGAAUGCUAAUGUAACAUAUCACUUCCCCGUAAGUCGUGCCGAGUUCCGUCGAAAUGGGCGGGACGCGGAAAGGAAUGAGCUACUAUAGGCUAGAAGUGCAUUGGAGCCUAUAUGUAGGGUAUGGAGGGACCCGAGAGAGUGAAACUGCAAUCCUGGAGAAUUUCCAGAAUUUUUGCUCUCGGGGACCGGUCCCUUGGGUGAGAGACUAGUUCCCGAACGUUGAUCAGUCGAGCAGAGGAAAAAAUCGGCUAAGUCCUGGAAAUUGAGUUCUCGGGAACCGGUCCUUCGACGGGAGACCGGUCCCGGGAGACCGGUUGCAUCGAGGAGAGACCGGUCCCCUAUUGUGCAGAAUGCAGGAUAGCUCUCGGGAACCGGUCCCUGAAGGGAGAGACCGGUCCCCGAGCCCGAAAUUGCCCAGUGAGGGUUGUUUGCAAAAGUGAAAAGUUGAGGGGUUUAAAUGCAAAUAUGGCAUGAGAGGGGUUAUAUGUGAGUGUGGGUUAGGGUGGCUUCAUUUCCCUCACCCUAACACUCAAACCUUUCCCUCUCUCUCUCUAAAAUCCUUCUCUUUUCUCUCUCCUUCUCUCUAGAUCUUGAGCAAAGGGAGGGGAUUUGGAGGAGCAAGCUUGGAGAAGAAGCUCUCUAAGGUGUAGAGCAAGCUAGGCAAGGUUUUUGAAGGAAAGCUGUCACGCCCCGGGACCGAUGCCAAUUUGGCCCGACCCGAGCACGUCAAACAGACGCCGAACGGACAGAGUUUCCCCUAUCCGCCCAAGGCUCAUCACAUGUACAAAUUCAAUAAGAAGUGCACUAGCGGAAACAUACACAAACGGCUUACACGAGGGUAAGCAAUAGCCAUUAGUGAAAGAAAAAGGAAACUACACAUUCACAAGUAACAUGAUUCAUUUUGGAUCAUAUACAUUGCAUCCAUCUCUUACAUUUAUCGAAUUCUUACAUUCAUUACAUCAUUUCAUCAUGUCUUUUUUUACAUCACAUUUUCCUCAAAAUGAGCUUUACAUUCUUUUCUUUACAUUACUAUCAUCAAAUACAAAAGAUGAUCAUAAGGUACUUUACUAACAAAAUAUAACCCAACUUUGGUGGCCUCUGACUAAGGCGCGAUACCUUUACCGCGGUCACUCGCCGGCUCGCUCGGUCCCGGCUCUGUGGAAAUAGUGGGGUGAGAACUACAACAAAGUUCCCAGUGGGUUCGGCCCCAACAUCACCGACUUUCCCACUAGGACUAACUCAGGCAUAAUAGAAAGGAUAAGUAGGAUAUAGUAACCAAUCUAUAACAUUAUGCUAAUAUGCCUGAACAAAUAGCAAGAAAUAUGCUCAACAUUAAAUAGAUGCAGGUUAUGCAUGUUCUUUCGUUCUUUACACUUUACACUUUGUUCUUUGUUCUUUGUUCUUUAAUCAUUAAGGCUAGCCCGNNNNNNNNNNNNNNNNNNNNNNNNNNNNNNNNNNNNNNNNNNNNNNNNNNNNNNNNNNNNNNNNNNNNNNNNNNNNNNNNNNNNNNNNNNNNNNNNNNNNNNNNNNNNNNNNNNNNNNNNNNNNNNNNNNNNNNNNNNNNNNNNNNNNNNNNNNNNNNNNNNNNNNNNNNNNNNNNNNNNNNNNNNNNNNNNNNNNNNNNNNNNNNNNNNNNNNNNNNNNNNNNNNNNNNNNNNNNNNNNNNNNNNNNNNNNNNNNNNNNNNNNNNNNNNNNNNNNNNNNNNNNNNNNNNNNNNNNNNNNNNNNNNNNNNNNNNNNNNNNNNNNNNNNNNNNNNNNNNNNNNNNNNNNNNNNNNNNNNNNNNNNNNNNNNNNNNNNNNNNNNNNNNNNNNNNNNNNNNNNNNNNNNNNNNNNNNNNNNNNNNNNNNNNNNNNNNNNNNNNNNNNNNNNNNNNNNNNNNNNNNNNNNNNNNNNNNNNNNNNNNNNNNNNNNNNNNNNNNNNNNNNNNNNNNNNNNNNNNNNNNNNNNNNNNNNNNNNNNNNNNNNNNNNNNNNNNNNNNNNNNNNNNNNNNNNNNNNNNNNNNNNNNNNNNNNNNNNNNNNNNNNNNNNNNNNNNNNNNNNNNNNNNNNNNNNNNNNNNNNNNNNNNNNNNNNNNNNNNNNNNNNNNNNNNNNNNNNNNNNNNNNNNNNNNNNNNNNNNNNNNNNNNNNNNNNNNNNNNNNNNNNNNNNNNNNNNNNNNNNNNNNNNNNNNNNNNNNNNNNNNNNNNNNNNNNNNNNNNNNNNNNNNNNNNNNNNNNNNNNNNNNNNNNNNNNNNNNNNNNNNNNNNNNNNNNNNNNNNNNGCAUAUACAAAACCUAGGGUUUGAUCUCAUUAGGAAGCAAAAGUAGCUUCAUUACACUCUAAAUAGUCCAUUAGAACCAUUCUUAGCCUUUCCAAAUCCCUAGUUUGGAUUUCACCAUUACAGGUGGCCCAAGCUCACCUAUAUAGCAAAACUAGGUUUUGAUCUCUUUAGAAGCAAAAGAAAGCUUCAAAACUCUUUAAUCAUUCCAUUAAAACCCAUUUCUAAGUCAUUCAAAACUCAUUCUAGGGUUUUACUACACUUGGGAUCAAAGCUUACCUCAAAGCUUUCCCAAGGUUGCUCCAAGGAGGAAGGAGAAGAGGUAAGCUUGCUACUUGAUCUUCUUCUUCACCUUCUUUUCCUUCUUUCUUCCUUUCUUCUUCUUCUCCUUCUUUGUCUUCUAGAGAGAGAAAGAGAUGAGAGGGUGUGAGAGGGAGUGGAAUGAGAGGGGAAGUCCCUCAGCCCACUAACAUACCCAUUGGGUUGCAAAAAUGCUAAUAAACCCCUCAACUUUCAUCUAUUUCAACUGCCUGGUUUGGGCAGAUUUCGGGCUCGGGGACCGGUCUCCCCGACUAGGGACCGGUCUCCGAGAGCUCUCCCAGCGCAGCCAGAGCUGCUGCGCGCGAUGCAUUCGGUCUCUCCUAGGGGGACCGGUCUCUGGGGGACCGGUCUCUGAGGCAGAGACCGGUUCCCGAGAGCCAUCCUUCCAGGACUUAGCCGAUUUUUCGGCUGCCUCAUUCUGCACGCGUUCGGGGACCGGUCUCUCCCUUCAGGGACCGGUCCCCGAGAGCUGAAAUUCUGCAGUUUUGCAGAAUUCAAUUCUUUAGCUCUCGAAAACCUCCCGUAACUCACUUUUACUCAUUUUAACACCUUCGGACUUUCCGAAGUGUACCGUCCUCGCACUUUGGUCAAUUUGACUAAAGUUUGACUUUUAUUUUCCGAAUUUUCGGUAUAUUACAAAAGCUUUGGACUCCAAAGGUGAGUUCUCAUGGGUUUUGCGCUAGGGUUUGGAUUUUUCCUUCUAGUAUACUUCUAAGAGAUGGAUUAGAGUAUUUCCCCCAAGUUUCUCAUGAGUAGGGACCUAUGUUGGGGAAGAUAACUUUGUACAAGGACCUAUAUUUAGGGUUUUGUGAUUUUGAGGUUCAAACUUGAAUUUGAUCUCAUUUUAACCUAAUUGGUAGGUCAACGAACGCAUCGGUGUGCUCGGUUCGGCGAUACGACGAGCGUGCACAAAGAUAUUGGAAAAAGAAGCAGAAAUAGUACAGAUUGUCGUAGCUCGCGGCGAACAAGUCUAAAAAUCGUGAAAUCUAAUCUACGGCAUCCUUGUGGCACAUCAAGGUAGGGGGGUGCUAUCCGGAAACACCGGAUCUCUUUCUAUGUCUAUGUCCCCCUUUUGAACAUGUUGGUAUUAUAGCAUUCUUGCAUGUAGGGUAAUGAAUAGUAUGUGUUGGUUGUAACAAUUAUCUGCGUAAGAUUAUUGUAAUAAUAUAGAACCAUGUAAAUAAAGAUAGCGAAAGACCCUAUAUGCAUGUGAAUAUGAGAAAUGACUGUGACCAUAGUAAACAAAGGCGACAUUGACCUUAGUGACUCGAUUGGCAUCUAAAAGAGAAUAGUUAAACAAGGUUUAACCCAAGUGACAUUAUGUGUACUGUGACAUUAUGUGUACUGUGACAUCAGGACCACCAUGACAUUGGCAAAUAAUAGUAUGUGCAUGAAUAGGUAUUGACCAUUCAUCAGCAUUGAGACAGUGAGAAUUGUGACAGGUUGGCCAUACCUCCUCAAAUUUGAGGAUGGGAUCAUACUCACAUGUAUUGGUCCGGCUUGUGAGAGGUCGCUCCUCCACGAGCGGUGUACUCCGGAGAAGAAAAGCACCCCGGGUGGACGUGCCCGGCGAAGAUCCUUCGGGUGGUUGUGCCUUGUGCCUCCCCCGUUAGACGGGAUAUGUGGACUGUGAGUUGGGGUAAACCAGGAGCACCCCAGGUUGAUUGGGUAAAAGCCAAAGGAAAGUGUGUGGACUGUGAGUUGGGGUAAACCAGGAGCACCCCAGGUUGAUUGGGUACGGGCCAAAGGAAAGUGAAAAGGACAUGCAUACAUAAUAAUCAUGUAUUUGAAUAUGAAUAUCUAUCUGUGGAUCGUUUUCAUGCAGGUAUUGUAUUAGAACCCACUGGGAACUUCGUUCUAGUUCUCAUUACCACUAACCCUGCAGAUCCGUACGCGAGCGGGGCGGCGGAGGAUCGAGGCAAGGGGGUCGCGUCGUAGAUAGCGGCCUCGGAGUUAUAGAGGCAUACCCUACAUUCGGUGUACUCAACUUUUGUAUGUUGAAAUAGUAAGGUGGAAAUGAUGUAAUGUAAAGACGAUGUAAAUUGUAUUUUGGCUAAAGAAAAUCGUAAUGUAAAUGAAUGUGAUAGACUACUUGUGUUUGAUUUAAAUGAAAUCAAAUGACAUGUAUAUUGGAUGAUUAGUUAGUUUUAAGGCUUUCACUGUGGUUGUUGUUUGCCCUCGUGCAAACCUUGUAUAUCUCGCAAUUCCCUUUUGACUUGCUUGUAAUAUACUUAUUGUGGAGCCUUGGGCGGACAGGAGAGGUACUGUCCGUUCGACGUCUGUCAUGAGCUCGAAUCCGACCAAAUUGGCGGAACUCGGGGCCUGACAGCUAACCAUAUGCAAGGUUCCAAUAUGAACAGUUCUCUACUACAUAGAGGUCCAAUGUACUUUAUACAUAACAUGCAUAUAUUAAGCAUUCUAAAAUUCUCAAAUAUUCUAUCUAGUAAGAAUAUGCAUGCAUUUUCAUUUUACGAAAAGUAAAACCCAUUAUAAGGAUGAUUUAUCCCAUUUUGGUGAUGCCAAACCCACCGAGAGUUUCACACGGCGUUCGUUUGCGCCGACGAAGGUGCCCACAAGCUUCCUAGCCCCCUAAAGGUUAAAGUAGGAGCGAUACACAAACGUUACGAACAACGAAUAGGUUAAACAUUAACCAACACAACAUAAGGCUAAAAACUCACCGAAUGCGAAGGGUGCUCUUUCGAUCUCCAAACAGGAGUAAGAGCCCUUCCAAACCAAUCUACACGAAGGUUCUAAACCCAUCAAUUGGGCUCCAAAAGCCCUAAAUCAAAAAUCCCCAAAUCAAACCCUAAUUCCUCAUUUCUAGGGUUUCUAAACAAAAAUCAAGUAAAACAUGAAUCUAAUGAGAGAAACAUGUUACCAACCUUUAUAGAAGCUCCCAACUAGGCUAGAAGUCAACUAGGGUUGAAGAUCUCUCCUUCAACAAGCUCAACUCCAAGCCUCAAGCUUUCUCCCAUGGUGGAAAUAGCACCAAGUAGUAAAAAGGAGCAAAAAGAGAGGAUUAAAUCUCGAAAAAUCCCAACAAAAACAAAGAAAAUCAAAGAGGGAGAAUAGAGAGCUCCUUUACCUUCCUCUCCACUGGUUCCAAGCUCAAGGAACACCAGGGGGCGUGGGAUACUAAUAUAAAGAAGCUACAAUCGCAAAAACACCCCUGCAGUUCAAGCAGUCUGCAGACUGCACUGCGUACCGGUACACGGGGUCGUGUACCGGUACACACCCCACGAAAAUGCCAAACCUGAGCCUCGGGUUGGCUGAGAAGCUACUUGUGUACCGGUACACGGCCCCGCGUAUCGGUACAACCAUCACCCCGUACCGGUACAGCCAUCAACCCUGUACCGGUACACAGCCUGCUGAAGGCUACCCGAGAGCACACCAAUCAUCCAACUUUUUGGGUUUUGGUGCAAAGUUUUAAACCGCAAAUCUCGGGAUACGAGUCAUAGGUCGAAACAUUGUCGACGACCCUCCAGAAUAUCUGAAAAAAACUCGGAACACAGAUCAAACACUCGAACCUUGCCAUUUGCGAAAGUCGAGUGUGCUACAUUCUCCCCUCCUAAAAAGGAGUUUCGUCCGCGAAACUACGGGUCAACCACACAACAAACCCAUCUGAAGAGGAUGGAUGAAGCGCUCCAGCAGCGCCCCAAACAAACCAUGGAGGUCUCAAGUGUGCCGGAAAACUCCAAGGCACAAACACAACAAGAUCUCGCGACGCCAAGGCUUGGCAUAACACAACCCAAACUUCCGCAAAAGCUCUUUGAACUCAAGCCUUCACUGGAAGUUCCAUCUCCAAUCCACACUUGUUCAACAAGUCCAUCAGUUGGUCCUCACGAACUCAAGUGUUUCCAAAAGCUGAAUUCUAAUUCUCACCUUUCUUGUCCAAGCCGAGAGUAGAGCCUUGCUCUGCUUCAAUUACUCUAGUAUAUAGGAUUCCAUCCAAAUACCCCUCAAGGUGGAUUCAAUGGUACUAUCCAAAGCAAGCGUCAGGGGGUUAAAUCCAUUACUCAUCUAUCAAAACACCAUCGGAGUGCUCAUCUGAUCAACACUCACCAAGGAGAGGUGAUGCAACAUCCGCUUAUCAGCUCAUAUUCCAACGAUGAUCCUUUAAAUCCAAGAUCAAGUCUCUUCUCGAGAUGGCACAACUCAGUGCAAUUCAAUCCAAGGUUAAGUAUGGUGCACCCCUUCCAUUUCGUUGCUAUUUGCAACGUCCAUCCAUCCGUCCAAUCUUGCUUGGCACGAACAGUUCUAAACCAACAUCCAAGGUAGCCAACCUUCCAAUAGUAAUAGGAACCGACGAAUCGUCUAACUCGCUCACCAAAGGUGAUCACUUGAUUCCUCAAUCGGCACGGCACUAUGAUGCCUCCACAUCAAUCUCAAACUCACCACCCGGGAGUACCCUCAAACCUCUGCAAUACAUGGUCAGGGACCAAAACUCAGAAGCUUCAUCAUUUACUAAGAUCAUUAUCUUAGUCUUAACUCAAGUCCAAGUAAACUCUUCGCAAGCCUAAGCCAAAGGUUUAACUUUGACAGAAUGUCUCAUAUAUUAAUCAUUCAGUUGCUCCAUAAGAAUCAUUCAAAAUUCUCAUCCUCAAUACUUUUCUUACCAUCGGAUGCUCCAGGUGUUCAUAGCCACCGGGCCCAUCUCAAGUGAUAGAGAGGGAUCAAUCCGCAAUUCAAUAAUAGCUCUCUAUCAAGGUCAUCCUGAUGCGACUGUCCAGCCAAAGUCAAUCCUAUAAGCCCUCAUAUGCAGUUUUAUCCCGAAGAACUCAAUUCCUUGCACACGCUCCUGACAAGGGGAAUUAGUAACUUGGUACCUUCCCUCUCAUGAGUUUUUCAUCCAUCAGUGAGAGUUCUACAACUCGAUCACGACAAUCUGCCUCUGCAGUCGAUUCUCGCAAUCUUCAUCGAAAUACUCAUGACUAUCCGCGACCGGUUCCACAAAUCCAUCCAAAGGGCUUGGAAUUAUCAUUCCACAAGUCCCUAACACUGGUGGAGUACCACAGGCUCAGGCAACAUCACAAUAAUUCUCGUGAUGUUCUAACCCAGCAUCAAAAUCUGUUUGAGGUACAGCCUCAAACUCCAACGCAAACAGGAGUACUCAGAUUGCAUAACAAUCCUAUCGAGCACACCGACAACACUAGGCCAAUUGAAAGAUCAACGAGCCUCAACAGCUAUCCGAACGUUAAUCGUGAUUCACUUUAGACCACGAUAGUCGACAUACAGUCGGAAUGACCUAUCCGGUCCCAAAACAAGUGAGGGUGCUUCUCCACGAAGCAAAACACUAGAUACCAGAAUCUCUCCGCCAAUCGAGCUUACUAUUUGUGGCUCGGUCGGGGGCACGACUACAGAUCAAAGACAUCCUUCAUUCCGAGGAUUCUCGAUCACUAGAAACUAAUGGCCAAUUAGGCCCCAAAUCCUCUCCAACACUUAUCCAAUUUUAAGUAAGAGAGACAGUCAACGCAACUAGUGAAAAUAAAUCUUCAAAUCGUACUAUUUCGUGCUCAAAAUCCUCAAAGCGAGUCAAGUUAGCUCGCAAUUCAAGGGUACCAAGUACCCACAAUAACUCCACACCAAGUAAUGCCAAUCCAUUUGUUGGCGCACACAACCUCCUCACAAGGUAGGGUGUUCGAAACGACACACCCGAUCAGCCGUUCAUCUCACAUGCAUCGGAAGGAACAACACUAGCAAAUCCUCGGGUUCGGUCACUACACACUCGAUGUAUCCUCGAUCUCACGAUCCAUCAUAUGGCAUUCUACGCUGAAGGGUCUAAGCUCGGACUACCGUCCUGACCAAAACUCUGCCCUACCCGUAGGUACCGGGCCACUGUCACACACAGCUGACUGCGCCUGCCCAAAGGGCCCAGACUCCACAGCUUACAAACGAUCCAGGCACGGUUGUCUCGAAGCACUAUCCGGCGAACGUCCGAUCAAGAGAUGCAACUAAUGCAAUCAUCGUGAAAUUCACAAAGCAUAGAAAAACAUGCCACCUACAAUCCGCAAAUCAACCGCCUAGCUCAAUAGAGCUGAAAGUCAUCGCAAACAGCGAACUCUGGCAUCCUCGCAAACAGCGAACUCUGGCAUCCUCGGUACACAACCUGCUCCUGUCCCAAAUAGGGCAAUAGGGGCAGACUCUCUAAUGUCCAAGGAGUAGUCGGAGAAACACGCGUCUCGGAUGCAACAAGUCUAAUAGGAUGCCAUGCAACUCGGCAAACAGCCGAUCGAGGGAUGCAAAUAAUGCAACGAUAUCCAACAAUGCACAAUUCGGAUGUCACAAAACAACUGAUACCUGUAGCCACCAACUCGGCUGCUGCCACCUCCGCGGUCUGGGCUGCAUACAUGCGCCCGCUCGGGGCCUGUCGGGAACCCUCCGUCUGCCUCUGAAUAGGUGGCUGCCUGGCCUGGUAGCGAGCGAAAGGCGACCCCUGGCUGAGACCCAGUAAAACUGGUGCCGAUGCUGAAGAUGGCACUGGUACUGAACUGCUCGGACAGUCCAACUAAAAGUGACCCUCCUGGCCACAUGAGUAACACCUGUCCUGCCUCUGCGAGCACUGCCGUUGGUAAUGACGACCACCGCAGAUCACGCAGCUCAAAGUCUGACGACGCUCAGAUCCUCCCUACUAUGCAGAUGUGCCCUGUCCUCGCGACCGGCUCCUAUUCCUGGGAUGUCUUGGCGGCUUCCCAGAGUGCGUCUGACUCGCACCCUCAGCCGCGGGCCUUUUGCCCUUUCCUUUUUCCAAGCCUUCUUGGCGCUCCUGCAAGUCUGCCGCACCGCUCUCCACGAUGAGCGUGCGAUUCACCACCUCCGGGUAGGUUUGGAGGUUGGAAAACUGAACAAACCGGAAGAUCGAAGGCCGCAAUCCUCGCUCAAAAAUGCGGGCCUUAUCCUCGUCGUCCCGAACAAUGAAGGGCACACAAUGUAGAAGCCAGGAGAACUCCCUCUCAUACUUGGCCACUGUCCUGUCCCCCUGGCGCACGUUGCGCAGAUCCUGCUCCAUCUUCCUCUUGAUGCUGUCAGGGAAGUAAUGCUCCAGUAGGAGUUCCUUGAACCUCCUCCAUGUGAUCGCCGUCAGAUCCGUGCGGGGGUCGUCCUGAAUGUCCAUCCACCAUCGGUAGGCCUCGCCGUCAAGGUGAUGUAUGGCGAGCCACACUCUGUCCCGCUCCUCAACAAAGGUAUUCCGAAACAGCUUCUCCAUAUGCAUAAGCCAUUUCUCCACGAUCCAAUGGUCCACGUUCUCCCCGUCGAAGGUCCGUGGACCGCAUCUCCUGAACUCACUGAGACGCUCCAUAAGUUGAUCGCGCUCCGCUCCCUCGACCAUCACGGGGAAAACUGCCCCCGCUACAGACACUCGAGCCGAUGGUGCCACAACGUCCUUCUCCCGAGGCGCCGCCGCUGGUGCCGUCCGAGAGGUGUCGAGUGUAGGGAACGACACCCUGGGCGCGACCGCCUCUACCAGUGCGGGUGGUGUAGGGACCCGAGUCUCCCCGGCAGCCGCCUGCUACAACAAAAGAUCCUCCAGGCGCUUCAUUCGCACCUCCUGUCGAAGUGCCGUGUCCGCCUGUCGCGUCACCAAAUCAGUGAGGGCUGCCAGCUGGCCUCUCAACUCACGGACCUCGCCGGAUUCGGAGGUAGCGGAUGUCUCCGCCUCCUCAAAGGUUGCCGCAUUGUCCGCUCCAACAGAUUUAGAGCGUGUAGUCAGCAUCGACACUACAACAUCAUAAAAGCGCAAGUUAAUAAAACCCACGCUAUCGAAUCCCCGCUCAAAUAGACCAAACCCAAAUCAUGCGAAAGUAAGGAAGUGUUAUCCACAACUAACUCUCGAUGUUACGUUGUCGGCCGCCAACGUAACCCUCCGCGAAGUUAGGAGUCAUACACUCCGAUCAACUCAAACUUCUUAGAGUUAUCAUAAAACUCAAUCAUAAUACUUUCGCUUACAAGUCAAAUAAACCUCGUCUCUCGCGAGCCUAUUUCCUAUAGUCCAACCGGCCUAAGGUUUGCUAGGUCCACUAAGACUCAACCCUAGGCUCUGAUACCAAAUUAAUCUGUCACGCCCCGGAACCGCGGAGGUCUUCCCGGUAGCGCGCCCAGACCCGCCAUAUGCCUACACAUAUAAGGCGUCUACAACAAAAGUGGAAGAAUAAGAUAAGAGAUGAACUACAUCUAGAGAUAUCAGAGCAAGUAUACAUCUAGAAUCUAUAGUAGGUAGAACAUAACUAAACAAUAAAAGCAGGGGGCGUGGGGUACUAAUAUAGAGAAGAAUAGAGAGCUCCCUUACCUUCCUCUCCACUGGUUCCAAGCUCAAGGAACACCAGGGGGCGUGGGGUACUAAUAUAGAGAAGCUACAAUCGCAAAAAUACCCCUGCAGUUCAAGCAGUCUGCGGACUGCACUGCGUACCGGUACACGAGGUCGCGUACUGGUACACACCCCACGAAAAUGCCAAAUCCGAGGGUCGGGUUGGCUUAGAAGCUGCCUGUGUACCGGUACACGGCCCCGCGUACUGGUACAACCAUCACCCCGUACCGGUACAGCCAUCAACCCUGUACCGGUACACAGCCUGUUGAAGGCUACCCGAGAGCACACCAAAAAUUUAACUUUUUGGGUUUUGGUGCAAACUUUUAAACCGCAAAUCUCGGGAUACAAGUCAUAGGUCGGAACACUGUCGACGACCCUCCAGAAUAUCUAAAAAAACUCGAAACAGAGAUCAAACACUCGAACCUUGCCAUUUGCGAAAGUCUAGUGUGUUACACCUCGUCUCUCACGAGUCUAAUUCCUAUAGUCUAACCGGCCUAAGGUUUACUAGGUCCACUAAGACUCAACCCUACGCUCUGAUACCAAAUUAAUCCGUCACGCCCUGGGACCCGGCAUAAGCCCGCCCGGUGCGUGCCCAGACCCGCCAUAUGUCUGCACAUAUAAGGCGUCUACAACAAUAGUAAAUAAAUGAAAAAGAAACCGAGAGUAUCUAGAGAUAUCAGAGCAGUAUACAGCUAGGUUCUACCAACAAAUAGAGUCAAAGAAACAAAACCACUACAGUAAGAAGUAAACUUAAUACAACAUAAAUCUCAAGAUACAAGUAUCGGGUGGUCUCUACAAAAUGGUAUAAGUCUCUCUCAACCUCUCCAAAACAAAACUCAAACGAGAGGUGGAUCAUCUAUCGCCGAACCCCUCGCAAGCUAACUCGAGGCGAUACCUUUCCCGCGAUCCCGAGCCUCUCCCGGAGUGGAAGGCUCUGAAAGAAAUCAUAAAACAGGGGGCGUGAGAACUAUAAUUUAUAGUUCCCAGUGGACAAUUACUGACCUGAUCAAAAUGCACCACUAGGCCCAAAACAUAAGCAGAUAUGGAUAAUAAUAACUGCGGAAAAAAAAACAUAUAAUAAAUGCUAUACUACUAUGCCACAAAUAUACAUGAUAUGAACAUGGAGUAUAUCUACUCUAUCAUGAUACAAUAUGCCAAAACGUGUCUAGUAUGCUCUUAAACGGCACCCAAGUAUACUAUAUGUCCCAAUGUCCAUUGAAUCCAACUACGAUUUACUAUCAAGUAGUGAUUAUUACAUAAACGACUCUGUGUCGAUUUUCAUUUCCAAUUAAGGACCUACACAAGGUAGUUCAGCUUGUGCCGCCUAGCUGACGGUGGUAGUACCAACAUUCCCCCUCGACGAAUUGGACUGUCCCACAUGACUCUACAGGCGCCUCGCCGCCUAGCUGCCCGUGGUAGCACAUCAUCCCAAGCUGGAAUAAUGCUGUCCCACGCGACCCUACAGGCAUCUCAAUCCCGGAAGCGCAAACUGCGUCGCAAAAAGGCCAACUCCGGAGUGCAAGCUUGUAGGGAGCGACCCUCACAAGCAUGUGUGAAUGAGCACAAAUGGCAAGCAAGCAAAGUCAUCGUCUCAACGAUCCGGUCAUCAUGGCUCUACCAUGGAAAUGAUCGCUAGCAACUCAUAGGUCUAGUCCAAUGUCCCAAGUGAAGGUUUAACCAUUCAUUAUGUCCAAUGCCCCUUUAUGGCAUUGGACAUAAAGGGGCAUUAUGUCCAAUGCCCCUCUAUGCGAAAAUCUUGUUCCAAUGCUAAUGCCAUUUUAUGACAUUAGGUUUACUAAGUCCACACAUAUUCCAAGCCUAAUGCCCCUUUAUGACAUUAGCUUGCUAAGUCCAUAUCUAGUCCAAGCCUAAUGCCCCGUUAUGACAUUAGCUUACUAUACCAAGCAUGAGUCUAAGUCCAAGAAUGCAAUGCACUUGUCAUUUUCACUAUUUGAAACAUGAUCCAAAUUCACACAUAGGAGUGCUAUCCAUAGGCCCAAGCCCACAUGCAAACUCACUACUACAUAGAGGUCCAAAAAUACAUUAUACAUAACAUGUGCAUUUUAAGCAUUCUAAAAUUCACAAAUAAUCUAUCUUGCAUGAAUAUGCAUGUAUCUUCAUUUUACGAUAAGUAAAAAUUAUUAUAGGGAUGAUUUAUCCCGUUUUGGUGAGGCCAAACCCACCAAGUCUCUUCGCAACCCUUCGUUUGCACCGACGAAUGUGCCCACAAGCCUUCUAGCUCCCUAAAGGUUAAACUAGGAGUGUUACACGAACGUUACGAACAACGAAUAGGUUAAACAUUAACCAACUCAACGAAAGGGCCAAAACUCACCUAUAGAGUAGAAAUCCCCUCACAAGCUCCAAAUGGAAGCUAGAACCCUUCCAAUCCCACCUAGAGGAAGGCUCUAAUCCAAGAAAUCAAGCUUCAAAGGCUCUAAUCCAAGAAAUCAAGCUUCAAAAGCUCUAAAUCCAAAACCCCCAAAUAAACCGUAAGUUUUCCAUUUCUAGAGUUUCUAUACAAAAAUCAUGAAAAUCAUGAUCUAAAGAGGGGAAACAAGCAACUAACCUCGAGAGAAGCUCCAAACAAGGCUUGGGAUGAGCUAGGGUUGAAGACCUCUCCUCCAACUAGCUCCAAAACCAAGCUCCAAGCUCCUUCCAUGGUGGAAUUCACACCAAGAAGCAAAAAGAGGGAAUAAAUCAUCAAAAAUCCCAACAAAAGAAGGAAAAUCAAAGAGAGGUUUAGAUGGCCUCCCUUCCUUCUUCUCCUCUGGUCUCAAGCUCAGGGAACUCCAAAGGGGCGUGGGGUGCUUUAUAUAUAAGCAACAAUUGCAAAAACGACCUCCCAGAACAAGCAGUCUGCGGACUGCAUUGUGUACCGGUACACGGGAAAGUGUACCGAUAUAAAACCCUAUACGCGCAAACCCGAGGCUCGGGUUCGCAGAAAAUAGCCAAGUGUACCGGUACACUUCCGAUGUUGUACCGGUACAACCACUUGUUCCGGUACAACUUCAAUGUUGUACCGGUACACAGCCCUGCUGAGGCAACCCGAGAGCAGUCUAAGUCCUCCACUUCGGUGACCUUAGCGCUACUAUAAAUACCACAAUUUUCGGGAGACGAGCCAUAGGUCGGAACACUGUCAACGACCCUCCAGAAUAUCUGGAAAAACUCAUAUCACAAAUCAAACACUCGAACCUUGCAAUUUGCAAAGGUCCAGUGUGCUACAAAAGUACAACUAGAUUCUACAAUAUGAGAGUAAACAAGAAGCUAAAAUCCACUAAGAUAAAACCAUGAAAUAGAACAACUAAGAUUCCAAAUGCAAGUGCCAAUAGUAGUACAUAGGUGGUCUCUACACAUGGAUACAAAAACCUCUCUCUCACAACAACAAACAAAGAGAGAAAACCACCUAAGCAAAAUGAAAAUCCUCGCUAUCUAUCUACGCGACCCCUUUGCCGCGAUCCCGUGCCUCCACCGGUGCUGAAGGCUUUGAAAAGAAACCAUAGAACAGAGGACAUGAGAACUAUUAAAUAAUAGUUCCUAGUGGGCAAUUACUGACUUCAGUUAAGUGCUCCACUAGGCCCAAACUAAACAGGUAAGUAAAAAGUAAAAGCGAUAUAAACGACAUGUAAAUAAACAUGUAAACUUAUUACAACAUGAUAUCUCUACUUAGCAUGAAAUUGCGUGAGUAAGAAAGCUAUCCUAUAAAUGAAUAGGCGGGAAUAUACAACCAACAUGAUGUCUACAACAAAAUAGUAAAAUGUCAACGUUUACUAUUCUAGUGAAUGUCCACAUGGCAUGUUAACUACUUAAAGCUUCAAUCUUGUAAGAUCCGCCCGUAGGCUGUCUGGCUUGAAGACCCACCCGUAGGCUGUCUGGCCGGUGCCGUGCCUAAUGGCCCCGUGGUAGUCAACAUCCCCACUCUAGGAAUGAGCCUUGCCUACGGCAAUCCACUUCGGCGCACAAUCCCGCACGGGCGAGCAUAUGUCGCAAUGCCUAUCUCCGGAACGCCGGCUUGUAGGGAGCGACCCUUAUAAGCAUGUGCGAAUGAGCACAAAGGCAAGCAAGCAUAAAAGUCUGUCUUAAGUACUAAGUCCUCACGUCUAAAAUAGGAAUAUAGCAUAUGUCUCAAUGGCCUAUCACCAUGUCAUCAUGUUUAAAACAUGAAAUAUAAUAGAUGUCGCAAUGGCCUAUCACUUUGUCUUUUUGUUGCAGUUUCACAGUUUACUAAAUCGGUGCCCUUUUAUGGCACUUUUAUCCACUAAGUCCAAGCAUGAGUUUAGUGUUCAAGAAUAUAUAAUUCGAGUCAUUUUCGUCAUAUGAGACAUGUUUCCAAUCCACAAGAAGAAUGCUACUCACAUGCAUGUUAAGUCCACAUAAGGCUCUACUAUAUAGAGAUGAAUUUUCAUAAUACAUAAUACAUACAUUUUAAGCAUUCUAAAAUUCACAUAAAUUCUAUCUAGUAUGAAUAUACAUACGAUGAGAUGAAACGAAGACAAGACAUUUAACCACUUAGGAGAAGUUUUCUCCUAUUCCAAUGAAGCCAAACCUACCGAAACUAAUCGAAAUCCUUCGUUUGCUCCUACGAAGGUGUCCACCACUCUCCUAGUACCCUAAAGGUAUAGAAAAGAGAGAUACACGAACGUUACGAACAAUCUUAGGUUCGAACAUUAAACAACUCAAGCAAAAGGGUAAAAACUCACCGAAUGCGAAGGAAACUCUCUCGAUCUCCAAUUGGGAGUUAGAGCCUUUCAAACGAACCUAAACCAAGAUUCUAAACCAAUCAAUUAGGUUCUAGAAACUACAAAUCCAAAAUCCCCAAAAUAAACCCUAAGUUCCAAUUCUAGGGUUCCAACAAGUAAAAUCUACUAAAAUAUGGAUCAAAGAGGAGAUUAAGCUUACUAACCUCACAAGAGUUCCAAACCAAGCUCCCAAACCAGCUAGGGUUGAAGUUCUCCCUCCAAACAAGCUCCAACAAAAGCUUCAAAGCUUCUCCAAUAGUGUAGGACCAACAUAGAGUAAGGAGGAGAAGAAAAAAGAGAUCAAAACUAACUAAAAUCAUCAAAAAUGGAGAAAAAAUCAAAGGGGAAGAGUCUCACCUUGCUUCUCCACAGGUUAGGGCUCAAAAGAGCUUCUAAAGGGGCUAGGGUGAUAUUUAUAGGGUUUGCAAUAAUUGCAAAUACACCCCCCACAACAUCAACCUGCAGAGCAAAGUGUACCGGUAUACGGGAAAGUGUACCGGUACAAGUCCUGCGCGACAGCAAACCUGAACCUCGGGUUCGCAGAAAAUCCCCAUGUGUACUGGUACACUUUUGAUGCUGUACCGGUACACCAUUUGUUCCGGUACAACAUCAAUGUUGUACCGGUACACAGCCAUGCAAACAGCAACCCGAGAGCAGCCUAAGUCCAUCAUUUUGGUUACCUUAGCGCUACUUAAAAUACUACAAUUCUUAGGAUACGAGCCAUAGGUCAGAACACUGUCAAUGACCCUCCAGAAUAUUUGAAAAACUCGAUACACAGAUCAAACACCCAAACCUUGCAAUUUACAAAGGUCCAGUGUGUUACAGUCCUUCUUCUUGACGAACAAAACUGGCGCUCCCCAAGGCGAGACGCUCGGUCGAAUGAUGCCCUUGUUCAACAAAUCCUGCAGCUGUGCUCUCAGCUCCUUCAGCUCCGCCGGUGCCAUCCUAUAGGGCACCUUUGAGAUUGGGAUAGUCCCAGGGACGAGAUCUACCACAAACUCAAUCUUCCUAUCAGGGAGCAUACCCGGUAGCUCAGCUGGAAACACAUCCUGAAACUCCCGCACCACCGGGAUAUCAUCAAUCCUAAGGAUAUCAUCAUCGCCUCUCACAACAAUACUAGCCAAAUAGGCUAUGCAACCUCUGCUGAUCAGCUGCCUAACUCGAGACGAGCUGAUCGUCAACGCAAACAGCGAAUUUUGUCAUCCUCUAAAUACCACCUCAGUCUGCCCGGUUCUCUAAAAGUAACCGUGCGAUUUUUGCAAUCGAUCGUGGCAUAGUACUUGGUCAACCAGUCCAUACCCAAAACCACAUCGAACUUCCCCAGCUUGCGCAAAGUUAGGAGAUCCACUGGCAUAAUCCAAUCCCCUACCCGAACAUGGCAACUAGGGCAAAACUCUCGAAUAUCCAAAGUGUGGUCGGGUACUACAACCUGUCCCGGAUGCAACAAAAAAACCAAAGGGAUGCAAUGCAACUUGGCAAAUAGCCGAUCUAUGAAUGAAUGUGAUGCACCGGUAUCAAAUAAUGCACAAACUCAAAUGCCAUUUAAUAAAAUGAUACUUGCAACUACAUCCUCGACUGCUGCCGCCCCUCGGUCUGAGCGGCGUACAUGCGCCCACUCGGGGCUUGUCGAGAUCCCUCGCUUUGACGCUGGACGGAGGACCGUCCAGGCUGGUACUGUGCCGAUGGAGUCCCCUGGCUGGCGGCUGGUAGAGCCGGUGCCGAUACAGUCGACGGUGCCGGUGACGAACCCCUCUGGCACUCGGUCCGGAAGUGGCCCUCCUGGCCACACUGGAAGCACCUGCCUCCCCGCUGCGGGCACUGCGGUGGAAUGUGAGGAUCACCGCAGAUCACACACUAGGGAGGUCGGCGUCGAUCAGAACCUCCUCGCUGCGCUGCCGAGCCGCGCCCACGCUGCUGGCUCCUAGGGUGCUUCGGCUGCCUCCUAAAGUGCGUCUAACUCGCACCCUCAGCCGCGGGCCUUUUGCCCUUACCCUUGUCCAAGCCUUCUCGCCGCUCUUACACAUCCGCCACACCGCUCUCCACAAUGAGCACACGAUUCACCACCUCCCGGUAGGUUUGGAGGUUAAAAGAUUGCACAAACCAGAAGAUAGACGGUCGCAAUCUUCACUCAAAGAUGCGGGCCUUAUCCUCGUCGUCCCGCACAAUGAAAGGCACGCAAUGUAGAAGUCGAGAAAACUCCCUCUCGAACUCGACUACUGUCCGAUCUCCCUAGCGCAAGUUGCGCAAGUCCUGCUCCAUUUUCCUCUUGACACUGUCCGGAAAGUAGUGCGCUAAUAGAAGCUCCUUGAACUUCUUCCAAGAAAUAGCCGCCAAAUCUGUGCUGGGGUUCUCCUGAAUAUCCAACCACCAGCGGUAGGCCUCGCCGUCCAAGUGGUGUGUGGCGAGCCAAACUCGGUCCCUCUCCUCCACGAAGGUGUCGCGGAAGAGUUUCUCCAUAUGCAUCAACCACUUUUCCACGAUCCAGUAGUCUACCUUCUCGCCGUCGAAGAUCCGGGGACUGCACCUCCUGAACUCAUUGAGGUGCUCCAUCAGUCUGUCCCUCUCCUCUCCAACAAGUGUCACGGGGAAAACUGGCCCCGCCACAGGCACCUACACGGAUGGUGCCCCCAACUCCUCUCCCCGCGGUGCAACCGCAGGUGUCGUCCGCGAUGUGUCGAGGACGGGGGACGACCCCCUGGGUGUAACCACCUCCACAGGAGCGGGUGGUGUAGGAACCUGAGCCUCCCGAGCCUCCGCUUGCUGCAGUAGGAGAUCCUCCAGGCGCUUCAUCCGGGCCUCCUGUCAGCGCGCUGCUUCCGUCUGCUGUGUCACCAUGUCAGUGAGGGCCGCAAGCUGGCUCCUUAACUCACGGACCUCGCCGGAUCCGGAGGUGGCGAAGGUCUCGACCUCCUCCAAGUGUGCCGCAUUAUCCGCUCCAGCAGAUUGAGAGCGAGUGAUUGCCAUCACACUACAAUAUUAUAAAAGCGCAAGUUAAUAAAAUCCACGCUAUCGAAUCCCCGCUCAAGAAGAUAAUACCCAAAUCAUGCGAAAGUAAGGAAGUGUUCUACACUACUAACUCCCGAUGUUAUGUUGUCGGCCGCCAACGUAACCCCCCGCGAAGUUAGAAGUUAUACACUUCGAUUUAACUCCACUUUCUAGUGUUAUCAAAGAUACCCAAUGAUGAUACUUUCACUUACAAAUCAAAUAGACCUCGUCUCUCACGAGCCUAUUUCCUAUAGUCCAACAGGCCUAAGGUUUGCUAGGUCCACUAAGACUCAACCCUAAGCUCUGAUACCAAAAUAAUUUGUCACGCCCCGAGACCCAGCGGAAGCCCGCCCGGCACGUGUCCAGACCCGCCAUAUGUCUAAAACAUAUAAGGCGUCUACAAAACCACGAUAAAUAAAAUGAUAAUACAAAGACAUCUAGGAGUGUCAGAGCAUAGUACAACAUCUAGAUUCUAAGAGAUAUAGAGGCAAAUAAAAGAGUUAACAAAUCCACUAAGAGUAACUAUAAAGUAGUACAAUGAACAUCCAAAAUACAAGUGCUAAAAUAUAACAAUAGUGGUCUCUAUACAUGGAUACAAAACCUCUUACUCUCAACUACAACCAAAAAGGAGAGUAAACCACCUAAUAAGCAAAAGAAACGCUCCUCGCUAGCUAGCUAAGUGAUCCCUUUACCGCGAUCCCAUGCCUCUACCGGUGUAGAGGGCUCUGAAAGAAAACCACAAAACAGGGGGCGUGAGAACUAUUAAAUAAUAGUUCCCAGUGGGCAAUUACUGACUUCAGUGCAAUGCGCCACUAGGCCCAAAAACUAAGUAAGUAAGAAUGAUUAAGCAACAUAAAUGACAAGUAUUUAAAUAUGAAUAUUUAUUAAACCAUGAUAUCUCUACUUAGCAUGAAUUUGCAUAAGUAAGAAAGCUACUGUAACAUGAAUGUGCAUGAGUAUGACCAACAUAAUGUCCACAAGCUAAAUAGUAAAAUGUCAAUGUUUACUAUUUUAGGCAAUGUCCACUCGAUAUGCUAAGUCACUAAUAUUCCAAUCCUGUAGGACCUACCCGUGGGUAGUCCGGCCUGCACCGUGCCUAAUGGCCCCGUGGUAGUCAACAUCCCCACUCUAGGAAUGAGCCUCCCCCCCGACAUCCCAUUUCGGCGUCCAAUCUCACAUAGGCGAGCAUGUGUCGCGAUGGCUAUCUCCGGAGUGCCGGCUUGUUGGGAGCGACCCUCACAAGCAUGUGCGAAUGAGCACAAUGACAAGCAAGCGUAAAAGUCCGUCUCAAGUCUCAAGUCAUCAUGUCUAAAACAUGGAAUUUAGCGAAUAUCUCAAUGGCCUAUCACUAUGUCAUCAUGUUUAAAACAUGGAAUAUAGUCGAUGUCACAAUGGCCUAUCACUAUGUCUCUACGUUGCAGUUUAACGGUUUACUAGUUCGGUGCCCCUUUAUGGCACUUUUGUUCACUUUGUCCAAACAUGAGUUUAGGAGUUCAAGAAUACAUGAUUCAAAUUAUUUUCAUCAUAAGAGACAUAUUUCCAACUUGCAAGAAAGAACACUACUCACAAGCAUGCAAAAUACACAUAGGCUCUGCUAUAUAGAGUUGAAAUUUUCAUGAUACAUAAUGCAUCCCUACCAACACCAACAUCCCCCACCCCCAAAAAACAAACCGACCCUAUAGCGCUUCGCGUUCUUUCUAUUCCAUCCCAGUCCAUUCCGGGAUAGGCGGCCGCUAAUCCAAUAGUUUAGAUAUCCAUGCACAGAGAAGCAUAUAAAUCCUAUCUAGCAUGAAUAUGCAUGCGAUACGAUGGAACUAAAAUAUUUAACCACUUAGGAGAUGAUUUCUCCUAUUCCUAUGAAGCCAAACCUACCGUGACUUCACGAAACCCUUCAUUUGCACCGACGAAGGUGUCCACUACUCUCCUAGUACCCUAAAGGUAACAAAAGGAGGGAUACACGAACGUUACGAACAAUCAUUUGCUCAAACAUUAAGCAACUCAAGCUAAGGUGAAGAAAACUCACCGAAAUGCGAAGAAUCCUCUCUUGAUCUCCGAAAGGGAGUUAGAGUGUAACACACUGGACCUUUGCAAAUUGCGAGGUUCGAGUGUUUGGUUGUAUUUCGAGCUUUUCCACACUUGGUGGAGGGUUGUAGAAUGUAUUCCGACCUAAAACGUUCGAAAACUGGAAUUCUGGACAAGUCCUGAGAGUUUUUACUCUCGGGGACAGGUCCGGGAAGGACGAGACGCGUCUCCCCCAGUGAGCAAGUGUUGAAGCAGCCUGAGGCGGGGCGGGUUACGCCGUCCCUGGCAGGCGGAGACCGGUUCCCGAAGCGUUUCGCAGGUGACGAGACGAGUCCCGGCAGGGGAGACGUCUCCGAACGCUUGGUGUUUCGGGUGUCGCCCCAGCGAGGAGAUCGCGUCGCCUGGCUGGGGAGAACCGGUCCCUGCUGGAGGAUCCUCUGGCAGAAACCCCAGACGGCGCUGAUUAUUUUUGGGAUUUUGAGGGACCCCUCCUGGGAUUUUGUUACUUGAUGUGGCCUAAAAUAGCCCCCUCCCUCCACCUCUCUCUUUCUUCAUUUCUCACCCUCACACUCCUCCAUACCUUUGUUAGAUGCAGAGAAGAAAGGAGGAAAGAAGAGAGAGAAGAGGGAAGUAAGGAGAUAGGAGCCGCUAGUGGACUUGGAGCAUCUUCCCACACCUCGACAUCUUCCUUGGUGCUGAAGGCUUAGGACUUGGAGCUUGCCAAAGGGUAAGAUCUUACCUUGAGCUUGGAUGGGAGCUUCUAAGGAGGUUGUUGCCCAUUUCCAUCGUCUCAUAGACCUUGCUUUGCAGGUUUUUGUCAGUUGAAACCUCUAGUAAAUGAGAUUUAAGGGCUUAUUUUGGGCAUUUUCGAAUCUAGUGCUUUUGACCAAAUAUGAUUGUUUAGAACCUUCCUAGGCUUGUGGAUGGAAGGGUUCUAGGCUCUCUUUUUGGAAGCUUUGAAGAGAUUUCUACUCUAGAGUGAGUUUGCCCAUUUUUGCUAGAUGUCCAAUGUUUGCUUUUCGUGUUAUCGUUCUUUCGUUGAUGUACACUCUUUUGAUGUCUCCUAGGGUGCAGAAACUUGUAGAACCUCCGUAUGGCAGCAACACGAAAGCCUUCAGUUGUCCGUCGGUGGGCUUUUGAUCACUAGCCUUUUAUAUGAGAAAUCUCAAUAUUUGGUGAUAAGUGCUUGUUUACUAAUAACUCAUCGCAUUUUCAUGUCAUAAAUGUAAUUUAUAUGAAUUUUUAAUGCUUUAAAAUGCAUAAUAUUAUAUAGAAUGAAAUUUGUGACAUCUAUAUAGUAGAGUUAGCAUGUGGGUCCAUGUUGCAUUACAUUUACAUGAGCGUGUAUCAUGGCUGUCUAUAGUAUAAAUGAGUUCGGAUUCAUGCAUUUUAAACCUAAGUUACAUUUGUACAUGAUAAUAUUGACAAGUCAUGUCAUUUUAGAACUAUGUUGAAUUGGAGAGCUAAUGAUCAUCAAGCGGCAUUGAGCUCGGACUUGUGAGAACCUAGUGAUAAGGCCAUUGAGGGAUUUAGAAUACAUAUGAAAGUCAAUUGCCUAAGUGUCUCAAGGGGCACUAGGCGUCAAAAGGUUGAACCGUUCACAUUGGACAUAAACUAGAUCUUGGGAUUCAUAGUGCUAUACCAAUGUUAGAGACCAUGAGGAUUGAUACUUUGGAACUUGAGACUUUGCUCUUGCUUGCCAUUUGUGUCAUUUCGCACAUGCUUGUGAGGGUCGCUCCUCUAACCGGCACUCCGGGAGUUCGCUAUGCGACCUAAUGUUGCUGUGCGUAUUGAGAAGCCUUACGGCGGUCGAGUGGGACAGACGCAUUCCCAAGGUAGGAAUGUCGGGGCUCACAGGCCACUUUUUAUGGCGGCACAAUACGGACUACCUUUGCGUAGGACUCCUUGAUUGGAAAUGCGAAUUCGAACAGGGGGUCAGAUUGGGUAAUCACACUAGAUAGGUUUAAGUAGUUGGAUUACCAUUUAUAUGUUUUUUUUAGCAUUAGUGUUGAGACAUGUAGUAUAUUUGAUAGUCUCUUGUUGAUGUAGAGCAUACUUGGGUGCCAUGAAUAGUUAAGCUUAUGUCAUCAUGCAUUGAUAAGAGUAUUGACAUUAACUACUGCAUUGGACGUAAUUUGUAGAAGGAUAGAAUAAUGUAACUAUUUUUGUUUACAUAACGCUUCUUUCAGGUCAGUUUAAUUUACAUGCCUCUUAAUUGCUUAUUAUUAUUAUCGUUGCUUACCUUUGUUAUUGGGCCUAGUGGAUGCAGUGAGCUGAGGUCAGUAAUUGCCCCACUGGGAACUAUAGCUGUAUAGUUCUCACGCCCUCUUUUCUCGAUCUUUCAGAGCCUUCCUCUAGGGCGAGCUAGGGACCUGCGGGAAGGGAGUUGCUUCGAGCUAGUCCUUCUGAGAGACGAUUCGCUGGUUGUCUACCCUCUCGUUGUGUUUUACUGUUGGAGAGGUGAUAGUUCUACCCAGUGUACAGUAAUUAGGACCACCGUUUUCGACUUUUGAGACAGAAUAUUAGUACUACUUAUGAUUCUAUUGUCUAGCUUGUGCUUGCUCUGAUAUCUCUAGUUGAAAGUUAUUUUAUUUCUUAAUAGUUUCUAUCUGUUGGUUUUAUCUUUCCGUUUUAUCGUAGACGCCUUAUAUGUGUAGACAUAUGGCGGGUCUGGGCACGCCACCGGGAGGGCCUCCGCCGGUCCCGGGGCGUGACAUAGAGGCCCUCUAAUCCAACCUAAACAAAGGUUCUCAUGCAAUAUACAUAUCCACAUCUAUCUCAACAUCAUGCAAAUAGAUAUUUCUACAAGUAUCAUGCAAUCAUGGAUCAUCAUCAUCCCUCACACUAACCAUGAAAUUACCACAGCUCAUAGGAUUCUCACAAUUAUAUACACGAUGAUAUAUGGUCAAUAAUAGUAGAACUUAGACAUAAAAUGAAACUCGGUUAUUUCGGAUAGCACCCCCCCACCUCGUGGCGUCGACACGAAGCGGGUAGCCUAGCAGAGCGAUUUAUGACCGUCGAUUUCUUCCGACUGUGGCAAACGAAGCAAAAACAGGAUUUUCUUCACUUUGACCACCACCGGCUCAACGGAAUCUCAAUCUGAGUGAUCCUCCGCGUCGGUUUUACCUUCAAUUGCGGAAACAUAUGAUCAAUUGAGAUCAAAACCUCUCAUGAUCAAAAACCCUCUUUUGAAACUCUAAAAACUAUUAUAUUGCAUAAAAUCCAAAUCUCAUGGUAGAUUAUGCAAUAACAUGGUUUAGAAUCAACUAGGAUUCUAAUUAAACUCAUUUAUAAGAAAUUUACACAAAACCCCUAACCUAAAACCAUGAAAUCCCAUAAAGCUCACCUCAAACCCAAGCUCUCUUCAAGCCAAUGGUGAAGAAGAAGAAAGCUUCACCUCCAAGUAAGCUUCUUCCACCAAAUCUCCACUAUUGGAGCAAAACUCUAGGAGAGAGAGAGGUUUAGAGAGAGAAAGAGAAGGUUUCUCUUUUGGUUUAAGUGGUGGAGAAUGAGAGAAAAAGUCCCUCAUAUAUAUAUAUAUAUAGGAAACUUCACCUCCAAGUAAACCCCUCACAUAACACUAUUACUAUUUUCAGUUUAGCAAUUCAGAAUCUGAUACCUUUCACUGGAGCCUUUCUGAAUGUCCGUUUAUACUCAAAUUUGACAGUUAGGCUCGGUUUAACUUAAAUAAAUGAAAUAUAUCUUAACUUUCCAGUUUGGACCACUUUGGUCACUGAAAGCUCUACCGACAAAAAAAAUCUCUAGCAGAUAGCAGUCGGAUUUUAUUUUCCACUUUCCAAGUGUCAGAAUGACAUGAAAUUUUAAAUCUAGCCUCAUAAAAAUAAUUCCGACAUAUUCCCAAAUUUUCAUAACUUUCUGACACUACGAAUUUUCUGCUAAAUUAUUAGCCUUGUACCAUACAGAAAAUUCUAAAUCUUCUGUUUUCACUCCAAUUUCAGCAUAAGUAAUUUUUGACUUAUAUUUUACUUCUUUAAGUCCAAUAAAAUAGUAUCUUACACUAUUUUUAUUUACACUUGCUUCUAUAUAAAAAAAAUAUCCGGUACACUACAUAUACACUUCGAUUAAACUCCAACAUUUUAGAGUUAAUAUAAAAUUCAAUCAUGAUAUUUUCGCUUACAAGUCAAGUAGACCCCGUCUCUCACGAACCUAUUUCCUAUAGUCCAACCGGCCUAAGGCUUGCUAGUUCCACUAAGACUCAACUCUAGACUCUGAUACCAAUAUAAUCUGUCAUGCCCCGGGGCCCAGCGGAAGCCCGCCGGUGAGUGUCCAAACCCGCCAUAUGUCUACACAUAUAAGGCGUCUACAACAAUGCGAUAAUUUAAACAAAAAAAGAAAACAUCUAGUAGGUUAUCAGAGCAUAAUAGCAUCUAACUUCUAAUAACGAGUAGAAGCAAAAAUAAACUAAAUAACUAUCAGAAUCUCAAAGGUAGGCACAUCAAGAGAUCCACAAGAUACAACUAGAUACAAAAUGAUGGUCUCUAUACAUCGGAUACAAGAAUUUCUCUCUCUAGCUAUACAAAAAAGAGAGAAAUCCACCUAGUAGCAAAGAUUUCCGCUAUCUAGCUAGAUGCGACUCCUUUGCCGCGAUCCCCAGCCUCUCUCGGUACGGAUGACUCUGAUAUCCAAACAAAACACAGAGGGUGUGAGAACUAUUAAACAAUCUCAACUUAGGACCCACACAAGUGUAGUCCGGCUUGUGCCGCCUAAUUGCCCGUGGUAGUCCAACAUUCCCACUCUAAGAAUGAGCCUAUCCCAUCAGCCUAGUAGGCUACCCAAUAUAUCACAUCUCGAUGAUACGAUAGCCUUCGUAUUUCAUCAACCACGAAGGCUAAAAAAUCAGGAACCUAGUUUCUAAGAUGCCAACCCUACUAUCGCCAGGGGAAUCCCAACUCACCAGGGUUAACCAAUUAUUAAAAUUAGGUUACUAUAUAUAUAUAUAUAUAUAUAGUUCUUAAAUUCACAGCACCGUAACCCAGCACAGCCUUUGAACGGCCGUGCCAUGCCGUGCCACGCACGGCUCAGCACGGCUACGCACGGCCAGUUUUUUUAAGAACACACGGCUGUGUAUUAUCGUACUUUAUAAAUAAAAGAAAUCGUUGUUUUAUAAGAUUGAUAAAUAAUGCAGAAAGAUAGUGUAGAAAACUUGAAAUAACUCCUUUAAUGAAUGAUUAAAUUUCUUAUCUCCCAAAACUCGACACGGUAGCCGUGCCCCAGACAUAGCACGGCCAUAGAACAACCGUGCCAUGCCGUGUCACCUAUGCCGGGUACAACUGCCCGUGAAUUUUGGAACUAUAUAUAUAUAUAUAUAUAUAUAUAUAUAUGUUCAGCCGCGAGGCCUCAACCAGAUGCGCUAUAUACGAGUGAGCACGCCANAUUCAAUUGUUAAAAAAAUAAAAUUAGAGCUAAAAGCAUAUGAAAUACAUAAAUAAUAACUUAACGUAUCUGGCUUAAUAAAAUUUUUGGUGGGGUCUCAGGCUCUAGUCUCCAUAUCAUACUUUUUAAUCUACGAAAGGAAUUUUGCCCACAACAGUGUCUACUAAAAAAAAAUGGUCAUAAGAUGAAAAUAAAACAAAAAACAUCAAUCUUAAAAAAACUAAUACUUUUUUGGAGCAUUUCUUUUACUCAUCCAAAUCUCAUACAUCUUCUUAAUCUUCAGUUGGUAGUUGCUUCCCGCGCCAAGUCACUUCUGGAUUUCCAUUGUAACUUAUGAACAAACACCUCAUCUGCAUCACCAAACUGCGAUAUCUAAACCGACACGGCCUUGCCAUCACAUCAACCACAGAAAUCCUAAUUCUUAAACAAUUUGAUUUACCAAGAAGUUCCUGCGAUUCUUGAGAAGGAGCUCCCGUGCAACGUCCCCGCAAAGAGGAGGCUAGGACGUCGCUCCCCUCGGCCUAGUUGUGGGCGCGCGCGAGCCGCACGAGGAGGCAGCCGAGGCAGUGGCGGUUCACGGCGAGUGAAGGCUCCGACGCAGACCAGCCCGGCGAGCACUUAUAUGGGCCGCGACUGGACUUUACAGGACGAUACUUCUUGUCACGCCCCGGGACCCAGCGGAAGCCCGCCCGGCGCGUGUCCAGACCCGCCGUACGUCUAAAACAUACAAGGUGUCUAAAAUAAAGUGGUAAAUAAAGCAAUAAAGAGAAGGCAUCUAAGUGUAUCAGAGCAAAAUACUACGAAGUGCUACAUCGUGGAGAAGAACAUAGAACUGAUAAUCCACAAGUAAAACAUAAGAUAAUACAAAAGGAGUCCCAUAACAAGUACUAAUCUGAAUACAAGGUGGUCUCUCUAUACAUGAUGCCAAAACUUUCCCUCUCUCUAACACAAACAAAAGAAGGAGUAACCACCUAUCGCAAAACGGACUCUCUCCGAGCUAGCUACGCGACACCCUUGCCGCGAUCCCGUGCCUCCGCCGAUGCCGAAGGCUCUAAAAAGGAAACAUAGAAACGGGGGCGUGAGAACUAUUAAAUAAUAGUUUCCAGUAGGCAAUUACUGACUUCAGUGAAAUGCGCCACUAGGCCCAAAACUACAAAAAGGGGGUCAGUGUAUAAGCAUAAGCAAAAGCGAUAAAUACAACGGGUAAGUAAAGAUGAAAAUUGCUCAACCAUAAUGUCUCUACUUAGCAUGAUUUGCAUAAGUAAUAAAGCAACAACCACAGGUAUGUACAUGAGAGUAACCAAUAUGUAAAUGCAUGAGUAUGCAACUAUCCCAAUGCCCACAAUGUGAAUAGCAAUAAUGUCAUUGUUCACUAUUCUAGUCAAUGUCCACUUGUCACUUUAACUGUUUAAAGUUUAACUCUGAUAAGACCCACCCGAAGGCUGUCUGGCGUAAGACCCACCCGAAGGCUGUCUGGCUUUACCGUGCCUAAUGGCCCCGUGGUAGUCAACAUCCCCACCCUAGGAAUGAGCCUUUCCUACGGCAAUCCACUUCGGCGCCCAAUCCCGCAUGGCGAGCUUAUCGCGAUGGCCAACUCCGGAGUGCCGGCUUGUAGGAAGCGACCCUCAUAAGCAUGUGCGAAUGAGCACAAUGGCAAGCAUACGUAUAAAUCUGUCUCAAGUACCAAGUCCUCAUGUCUAAAACAUGGAAUAUAUCGAAUGUCACAAAGGCCUAUCACUAUGUCGUUAUGUCUCUAACAUGAAAAAUAGUCGAUGUCCGAUGGCCUAUCACUAUGUCUCUAUGUCGCAUUUUCAUAAUUUACUAGUUUCAAGUGCCCCUUUAUGACACUAUUGUUCAAUGAGUCCAAGCAUGGUAUUUAUGUUCAUGAAUACAUAAUUCUACUCAUUUCAAACAUAGGAGACAUGUUCUCAACUUGCCAAGCUAACCACCUUUCACAAUGCAUGUAGUCUACACAUAUAGCUCUACUAUAUAGAGUGCAAUUUCAUGAUACAUAAGGCAUGCAUUUCAAGUGUUCUAAAAUUCACAUAAUUCAUAUUUAGUAUGGAUUUGCAUUCAAAAAUACUUUACGACAAGUAUAGAAAAUAUAGGGGCCAUUUUGCCCGGUGUUCAUGAAGCCAAACCCACCGAUGAUACCGAAAUCCUUCGUAAGCUCCGACGAAGGUGUCGACUUGUCUCCUAGCACCCUAAAGAUGUAGGAAUAAGGGUCAAACAAAUCUUACGAUCAACCCUAAGCUCAAUCAAUAAGCAACAUAGGCUAAGGUGGAGAAAAACUCACAUAGGUGAAGAAAUCCUCUCCCAAGCUUCAAAUGGGAGUUAGAGUUCUUCAAAUCCAACCUAAAAUAAAGGUUCUAAACCCAUCAAUUAGGUUUCAAAGCCCUCAAAUCCAAAAAGCCGCAAAUCUAACCCUAGAAUCCCAAUCUAGGGUUUCAUCAAGCAAAAAGCUCCAAAACUAGGAUCUAGAGGAGAAGAACUAGUCACAUACCUCUAGGAAGCUCCAAAUCAAGCCCUAGAUCCUCGAGGGUUGAAGAUUGGUCCACCACCAAGCUUCAAAAGCAAGCUCCAAGUCCCUCAAAGGUGAGAAAUGAGAGGGAAGGGUUGAUGCUCCAAGGCCUUCAAGCAAGCUCCUUUCCUUCUCCUCCAACUCCUUCUUCUUCUCAUUCUCUUUCUCUCUCUAAAGUGAGUGUGAUGGAGAGGAAAUGAGGAUGAGAGGGAGAGGAGAGGCUCUAUAAGCCUUCAAAAGUAACAAAAUCCACUUAGGUCCCUCUAAAAUCCACUCUGUGCACUGCCCGGUCUGGGCUGUUUUCGCGCAGAGGGACCGGUCUCCUCGACACCUGGGACCGGUCUCUCAGUUCGUUCCGCAAAACCAACGUUCGGGAACCGGUCUCUCUAUGCCAGGGACCGGUCUCUCGGACCCUUCUCGCAAAACACGCGCUCGGGAACUGGUCUCUCCCAGCCAGGGACCGGUUGCCUCAAGUCCUGCCGCAGUACUGCUCUGAGGAGACCGGUCUCUCCUAUCAGGGACCAGUCCUCGAGAGUGAAAACUCUCAGGACAAAGCCAAAACUCUAGAGAUCGAACUUUUAGGCCGGAAUACCAUCUACGGCCUUCCACCAAGUGUGGAAAAGUUCGGAGUACACAUCAAACACUCGAAUCUCACAAUUUGCAAAGGUCCAGUGUGCUACACUUUUUGAAGGAAACAACGUUCUUCGCAUGCUCUUCUUCUUCAUCAUCCUGAUAAUCUUUGUUAACACAAUGAGAUAGAGAGAAGGAGAUGAGUGUGGGGUGAGAGAUUAGAUGAUAAUGUUCUUUUUUGCAUGAAAAAUAACAUGUCAUGCAAAAAAAAGGGGGUGGGGGAUUAAUGGUGGAGGGGAGUGGAUUGGAGUUACAAAGCUCACUAAUUGGUGGGAUAUGAUGCAUUUAAUUAAAUAUGGAGAGGUGAAGGGUCGAGCAUUUAGAAUGGAGAAGAAACGUAUUGGUUGAAUAUGAUGCAUUUAAUUAAAUGUGGAGAUGUAAAGGGUUGAGCAUUUAGAAUGGAGAAGAAACGUAAAUUCAAAAAAAUGUGAGCUUGCCACGUCAUCAUUUUACGUUGGGGAUUCAUAUAAGAAAUAUAGAUAAGAGUUGUGCUAGAAUACUAUUGAUAGCAAAAUGUCUUUUUUGCUAUCAAGUUUUUUGCCUUUCAUCAAUUUCUUUCAUCAUAUCUAACCAUUGGAUUAGAUAUUAUAACCCAGUGGGGACCACUCAACCCUAGGGGGACCACUCAACCCUAAGGGGACUAAUAUCAUUCUAAUCCUACAAUUUUUCAUCUAAGAGUUAAAAACUUGAUAGCAAAAAUGACCUUUUGCUAUCAAUAGUAUUCCAACCUAGCUUAUAUAUAUAUUUGAAAAGGUGGUUUUUGCACAGAUGCACCUGCCAGGGGCAUGCAUGACAAUAAAGUUUUCAUGGUCACACACAAAUACCAAAGGGACAUUUAUGCUAUUUCACAUAAAACAGGGUUAUAUAUGCGAAAAAUGCUUGCUACGUACUUAGUUUAGACUAGGAUCAACAAACCUGCAAUAAUAAAGUUGUUGGUAGACCCACGAUGUUGCUUCGCCCAAUCACGGCGACAUGCUUUCCCAUACAUUCAAUGCUUGUGCGAAGAAGCAAUUCAAUGCAAGCUCUCGCAACACAAGGAAUGAAUAGAUGUUCUCUUCCUCUCAUUGCAAGAUUUCCAACAUUAAGGGGUGAAAGCUAUCGACAUCUUUUUUUAGAUUUAUCGCGCUCACAAUUCUCUCCUCAUUUAUAUGUUGCAAUAAUUAGAAUUUACAGACUUUUACAUUGUAUCCCGAAAAAAUCAUGUAUUACAUACAUAAACCACUGCAAGUGUAAAUUUUUAUUAACAUCUCGGACUGCAGAUUUUUGAAAAAAAAAUACUCUUAUAUUAAAAUGAAGUCUAAUUCAAUUUAUGUGGCCAAGUUAGUUUGGUAUUUGAAAUUUGCAGGAAAAAAACAUACGAAGCUUAUACAUGAAAAUUCAAAUUUUGUAUUGAUAUACAAAAGAUAAGGAAAAUUUAUAUGAGUAUUUAUCAAAUCAAAAUUUCUCUCUUUUUUAUGAGAAGAAAAUUAUACCAAAAUAAGUCAAAAAAAUAAGUCAACAAAUUGAGUACUUAAUUCCACAAGAGAAGCAAAACCCAAAAAAUUUUCAAAAAAUUUCCAAGCCAUAAAAAUCAAAGAGAUCCCAAGUGUUUCAACAGAGAUUCAAAAUACAGUGAGACAGAAAAUUUUUCCUCCAAAGAAAUGAAAAAGGAAAAAAAAAAUCUAAAGAGAAGAAAAAGCCUUAAUCCCAAAUUACAAAAGGUAAUCCACAUAUCGAAAGAAACAAAUAAAAAUAUCCAAAAAUAAAGCGAAAAAUAAGAAUCUUUCAAGUAUCUUCAUGCCAAAUUCAUGGAAAGUUCCAAAAUCAGGUCUUUUCUUUUUUAAUCCAAAAAAUUAAAUCAGGAAGGUGUAAAAUAUCAAAAUACUGAUCUAAACCUUAAAAGAUAAAAUUUUAAAAAAAUCUCUUUUCUCUUUUUGCCCAAUUCAAAACUCACCCGUGUACUUCCAAAAUCAAAUUUUUUAACCUUUGAGUGCAAAAACACCAAACCCAGAAAAAGGCCAAAAAAAAAAACUUCCAAUCUUUGAAAAGGAGGAGAAGUUUACAAGGAAAAGAAGGGAGAAGGUUAAGCAUACGAACAGGCCGCACAUCCCGCCAGAAUGAAAUGCGACCUCUGAGCAAUAUGCACCAAAGGCCACAUUCCGCAGUGCUUCGGCAAGUUACAGGAGGCCAUGUCGCAGAGGAGCCGUGAGGCGGCGGAGCCGAUGGCAGGAAAAAUAAAGGAGGGGUAGAGGCGAUUGCAAACAGCGGAGAGGGCGAGACGGGAAGGGCCUGAGAAGAGGCGAAGAAGGGAGGCGUAUGACACAAUAAGCAGAGGGAUAGGGGACGGGAUGGGUUGAGAGGAUAGGGAGGCAUGCUUUCAUGCUAGUGUGGAGCCCACAAUUUUGACUAGAUGGAAGUGGAAGGCGUGUGUUCACCCUAGUGUGGGCCCCAAUAUGGACGGAGAGCAUACAUAGAUAAAAUGGGCAGGCCCUUCAAUCUAAAUAAAAAAGGGAGAGAGAGAGAGAGAAAUGGGUCCCCACAAAUGAUGAACCCCACUUUAGUGUGAAAUGUGCAGAAGUUUUUCCGGUUCCUAAAUUAUAAAUUUAUAUAAAUAUAAAUGCUCCCAGUUUUAUAAUGUACACAAUAGGGUGAUCUUGACGGUUGCUUAAUUCAUAUAUUAUAGCUAAAACUAUUAACGAGCUAAAUACGAGUGCCAACUCGUUUAUUUAAACAAACAGUCCCUAAUCGAAUUAAAAUAUAAACGAGCUUAGAUAAAUAUAAAAGGGCCAAAUCUACUGGUCACAAUAUUAAAAAAAAAAAACUUAUUUUACAUCGUCAGCACGAAUCCAUAUUGCAAACCCAUCCCAAGCUCCACGCCUUUUUUCGCCCUCUCGCGUCUCUCGGACCAUCCCCUCCCCCACCUCGUCUUCUACACACCUCAAACCCUAAUCCUCAUCCUCUUUCUCCGCCUCUUCCUCGUCCUCCCGUCUCCUCUCCCCCCCCUCUCCCCUCUCCCCUCUCCCAAACCCUAGCACCCUCCCGCCGUCGCCAUGAUCCCCUUCUCCCCAACGGUCUCUGCCCAGAUCCGCUUCCUGUUGCAGAGCGUGAACGACUCCAACUUCAAUUCGAUCUACAACGAGUUGCUUCAGGUGCGUUGUUCUCUGUGCCUUCUUGCGUGUUCUUGGUUUUUGUAUGCGAUUUAUGUGGUUAUCCCUUGUUUUGGUUGAGAACCCUAGACUGUGAUGACCUUCGUACUUACAUCUCUUCACAUGUUGCAUUGAUCAAGGAUAAAAUUUCGAGUGUAGGGUUCCCUUUCCAAUAGUCGGUGUAUGUUCUAACUAUUUUUAUUACGAAUGUCUUUCGCAAUCUAGCUGCGGGUUAUGCUCGAUACUGACCUUGUUGUCUGCACGCACUCUGUUAUUAGCCGCUGCGCUGCUUCUUUAAUUAUUGAUGAAUUCUUUAUGCCAAGAUUUCUUCUUUAAUUUUCAAUACUCUACCAUGGCUUUUUUUUUUUUUGCUUCCUUGUCCAUUUUCGAAUAAAGAGGCAGAAAAGCAUUCACCCUCUGUUGGUUUUUUUUUUUUUUUUUUUUUUUUUUUUUAAAUUAUUAAUGUGAUCUUGAUGCCAAGAUUUAGCUCCGUCCUGCGUAUACUGCUCAUGUGACCUUAUUUAUGGGUUUGUGACCUUACUGUCAAUUUUUGUUGCAUGGUUGUCUUUUUUCUUUUUUUUUUUCCCACUGUUCCGUUAGAUAUAAUCUUGGAGUAAUGCCAGUGCUCAUUGAGUGUGGCGACCUCUCAGUGGCUUUUUGAUAUAUGCCAUCUUUCUUCCUUGUUUCCAGCCUAUAAUGUAAUUUCAGGGGUGACUUCAUAUGUUUGAAUAAUUACUCUGAUGGUUCCUAAUGUAAAUUGUGUUGAAGUAGAUGAAAUCUGCCAGUUAUUAAGCAGCUUUAACAAAUGAAUCUUCGAGCCACUCUCUCGGAGGAGAUACCUUAAUACUUAUUCUCUGUUUGGAUAGCAAGGCGGCAAGGAGAAUAAUAUAAAACUACAGAGAUAAAAUAGAAGAAACAGAUUAAUAUUCUCUUCUCUAAUUCGAACACUAAAAAGAGGAAACUUUUUGAUAAAGAAGAGAAAAGAAGUGGGCAUAAAUCUAUUAGUGAUUGUUUCAUUUGUAUAACACUUAUCAUUUAACUAAACACGAAAUAUACAAAAUAUAGACUAUGUAAGCAUAUUGUGUUAGUUUAUGAUCUGUUAGUUUCUAAAGAAACCUUGGGGAGAAAAUGAUGGACAUGAAAGCAAAACAUAUUUCUCCUUGCAAGAAUUAUGCAAUGGUACAAUGACAGUGCACAAAAAAUAAUAACAAAUACUAAGAGGAGGCGGGGGGAGGAUGGGGGGAGGGUAAGGGGGGUGAAACAGAAAGAUACACAUUGACUCCAACAGUCAGUUGGCUGUAGAUAAUUAUUGGCUGUGCUUAAUUUUGCAUUAUAUAAAAACGCGUGAUUUAUUUGUGAAGGGAAAAGUGAGAGAAGCAGAUUUUUCUUUCUUUCUGUAUUCCUUCACAUCUGGAGACAAAGAAAUUUAAUCUUGUAUAUCUCUCCUACGCCUGUUCGUCUUUGCAUGAUUUCACUCUGAAUUGACAAAGUGUUUUUUUUUUCUUUUCUUUCCUUCAUCUUCGAAUUAAUUUUGGGUAUCUAUAUUUUAUUUUCCUAUCAGAAGCAUUACCUAUGGUAUCUUUUCACGUGGCUUUGAGAGAUUUUUCUUUGCUAAUAUCUAGUCCUUUUUCCCUCAUAAUCUGACAGUUCGCUGAUUAUGGAAAUGAUGGAAACAUUUUAUUGCUCCAAAUCUGCUUAGAUCAACUAGAACUGAAUGGUGGGGAGAUUCAUAAUUCGCAGAUUAAAUGGGACCUGCUAUCUGCCAUUUUUAGAAAUUUGUUGGAAAGACCAAAUUUUACUACAGGUUUUUGCGAAGCGCUAAAUGCAGAAUCAAUGACUGAUGGCUUCCUGGAAGGCCUUUCGAAAGCGUUUAAACUUUCAAUGCCUGAGAGAAUUGGUAUUGGGCUUGCUUUGUUCGAUUCUGAAAAUUCAUCUUCGCGGAUGAGAGGUAAAAUAUUUCACCAAUGACUUUCAGUUUGGAGAUAUCUUACUUCUUCCAGUAAAUUCAAAUUGCAACCAUUGCUUAACAAAUUGCAUGACAAAAUUUUGAUUCUCAGGGCAAAAUUUCUGCAUUGCUCAAAUUGAGCAACUCUGUGCAAAUCCCACUUCUACCUUGUCUAAUGAGAAAAUUCAGGACAUUGUUAUGUUUCUUUACCGGAGUGAGGGCCUUUCAAAGCACAUGGAUUCUUUUACAAACAUUUUGUCUCUGUUGGAACUUAAAGAGAGCUCUCUCUUUCUACCAGCUCCAUGGAUGAAAAAUGAUACUCAACCUGUCAAUCCGCUGAGGUAACUUUACGAGAGCCCACAAUAUAAGGUGUUAUUCUUCUGAAACAGAAAAGUAAUUUGACUACUCAAGCCCCUUUUUCCGUCCAUUUUGUAGGCAUUUGGAUCUGUUUUUUGGGUGCCAAGACAAUGAUUUUGAGUCUCUUCUGGCUGAAAUAGAGGAGGAAAUCAGCAUGGCGGACAUAAUGGCUGAAUUGGGUUAUGGAUGUACUGUUAAUGCCUCUCAUUGUAAAGAUAUGUUAUCUCUUUUUCAGCCACUUAAUGAGACAACAAUUUCUAAGCUACUUGGUGCAAUUGCUCGCACUCAUUCUGGUCUGGAAGAUGCUCAUAAUACGUAUGCAACUUUCUGCUCUGCUGUUUGCAGCAGCUCAGUUAGUGAUUCAUCUUUGCUGAACGCAUGGAAUGUUGACGUUCUAAUUGACUCGAUUAACCAACUUGUGAGUAAAUUUUUUUUUCCUCUUAAUAUUAUUCUAUUAAGAAGGGCAUGACUUAGUGUGAUGGUUGAAUCUUGUUCUCUGCAUUCCAAGUAGCAGGUUUGAGUCACAGAAGUACCCUAUUAAUAAUAGGGGCUAAAAUUUGAUUUCCUUCUGGAGAAUUGCACUGUAGUAUUCUUGUGCAUUAUGAUGCCAUGCUUUGUCUUAUUACUGCAGCGGAGUAGUAUAAAUAAUAGAUUGCUUUUCUUUUUUCCCUUGUAUCGGCAUUUAAAUACAGGCACCUAAAAUAAAUUGGACACAUGUGAUGCAAAACCUGGAUCAUGAAGGCUUCAACAUUCCGGAUGAAGCAGCAUUCUCUAACCUGAUGUCUAUAUAUACUCGUGCAUGCCAGGUAUUUGAAGAUUUAACUGGAUCUUGAAUACCAACAUUUCCUAUACUCUUAACAAUUUGUAUAACUAUCCAGGAUCCAUUUCCGCUUCAUGCUGUUUGUGGGUCUGUUUGGAAAAAUGCAGAAGGCCAAUUAUCUUUUUUGAGAUAUGCAGUGUCUGCCCCACCUAAUUUAUUCACAUUUGGGCACUGCUCAAGACAGCUGGUAUGCGUUUUUACAUUACAUAUACAUGUUUAUUUUUGAGUCAUAUUUGUUUAUUCUUCUAACAUGUACUAUUUGUCAUGUGUUUCAAGGCAUAUGGUGAUUUUGCAUAUCUUAGAAAUAAGCAAGGUAAUCAGGCUUGGUUCUGUCUGGAUCUUCUGGAGGUCUUAUGCCACCUAGCCGAACGAGGCCAUGCCAGUUCUGUUAGGGCAAUUCUUGAGUAUCCUCUUACUCAUUGUCCCGAGGUUUUAAUGGUUGGAAUUGGCCAUAUCAAUGUAGGGAUCCUUGCAUUGUGGUUGCUAGUUUAUUUUUUCUUGUACAAUCUAAAUGACGAGCAUGAUCAAGUUCUCUCUGUUUCUUCACAGACUGCCUAUAAUCUCCUCCAAUAUGAAGUGUCUUCUCGUGUAUUCCCCAUGCUACUAAAGGAUUCUACAAAAAACAGCAUAAUAGACGAUCUAUGGGGAGUUAACCCUAGUUUAGUCUUGCGAGGAUUUCUUGAUGCUCAUACUGAUCCUGACUGCCUUCCCAGAAUUCUUGACGCUUGUCAAGAGCUAAAGGUAUUUACUAUUGAAUUUCAAUUUGACAAACUAUGUUAAUGUGCUUUUCAGUUCUUUCUUUGCAUAUUCGUUAGCUAUUGAUUUACUUUGUGUUUAUGCAGUCUUGCAUCAGUUUGCUUCCUAAUCAUCUAUUGUAGGGCUGUGCCUUGUUAUUUCGUUAUUUUUAUAUAUAAUAUGGAAAUGUUUAGAUGAGUUGUUAAGGAUGUUGGAGAUGCAUUUUAUUGCAUACCUACCUACCCUGCAGCUUAUCCAUUUAAUUUUUUUUCAUAGAUUUUAUGUUUCUCAGCUGCUUUCUUUGUCUGGUUGGAGAAGUAUAUAUGCAGACUGUUAACAAGUAGGAGGGGGUCAACAUGGGAUACUUCUUCAUUUGUUUAUUUCUGCGUUUUUCUGCUUCUCAAUUUUGUGUUUUAUGUGCUACAGAUCUUAUCAACUGUAUUGGAUGCAACUCCAUUUCCGUUUAGCAUCAAAUUGGCUUCCAUUGCUUCUCGAAAGGAGCAUAUCAAUCUUGAGAAAUGGUUGAGUGAAAAAUUAAGUGCACAUAAAAAUGUUUUUUUCGAGGUAAGGCAUUUCUUUCUUGUUGUCGUGGUGGUAUUGAAAACUUGGCCUUACCCACUUUUCUCUCUUCACUUAUUUUAAUUAUUAUUAUUAUUAUUAUUAUUUGCAUUAUGAGAUGUAUUGAUGCUCUAAGGAAUGAAUUCAUUUGUCUUCAGGAGUGUGUUAAUUUCUUGAAAGAAGUUCUAAGUGAUGUGACAAAUGACGUUACAGAGAGUAGUCAACAAUCACGAUCUCUUCUGAAUUAUUACCAAGAGACAUGCUCUAUAUUUUUCAAGGUUUCACUUGACUAAUCAUUUAGCUAAUAUGUUAUACCCUCAUCUAUCUUUACAUAAAUGUUGAUGAAAGUUCGGUCGGUUCAUGCAAUUUGGUAGGUUCUUCAAGCUCAUUCAGGACAGUUUAUUGCCAACCCGCAUCUAGAAGAAUUAAAGAGGCUUCAUCUUGUAUCUAGUCCCACAAACGUAGGUGCUAUGGCAACAGAUGUAGCAACUCCAGAUGGGAGCUCAGAUGAUAUAGAGGUUGAGGCAAAUAAUUAUUUCCAUCAAAUGUUCUCUGGACAGUUGAGUAUUGAGGCAAUUGUUCAAAUGCUUGCACGCUUUAAAGAAUCUUCUGACAAGAGGUGCACUGCUUUACUUCUUGAAAUUUGUUUUUUAUUUAAUUUGCAUGCUUCUCAUUGUUAGCUUUAUCACAAAUUCUCAGUUCUUUGGGCAUUUUAGGCGUCUAUUACUUGUUCGUUGUUCUUCUGUGAUCUGUAUUAUCUCAUGUAAUCUAAGAUUCUAAUUUUUAAUCAUUAUCUGUUAUUAGAGAUAGCAGAUUAUAUGUGCAUUAUAGGGACAUGGUAAAUCUUUGUAUUUGGCUACAUUACCUGUUUGGAGAAUAUAGCACAUCAUGAUAAUGAUGUCUAAAACUGGCUUGAACUUCGUUUACUUGCGCUAUAAUUAGGACCUCAAAUCAUUGCUUUUACUGGUUUUUUGGCUCAUAUUUUUCUAAAUCCCCUUUUUUAUACUUUUCUUUUGCAUUGAAUUGAAAAGUUUCUCUGGCAUUUGAACGAUAUUUUAUAAGCACAAAUUGUGGUGGUUUUCAGGUUUUCUUUCUUUUCUUUCUUUUGCGGUAACAUUUUCUGAGUGACUAAAUUUCCUCAACCCCAUAGUACCCCUUGUUAUCCAAACUUGUGACUUAAUUGAAACUGUAUAUAUCUUUCAAGUUCUUCAACUUUUUCACAUGCAUGAUUGUCUCUGUCAAACAUUACCUUUGUAGGCUUCACUAAUCACCUAUAAAUCAUCCCCAUCAUUGUUUAUACCACCGCCGCCCAACAUAGCGACCAAAAUCGCCAAUUCACCUUUGUAUUAUUACCACUUGCAUCAUGGAUUAUUGCAGAUGCUGGCAACUACCCUGCAAACCACUGCUGCAGGGAGCACUCUUUUUUUUUUUUUUUUUUUUUUUUUUUUUUUUCCCAAGGCUGUCUUUUUUUUGGGGUUUGGGGAGUUUGAAUUUCAACUUUCUGUGUGCUAGUAGAUACACAUCAGUAUUCACACAUGUCCGAUAAGCAGGAACUUUUGAUGGACGUCAACUGGGUGCACAUUUUGAAGCAAUAUCAUCAAACCUUUGAUAUAUCUUUCAUUCCUUAUUAUUGUCGUCAUCAAUUAUACUGUCCAUGUUGCUCUUUGAUUAGAUGCACAACCAACUUGUUUAAAUUUAUUUCGCAUUUUGGAAUGAUAUCUAGGGAGGUGAAAAUCUUCAACUGCAUGAUUGCAAAUCUGUUUGAAGAGUACAAGUUCUUUCCCAAGUAUCCUGAUAAACAGCUGAAGUUAGCUGCUGUACUCUUUGGUAAGUGUUUAUCAUAUUAGCUCUUGCCCAUGUGAUUUCUAAACUAUCUAAUGUUUAUUUUGCUUUGUUGCUUUAUAAUGUUCUUGCUGGCUAUUAUAGUUACAGCUACUGGCAGAAAUAGCAAGAGAUUGAAAAUGCGUGUUACAUGCAGAUUAGGUGAUAAAAAAAUGUAUGAAUUCUAAUAGUUAAGAUGAUGAUAUAGACUGUUCUCAGAACAUUCUCUAAGAUCUUAAUGGGAAGGAGAUCAGCAAUUUUGUCUCCCUUAGAUAUUGGCAUAUUGCUAGUUACUCUGUUAACUAUGAAGUUAGCAAAUUGAAGCAAGAGCCAAAUAUUAUAGCCUGAAUUCAUAUACAACAUCUAAUCAAAUGUCAUCGUGUUAUGUAUGGUUUGGUCGUGUUAAUAUCUAAGUUGGAUGUCGGCAACAUAAUUUUGGUAUUAGGGCAAAUGAGACAACAAGGAGCUUCUAUAAGAAUAUGCACUGUUACUGCAGGGCAUAUGGUCCCUGUUACUGCAGGGCAUAUGGUCUGUAUUUUCUGACUUGUCUGGAUUUUGUGAUUUAACAGGUUCCCUUAUAAAACAUCAGCUUGUGACUCAUCUUGCACUUGGUAUUGCUCUACGUGGAGUUCUUGAUGCCUUGCGUAAAUCUGUUGAUUCUAAGGUUAGUAUAAAUUGCACAGUUUUACUGGAUUGAGUGCUUGAAAAUCUUUGUCUGACUAGCUGCUUGGUUACAGAUGUUUAUGUUUGGUACCAAAGCCUUGGAACAAUUCUUAGAUCGUUUGGUGGAGUGGCCGCAGUACUGUAAUCAUAUAUUGCAGAUUUCACAUUUGCGCGGAACACAUGCUGACUUGGUUUCUGCCAUUGAACGGGCGCUUGCUAGGGUUUCAUCCAGUCAGGCGGAGGCCAAUGGCGGUAAUCCCCUACCAGCUGAGCAACAAAGUUCUGGGCCGGCAUCCAUUGAAAGCAUUGAUGUACGGUUUGUAGUUCAUCUAAACCUAAUUGCCUAAUUGUGAGUUUUGUGGCAACAAUUUCACUAUUUCAGCAUUAUGCAUUUAGCGCAAUUUUAUUAAUAUUUGUUCAAUUCAAUUGAAUUUAGGUUACACACCCUACAUGAUUAGGCUAGUCUACUGCUUCCAAGAGAAAGGGCUUCCUUUGUUGAGACCAACUUGGGCACAACAUCUUUUUUUCUAUUUUUUAUUUCACUGCCAAGUGCUAACCAUCUUCUUCCUUCUCUAUUAUCUGCUGUUCUCUUUAACAGCUGCUGCUACUUACCUUUUCAUCCAUUACAUUCUCUUCUGCUGCUGGUUUGACAGAAGAUAAUAGGAUAGAUUUCUUGUUGUUGAAUAAACAGUUAUGUAUCUUUUUAAAGAAGCUAUAUGUGUGAGAGACUAGCAAUUAGGUUUGUGUUUGCAUGCUAACUAUUUGUGUAAUAUUCAAGUUUUCAGAAAAUCUCUUAGAACUUUGUGUCAUUUUCUAUGAUAAAAGCUUAGGUUUGUUACUUUCUUAUAAUUGCAAUUAAAUAUUAGAUGACAUGUUUAAAAUAUUGUGGUUUCUUCAGGCAUCUGAGGCAUCAUGGCAGCUGUUGGGUUCAAGUGCCCCCCAUUUAGGGCAACAACUUUCUUCUUUCCAGCCGCAACAGAGACAUCAAGGAUUUCUUGGUGACCGACUUAAAGCCUCUGCAACAUCUACAAGUUAUAGCAAACCGCUGUUAGCUUAUUCUGGGCAAUCUUCGCUUGUUUCCACAGCUGUUGAUUCUGCUACUAAUCAGAAGGUAUAGAUAACUUUGUCUCUUUUGUCAUAAAAGAUAUCUCGUGGUCAGUGUUUGAAAAUGCGCACCUUAGCGCCUAGGCGCGAGUCUCUGCUCCUCAAGGAGUGAGGCGCGGGCCUCAGACGCGCCUCGUGAUAUUUACGUUUAAUGUGUCUAAGGUGUGGGUUUUUGGGUUUUGAGUUUCUUCAAUAUAGUCUAAAAUGUUAAGAAAUUUUUUUAAAAAAAUUUCUAAUUGAAUGCUUUCUUUUCCUUUUCUCUGGGUCCUUCUAUCUUCCACCCCCCAAGGGCAAUAAAUAGCAGCGGCAAGAAGAAAGAAGCAGCAGCAAACACUUAAGCUGAAAGUUGAAACAUAAUUUUUUUAAUUUUUAAGCUGAGAACAUUUAUGCUUGCGAUUUCUUUAUUUUUUUAUGGUUAUUUUAUUUUUGUAUAGCUAUUUUAUAAUUUUUUAAUAUAAAACGUCCAUUUAAAAUAGGCUUGUUAAGAGUGUUUUAUUUUUAUUAGAUAUGCGCCUCACCUUCUUCAGGCGCGUGCCUUGCGCCUAGGCUUCAUAAGGCCUUUGCGCCUUUUUGCGCCUUACGCCUUUUCAAACAUUGCUCGUGGUUACGUGUGAAUUUCACUAUGCAGGGACUAGUUAUGUUUCAUUUUUCUGCUGCUUCUUUUACCUCUAUAAAAUUUUUCGUAUUAUUUUCAUACCUCUGGACAUUUUUUUGCUUGUGUAGGCAACUGCUUCUCAAUCUCCUCAAGCCCCUUCCCAUCAUUCAGUCACUGUGCCCACUGCUGUAUCUUCCUCUCCUGUUUUUCCUCGCAGUCGAAGUUUUGCAACCACAGGUAAAAUAAAUCAGUGCUUAUGUUAAUUAUACCUAUAGCUGUAUUCUCUUCUGUUCCUUAACUUAAUCUGUGCAUUAAUCGCCUAUUGUUUUCUGAUGGUGCAAUUCAAAAUAUACAUCUUUGUUCACCAUUCAACUUUCAAUAUUCAUUUCGUUGUAUUGGAUAUUAUUGUGACCCUUUUUGUAGGUAUGCCUAGGCAAACUUCUUAUGGCACGGGCUUUGGAGCUGCUUUAAACAUUGAAACACUUGUUGCAGCAGCUGAACAAAGAGAUACUCCACUUGAGGUUAAUUUUGUUUUUCCCCGACACCUUUCUUGUUUUUCUAUAUAUGCUCCUAUUGAGGGUUUAGGUUGUCAAUUGCCAUUUAUUCCACUCCAUUGACCAGAAUAAUGACAAUUUGAUCUCUUUUGAUUUAGGCUCCUUCUUCAGACAUCCAAGACAAGAUUUUGUUUAUGAUUAAUAAUAUUUCGACUGCCAACAUGGAAGCGAAGGCAAAAGAAUUUACUGAGGUAUUGAAGGAACAGUAUUAUCCUUGGUUCGCGCAGUAUAUGGUCAUGAAAAGGUAUGAAGUAUAUAAUUUUGUUCAAUCUUCUUCCGUUUUCUUUGAGUAGUUUCUCCGGUUGGAAGUUAUGGACAGUAUCGCUUUGUUCUUGCAGGGCCAGCAUUGAGCCAAAUUUUCAUGAUUUAUAUUUGAAGUUCUUAGACAAAGUAAAUUCAAAAGCAUUGAAUAAGGAAAUUGUAAAAGCGACUUAUGAGAAUUGCAAGGUUUUUCUCUGUCACUUCUUUUUUUUUUCCCCUAUCUGGGGGGAUCUGAUUAUUUAUAUGCUUGUUAUUAUAUAGGUGCUAUUAAGAUCGGAUCUUAUAAAAACAAGUUCAGAAGAGCGUUCCCUGCUUAAGAAUCUUGGUAGCUGGCUUGGGAAGUUCACAAUUGGUAGGAAUCAGGCAUUACGAGCAAAAGAAAUAGAUCUAAAAGUGCUGAUAAUAGAGGUAUCAUCUGUAAUGUUACAGUCACUUAAUAAUUUGUGCUUCCUUACUUCCAUAAUUUUUGGUAUAUUUUGUUUACCUCUUUUCUUUCAUAAUGUUUUCUGCUGGAAGUCUUAAGCAAAGAUGCACAGUAUUAUUUGAAAUGCUUUCUUGAUAUCAAAUAUGUGUUUUGUGCGCAUGGACAGGAAUGCUUGUGUUCAUCCUACUUUUGUGACAGAAUUUCGAUCAUAUUUGUCUUUACUUGAAAUCUGUACAUGUGCAAUUUUUAUAUACUAUGCUUUACCCCUUUUAUACUUUGUAAAUUUACCUUGCUAGGCAUAUGAGAAAGGAUUGAUGAUUGCAGUGAUUCCAUUCACCUCAAAGGUAGGACCACUUUGUACUUUGAGCUGUAACCAAAUUUAUAUAUUAAUUAUAAUGCUAUAUGUGUGCAUCUACUGUAGAUUCUGGAACCUUGCCAAUCGAGUAUAGCCUACCAGCCUCCAAAUCCCUGGACUAUGGGCAUCCUUAGUUUACUCACUGAGAUCUAUAAUCUACCAAACCUCAAAAUGAACCUGAAAUUUGACAUUGAGGUAUUAAGUUUUCACUAGUCAUUCCUUCAGAAUUCUUGUGUGUUUAAAUGCGUGAGAACGGGAAUUUACAGUCGGUGCUGGUGGUAUUUGCACUGUAGGUUCUAUUUAAAAAUCUUGGUGUUGACAUGAAAGAAGUAAAACCGACUUCACUUCUUAAAGAUAGGAGUCGUGAAGUGGAGGGGAAUCCAGAUUUUUCAAACAAGGAUAUUGGUGCAUCUCAACAACCAGUCAUUGCAGAAGUCACACCAGGGAUCAUGCCUCCAUCAAAUCAUGUUGAGCUGCAGUCUGAGGUCAAUAGUACUUCUCGAACGAGCCUUCCAAAUAUAUUGAAUCAGGUUAUUGGCGAACUGCUUUUAUAUAAAUGUAAAGAUCUCUAUAGAUUUGCAUUAUGCUGAUUUCCAUUGCUUGUUGGUAUGUUCAGUAUACUACUAUUCAUCUUGCUUCAAAUACCAUGGGUGAGGAAGACAAAGUCGGGCCUUUGAUAAUUCCUGAACAUGUUCCAUCUGCUCAGGGCUUAACCCAAGUUACCCCAUCCCCAUCUCCAUCACCAUCCGCAUCCCCAUCCCCAUCCCCAUCUCCAUUCUCUCUUAGUCAGGUUAGUUAUUCUUGUCCUGUUGUUCUUUUGUCUUAUAUUUCAAACUUAAAAUGUUCUGUUGUAUAUUUGUUUUAUUUUUCUAUAUGACCAAUUUUUUGCAGCUUCUGACAAUAAUUCCUGACUCUGAUUCUUAUAUCAAUGUUAAUCCAAAGCUUAGUUCUAUGGGUUCGCAGUCGCAAUUUCACAGGUUUGAUAUUCUAAAUUGAUUUGAGUAUUAAAUAGUUUUUAUACACUGUAUCAUUAAAUUUUGCUCUGCUGUUUAAUUUGUGCAGGAUUAUUCAACUGGCUAUGGAUAGGGCCAUCCGAGAGAUUGUAGCUCCUGUUAUUCAGAGAAGUGUAACUAUAGCUAGCAGAACGACAAAGGAACUUAUCUUAAAGGUUCUCUUUUGUUAUUCUAUUUUAAUACGUUACUAUGUUAGUAUUAGUAAUUGCAGGAAUCCUUGUAUUUGUGAACUAUUCAGCUUCUAACUGUGCCUUUCUGUUCAAACAUGUUGUUACUGUAGGACUUUGCUAUGGAAUUGGAUGAUAGUACUAUAGCUCAUUCUGCGCAUGUAAUGGUUGGCACUUUAGCUGGAAGUUUAGCCCAUGUCACUUGCAAGGUCCGAAUAGCUUUAUAUCAUCUUCAAUUCGCAUGUGUAUAUAUAUGACUUGGGACCUUUUCUGUUGUUUCCAAGCAUUGUGUAAAUUACCUCUUUACUUUAAUGCUAUAAAAAAAAAAUCUUUAAGCAGUUCUCCAUGUCAUUGGUUUGCUCUUGUUUUGCCAGGAACCUCUUCGUGUCUCUCUGUCAAAUCACCUUCGAAGUCUACUUCAGGCCUUAAACAGUAACAAUGAAAAUAUCGAGCAGAUUGUUCAGAUCAUCACCAAUGAUCAUCUAGAUCUUGGGUGUGCAAUGAUUGAAAAUGCAGCAUCAGAGAAGGUAGCUUUUAUUUCUCCUAUUUUUCUUGAGAGUUGCUCAAUAGAGGACUAUAGUUUAUCAUAAAUCAGUCUUUUUCAUAAUCUAUUUUAUAGGUCUCAACUCACAUUUAGGAGACAGGUUUAUUUGGAUUAACAAUAUGAAUGUAGGUUUUGGGAAGUUCUGACUAAUUUUCUUACGUUAGUGUCACUGCUAUAAUAUUACAAUCUCUGGUUAUUUCCACAGGAUGAAACCAAAAUAAAAGAUUAACAUUUCUUCUCUAAGGCAGGAGGUUUAAUUGGAACUAUGAGUUGAUUACAUACGCUAUACAUAGUAUUUUUGAAGUCAGAUAAGUUGAUUACAUACAUUAGACAUAAAGUUUAUUUCUGAAGUCAGUCGUUUUACUUAUGUCACGCAGUUGUAAGUUUCACUCAACUGAGAAUCUCAGUGCUGCUUGUGUUUUUUUUACACUUGCAAUCUAUUUCAAUCAUUGCAACCUUUCUUACUUAUUUUUUUUUCUUUUUAUGGGCUUGUUUCGCCUAGCUGUGGGAGAAGUGUUUUCUACAAAAUUGAUUCUGGUUUGAAGAAGUGAUUUUGGUUAAAAGCUGUAGAGCAUUUGGCUGGGUCUAGAUGUAAAAUGAUUUUUUUGAAAUAAUUUUUUUAAAGCUAUUUGGCAAAUUUUUUUUUACUAUUUAUAAAUAAUAAUUAUUUUACUGAANAUAGUAAAAGAAAAGAAGAUCAAACCAGUGUAGCAUAUCACCUGUCUCAUUAGGAGUUGUAUUCUUCAGAUAGUGCUGAUCGUAUGAUAAAACCGAAGUACCAAAACUAUCAAUGUAGUAAUCUUUAACAAAGUGAGCAUACGCUUCCUGCAAAAAGUCAGUUGUUAGUAGACAAUUAAAUGUUGAAAUGCCUAUGAAAACUAUAAACCAUUGCUCGAAUAACAAUUUUUUUCACUGAAAUUUAUUUUAAAAUAAUUCAAAUUUUGAAUUUGGAUUCAAAUUUAAAAUUUAAAUCUAAAAUUUGAACCAGAAUUUAAAAUUUGAUAUUUAAAUUUAAAAUCUAAACUUUAGGUUUGAAAAUUUAAAAUUUGAUAUUUAGAAUUUAGAAUUUAAAAUAAAAAAUUAAAAAUCUAAUUCUAAAUUUAAAAUUUAAAAUUUAAAAUUUAAAAUUAAAUUUAAAAAUGAAAAUUUAAAAAUUUUAUCUUUGAUUUUUAAAAAAUUUGAAAAUUUAAAUUUAAAAUCUAAAUUAGAAAUUUAAAAUUUAAAAUCUAAAUUUGAAUCUUAAAUUUUAAAAUUUGAAAUUUGAAAUUUGAAAUUUGAAAUUUGAAAUUUGAAAUUUGAAAAAUUAAAAGCUAAAUUUUAAAAUUUAAGAUUUUAAAAUUUUAAUUUCAAACUUUUAAUUUUAUUUUAUAUUUUGAAUUUUUAAGUGUGAAGUUGAAAUUUGGAAUUUAACUUUAAAACUUGAAAUUUUAAAUUUUAUAUUUUCAAUUCUAAAUAUGAAUUUAAAUUUAGAAUUUGAAUUCAAAUUAAAAUUAAAAUUUGAAGUUUGAGUCCAAAAUUAAAAUUAGAUAUCAAGAAGCUUGUUUUAGCUGCUUCUGACUUUGGGCGUUUUAAAUCAGAAAUCUGAUUUUAAAAAUUAGAAUUAGAUUUUGAAAAGAAGUUACCAACCUCUCUAUUGAAGGAAAAAUCACUUUUGGUCCUAAAAUCACUUUUCAGAAUUCAGGGCAAACAACCACUAUAUUAGUAGUUCAGUAUAGAAAAGAACUGUUUAACGACAAUUGUGAAUGGAUAUUUCAUCUUUCUUGAUGGUUCUUAUUUGGCACAAAGUUGACAACUUCAAAAUUGAGUGCUAAUUCUGACACCAUUCUCUAUUGGGGAUCUUAUUAAUAGCUUGGAUUUGAUAAAAAAAGAAAAGAAAAACUUAAAAAAGUAUAUUGAACUUGUCUCUCAAAGAAGGUUUGAUUUGUCUUAUACCUAACAUAUCAUAUCUUUGGUUUGAUUUGCUUCUGUAUCAAUGUAAUCCAAAUCAUGUUGUGUUUGUGCAUCUUCAUCCAUAGCUCAUAACUCUCAUGGAUUAGUCGGGAUUACUGUGUAACAUCAACUGCAAGUUUUGCAGGCUGUGGAGUUGAUCGAUGGUAUUAUCGGCCAGGCUUUUUCUGCCCUAAGGAAACAAAGGGAGGCAGCUGGCGCUGCAUAUUAUGAUGCUAUUACUUAUACUCAAGGUGCAUUUACACGUGUCCCAGAGGCACUUCGCCCUAAACCUGGUCGCCUGACUCCUGCCCAACAGCGCGUCUAUGAUGUAAAACUAAAACAAACACCGUAUCCUGCCAUGUUUUUUUUUGAUGGAGCUGUUGCACUUAUUAAUAAUCUCUUCAUGUGUUAUAUAUCUUUGUGUUUUGCAGGACUUCAAGAAUAUUUGGCAAAACCAGUCUAGUCAGAAUGCAAGUACUGGGUCUACUGGCCCACCUGUUAUGGGUGGAGGUUCAGUUAACUCCGGUCUACCUCGAGUUUAUUCAACUGCAGCUCCGUCGAGCACCUCCAGCAUAUCUACUUCUCAAGUUGCUCCAUUUAGCUCAGUUUCUCAGCCAUUAGAUUUGAUCACGGAUGUGUCAGAUCGUGGUUCUAUGCAGCUUCUUAGGUAUGGUUUCUUGAAACCUUUUCUUCAUUGCUUGCAAAUUAGUAGGGGAAUUCAUUGUUUUAGAAUUGACAGUUGACUUCUAAUUUGUAGCACCACCUCUCAAACUGGAACAAAUGAUACGCCUUUUCAACAGGGUGGUGGAAUCAGUUCUAUUGUUUCUCCAAUUCCUUCUGCUGUUAUUUCCAGCGAUCUGCCAGCAGCAGACACUACAACUUUGACUAAAGUUAGUUAUCUUUUCCAUUAUUUUUAUGAAAAAUUGGAAAAUAAAUGUUGUCAUUUCUCUGACAUCUGAUUUAUCUGGUGUCAGGAGUUUGGGACCGUUGUACCAUCUUCACCUACAACUACUGCAGACCGCCUGGGAACAACUGUUUUACCUGAAGCAAUGUUGACUACAGGAGAAGCAUUGGAGAAAUACCAACAAGUUUCACAAAAGGUAUGAAUUCUUCAGUAGCUUUGUAAAAUAACCAUAUGUUAUUCUUAACGUUUUUAUGCAUUUUGCUUCAUGUACCUUAGUUCGUUAUCAAAGUAGAGCAUGUAGACCUGAGUUGAAAGGUACAUUCUGGUUUUUCUAACAAGAAAGCUUUUGACUGUAUUUGUACCCAUCAAUUAGAGCUAUUGUAUUGUGCUCUAAUUACUUAACAAAUAAAUGUGAAUUUUGUUUUGUUGGGCAUUCUAAAGCAUAUAGAACAAGUUUUUUUUUUUUUCCUUUAUUCUCUGAUAAUAUUUGAUGUCUUAGCAAAAUUUUUGUUGUUGAACUGGCUUUUCAAUCAUGGUUGGUUGAAGUACUUUCCCUUUUCUUAUGAGUGUGUCUAGAGUGCCUUGGAGGUGGUAGAGGCUGCAUUGGAAAUAAAUCCCUGGGGUGUUAGAUAUCAUGCCACUCAUGUUUUCUUGCUAGAUUUUACUAUUCACUUUUCAUUUGGAUAGAGCCUAAGGGCUCUUGACUUGGGCAAGUUUUUGGCUAAUCCUUGCUACUAAAUAUAUGUUUAUGAUAAUCUCUUUUGCUUAAAGCUGUGCCUUCUCAAACUUCUCUGCUUAAAUUUGUUUGACCAAUUUCAACAUUGUCACCGGAACUCGUUUUUUCAGAUGGAAACUUUGAUUGCUAAUGAUGCUAGAGAGACAGAAAUUCAGGUGAGAUAGCAGUUGCUUGAUCCUUUCUAUGGUCCCUCCACCAUCCAAAACAGUGUUUGUGUAUUAAUGUGCAUGUUUGCUCCUAAAGAAUUUUAAUUGUUUGAUGUACCAAGCUAUGUAAUUCUUUUUAGGUAGUUGUUGCUGAGGUGCCUGAUAUCAUACGCAAAUCUGUAAGCCGAGAUGAGGCUGCAUUGGCUGUGGCACAAAAGGUUCAUUGUCUAGUUCCAUGUUUCUUGUUGUAAUCACACUUUUUUUUUUUUGUUUCUUGACUUUUCAGUGAUAUGUGGAUGAAUAUUUUUGCUGCAGGUGUUUAAAAGUUUAUACGAGAAUGCAUCCAAUGCUCUCCACAUAUCCUCCCAUCUUGCUGUUUUAGCCUCGAUACGGGAUGUUUGCAAGCUUGUAGUUAAAGAAUUAACUAGCUGGGUAUGAGUUUCAUUGAUCUUGGGCCACUUCAGUGAAAUAUAACACUGUUUGUCUAUACUUGAAAAUGGUUUUAGUAGCUACGUAGGAAAAUGUCUCCCGUAAUGCAUCAUGUUCUUGUGAACUACUGUGUUUUUAGUCUAUCAACUACCCUUUUUUCUCCUUCGAUGAAGGGUGUACAUUUUGGCAACACCUGGUUCUUUCUUUAAGACAUAAGAGAUUAUGGACCCUAAACCCUAGACUCUAAAACCUGAAAAGAGAAAAAAAAGAAAAUACUUUUUCAUGUCUACUUGGUAAACUUGGUGCUUGUUCUUGAUUGUGCAGGUAAUUUAUUCAGAUGAAGAACGAAAAUUUAACAAGGAAAUAACUGUGGGCCUUAUUCGUUCAGAGUUGCUAAACCUUGCGGAGUACAAUGUCCAUCUCGCAAAACUUAUUGAUGGUGGAAGGAAUAGUAUGUGGAUAGCAUUUGUCUUUUGAUUCUUUAAACAAAACAUGCCUAACUAAUUUGGUUAUUGGUUAACUCUUUUGGAUUCACUUUUUGUGAAAAUUCUGGGACGAAUAUAUGCUAAUUCUUAGUAAAUGUUAGAGCUAUUUGGUGUUCCUCUCCUUUUUGGGGUUUUAAUUGGCUGUUCGUGAAAGUUAUAGUUGGUUAAUUGAAAUAUUAACAGAUUGUAUUCCUUUGCAGAAGCUGCAACAGAGUUUGCCAUAUCCCUUGUCCAAACAUUGGUUGCGCAGGAACCUGGAGUUAGCAUGUCAGAAUUGUAUAAUCUGAUUGAUGCCCUAGCAAAGGUAUUACAUCUGGUCAUUUGUGUAAGUCGGCUACUCUUAUUUUGCUAAAGAUAGCAGACCAAUUGUAUCAUAAACUUGCAGUUGGCAAUGAGGCCGGGGUCGCCGGAGUCAUUACAACAGUUGAUCGAGAUUGCUAGGAAGGCUGCACCUAAUUCCAAUGCUAAUAAAGAUGAGAAAGCUCGACAGUCGAGGGAUAAGAAGGUAGUUAGAAUUUUAUGCCCAAUAUAUUAUGUAGUCAUUCCUAGCAUUCAACGAAGGAUUAAAGUGCCAUGGCAUGGGUGCGUGCUGGUUGUCGCCUGGCAUGGUACGACAUAGGCAUGCCUCCAUGCUGAUACGCAUGACCUCUUAGUAGCACGCUUUGACACGAUUUGUUUUAAAAUUUUUUUCCAAUAAACUCUUAUCAUGCUAUUUUGAAACAUUUAGAAAAAUAAUUAUAAAUGCUGGUUAUGUAUAGCCUACUACAUAGCAAGGAUUAAAGUGUCCAUUGGCACGGGCCGUAUCCACCGUGCCGUAUCGUGUCAGCAAGAUAUCAGCACGAUACAAUCCCCGUGCCAAUGUCACAACUCAAAAUCCUCUAUUCUUGAAAUUAGUAAGUAAUUUUCUUAAGAAAGUUCAAAAGAUCUAAUAAAAAUAUAUAAUAAAUAAUUGGCAUAUUUGGUUGCUAAAGAAAUAAAUAUUUUAUGCCAUUACGUGUUGGCACACAUAUUUUUUGUGAUCGACACGCAUUGGCAUGGCCUGGCCCGCACUGUGGCGUACCGUGCCGGCAAGUUUCCGGCACGACCUCGUGUCACGGCACUUAAAUCCUUGCUACGCAACAAUUAAUAUAGUGGUAGGUUUUUUUUGUGUAAAGUAAAAUAUAGCUAUAGCUUGUAGAAAAUGAAAAUUAAAAAUCAAUUAUUUUGAAAAUUCUUUUGAUUUUAUCUUUUUUUUUAGAACUUUAAAAAUUAUAAAAUACAAAAUUAGAGAAAAUUAUUUUUUCUUAAAAUUUUUAUGGAAUUUGCAAGAUUCAUCCAUGUUGAUUCAACGGGAGUAGGGGUGUAAACGAGCCAAACACGAACGAGCUAGGGCCGGCUCGUUUAAUAAACGAGCUGAACACGAGCUGGCUCGUUAAAGUAUCGAGCCGAAAACUUCAGCUCGUGUUCGGCUCGUUAAUAAACGAGCCGAACACGAGCUGGCUCACGAGCUGGCCAUUGAACAAUAAGUUAAAAUGGAUUAGAUUGAAUAUAUAUAAAAAAUAAAUUUAUAAAAUUUCAUUCAUUAGAUUUUGAUUUUAUAGUUGAAACUUUACAUAUAAAUGAGUCUUUUUAUAAUUAAGCUCGCCUUUAUAUUUUUAUUUUGCUAAAAAUUAAAUAAUAAAAAUAUAUUUAUAUAUAAAAAUAUAAAUUAAAUAAAUUAUAUAAAUAUAAAAUAUAUGUAUUCGAGCUGUUAUCGAACCGAACACGAGCGAGCUGACCCAGCUUGUGUUCGGCUUGUUUACUAAACGAGCGAUUCGAUCUCGCAGCUUCAUUUCGAGCCGAACACGAGCUGGCUCGCGAACAGCGAGCUGGAUUGCCACCCCUAAACGAGAGACUGUAUAAUGACUAGAUUAACUAGAAUAACGCUACAGUUGCUCUUUGUUUCUUUUAAUUUUGAAUCUUUUAAAAAUAUUUAUUAAAUAUUUGAAGAAAAAAUUAUUUUUUAUUAAAAUUUUUAAGAAAAAUUGUGAGAUCUAUCCAUAAAAAUUUAACAAUAAAUCGUAUUAGGAAUAAUUAAGCAAAUUUAAGUAUCAAUUGAUUCAAUAUAGUUUUUAUUUUAUUAGUAUUUUCCAUCUUUUAAAUCAAAAAUAGAAUUUUCAAAGUAAAAAUUUUUGUCGUAAAUCUCAUACCUAAUGCUAGAUUUAUCUGAAAUAAUUACAAAUCGGACUACAUAAUGACUUAAUCAAGUAGAUCUAUUUUUAAGUUUUUGUAAACUAUAAAUUAAAAUUUGCAUAAUUUCACAUUUCUUCAAAAUAGGAACUUUACAAGUUAGAAAUAUUCAAAAUGUAUGGAAAAAAAUUUAAAUUUGUAAAUUUUUUUUACUUACCUAAUAAGUAUCUUCGAUUUGUUAUUUCUUCGCCUUUUCUUUUAAGAUCGAAGUGAUCAAAGUAGAAAAAAAGUAGAAAUAGAAGGGAUUGAAAGAAGAAAUUAGAGAAAAAAUUAUAAUAAGAGGAGGAAAAAAUAGAAAGAAAAAAAAAGAGAGGACGAGAUAGUGAGAAGAAAAAGGAGAGAUUGAAAGAGCAAGUUGAGGAGAAGAAAAGGUAGAAGAGAAUGAGAGGGGUGUGUGGGGCAAAAAGAAAAAAAAAAUCCAAAAGUAGGCCCCCGGGGGGGGGCUAAAUCUCAAGGGCACGCAGCGGCACUGUGCCUUGAUACCCUUUGGGUAUCGUAUUGUCUUGUGCGAUACCAAAAGGAUAUCAUGGCACGAAGGGUUACCGUGCCGCUUAAUUGGGGGCAGUACGUAUUGGCACCGGGAGGUACUUAAAACCUUUUAUUCAACUGAUGGUCUUGUUUUCUGAACAUACCUUCUUUGAAACAGGCUCUAUCUGGUCGUUCUUUGACGAGCAAAGAGGAGUAUAAUGAUAGUGCAACUGCUGAUUCUGCUGGUUUCCAAGAUCAGGUUUUGAGAUUUUUUUUUUCUUAAUGCUUGAAUUUGUUGUAUGGGACUAUGGUUUUUACUGGAUAAUCUACACAUGCAUUUUCUGAAAGAAACAUGCAUCAAUCAUUAUAAUAGGAAGCAAACUGUAUUUGAACUCUGUAUUGAAGUCACUCCGAUGCCAGCGAACAAAGAAAGUAAAUGACUAACCGUUGGCAACUGCAUAUGGAUUCGUUAUUUUUGUUUCUUAUACCUUUACUCUAUAUGCUUUGGCAUCUAUCCUUCUAAUGUAUAAUGUAGGCUUGAUCAAACGCAUCCAGUGAAAUCUUCUCUUUCAUGAUGGGAUGGAGCAAGGAUUAUGAUGCUGUUGACAAGCUGAACAUGCGUUGACUUGCCAGCAUUUCCUUUUCUUUUCUUUUCUUUUCUUUUCUUUUCUUUUUUUUUUCUUUUGGAAGAGGGCCUACUCUAGUUCAGUUAAUGUGUCUAAAAUCAUUUUAAUAGUUAAAUAUUGUAAUUCAAGCCUGUCCGAAGAUUCUGAAACAACAAUGUCUUGGCAGCAUCAUAAUUCAUAGAUGAGACGGGUCCAUAGGACAGUAGAUUAGAUGCUACCUUCAAAUCUUUCUUGACCGAAGUAAAAUCUAGAGACCAUGGCACAUGAAAGGGCCGUUUUUGGGCUCAGCUACUAUUAUUGACCAUCCAGAGUGCUCUUUAAUGAUUGAAAAAUGAUAAUUCAGUUGUAUGGAGAUGGUUUUGGAAGACUAAUACAGUCUUGAUCAUGUUUAUUAUGGAAACCACAACUCCAAGGGAAUAUAUAGUUUGAUGUGGUCAUAUUUCAGGUUGCAUUGGGAAGAGCCUUUGCUGAAUCAGGCUCAUGCCCAAGUUUCAGAAUUAUAUUUGUGUGCAGUUUUUUCAUAAAAGGUCUUUAACAAAGAUUUGGGAAGAGCCUUUGCUGAAUCAGGCUCAUGACCAAGUUUCAGAAUUAUAUUAGUGUGCAGUUUUUCAUAAAAGGUCUUUAACAAAGAUGAUGAAAGAUAAAUCUCCUAUUGGUUCUUUUGGUGUCCAUUUUGUUACUUUUUCUUUUUAAUCAUCUUAUGCAACAUUUAGUAAUAUUUUGAGCUGCCAAACCUAAGAUUUUACUGGUUUGCAUGGUAGGUUGCUAUUCUUUUUUCUGAAUGGUGUCAGAUUUGUGAUCAUCCUACAACAAAUGAUGCAACAUAUAGUCAUUACAUCUCGCAAUUGAAUCAAAGCAGUUUACUUAAGGGUGAUGAUAUCACGGACCGUUUUUUCCGUAUUUUCAUGGUUAGUUCUUUUUCAUUGUUUUCAUUUUUCACUGUCUGUUAAUGAUGGCUUGCUCGCUAAUAUUCGACUUAUUUCAGGAGCUUGCUGUUUCGCAUUCCCUAGUGGCUGAGCAAGUCAUGACUCCAAGUGUGAUAUCACUUCAUUCGGCUCAACAGCUCCAACAAGUCUCUUAUUUUUCCAUUGAUUCAUAUGCAAAGCUUGUUGUCUUAAUUUUGAAGGUAUCUUGAAGACAAAUUAUAGUAAAGAACUGAAGAUACAUUCUGUUAAGCAUAAUCAACAACAUCUAAAAGGAAAGAUUUAACCUAAAUAAUAUUCGUUUGAGAAGCUUCACAUGUUUAUCAAGUGAGAAAACUGUAGAAAAUUUGUGUUUGUAGACUCGAUAGAACCAUUUAUGCAAGUGUAGUAGAAUAUGUGAAGGGACUUACAGAAAAGAUCCUCCUGGCUAAUUAAAACUUUCAUAUGUUAAAAAUGGAAUAAUAAAAAAAAUCAGCUCAUAAAAUCUGUUUCGCCAGAAACUUGUUAACAGUUUCUAGAGGAUUGAUGUCUGGUUGUAGUAGCUCUUAGAAUCUGUUAGUUCUUGUGCUUUUUCAUAUUUGAUUUAUGCAUAUUUGAUUCAUGAUUUAGUCCUUUGCUUAUCCCAUAAUUGUGGAGAAAUGCUUGUUAUAUGAUGUUUUGAUCAUUGCACUGUAGCUGUUAUGGAACUCAAGUACUGUGUUUAUUUUGUAUAAAAGUUUUUAUUUAUCUAAUUUAAUGUUUUUUUCCUUCAGUACUCUUCAGUGGAUCAAGGAUCAGUGAAAGCUAUUCUUCUUCCAAAGGUUCACUGAUGGUUUAGUUUGUUUCUUAUCUCAUUUUUGUGCAUGGCUGCAUUAUAUUUUUAUUCUUCUGCUUCAUGUGCAGAUUUUGUCGGUAACGGUGAGAGUCAUCCAAAAAGAUGCAGAAGAAAAGAAACUGUCUUUCAACCCAAAACCAUACUUUCGAUUGUUUAUUAAUUGGCUAUUGGACCUUGCUUCUCCAGACCCUCUCCUUGAUGGUUCUAACUUUCAGGUUGUAUGCUAUAACUAGAGCCUUCAACUAUUCUUGUGUGUUCUAAUGUUUCUGACAUUGAUCAAUUAUUUCAGGUGUUGACUUCUUUUGCAAAUGCUUUCCAUGCUUUGCAACCCUUGAAAGUUCCUGCUUGGAGGUUUGGUCACUUGCCCUUAUCAUGACUCUUUCACAUCCUAACUUGUUUCUUUCUUUCAUAGAAACGCUAAGAUAUUUAGGUGUUAGUUUGAAUGAAUUCUAAGUGCUAUUAAUUGUUGAUAUAGUAAGUUUUGUUUUGGGGCUUUUUUUAAUAUAUAUAAAUAGAGAGAGAGAGAGAGAGAGAGAGGAGAGAGAGAGAGCGACUAGGCUUCUAUCGGUAGUAAACGACUUGGUUUACUAUUGAUUUGUUUUUGAUGAUAGAGCUUCCAAAUCGACGAUCGGCACCGUAGAACAUGAUCUAUACCAUUUAACUAUUUAGAAAUCAAAUUUCAUGCUUUUUUGACAUCACUAACCAUGAUCAAAGGGUCACAAAAUUUAUAAUUUUAAUGGCCGAUAUGGUAUGUUUGCUUAUUUAACGGCGUAGAAAAGUACAAGUCAACUAAAUUUUUGUUAGAAAUUUUUUUUAACUAUUGAAAAUAAUAUUUAGACUGUACAUCUUAAAUACAAAAAUUGUAUUAUCACUUUUUGAAGGAUAUUCAUUUUCAGCCAUUUAAUUUUUUUUUUUCACUUGAUGGACAAGAAAAUAAUAUUGGAAAAGCAUGCAUUUUGAUUUCUAGAUAGUUUAAAUGGUCUAGAUCAUGUUCAACAGUGCCGGCUCUCUCUCUCUCUCUCUCUCUCUCUCUCUCUCUCUAUAUAUAUAUAUAUAUAUAUAGGCUUUCUAUUAAGGUCUUGACUCUAGUUCGGGCAUCUGUGCCAAUUAAUAUGAUUUUUGUGUUCAGUGCUUUUGUGGUAUCCUGCCAUAUAUUAGGAUAUUUUAGUUCCUACUGUGUUUCUUACAGAUAAUAAAGUUUGUGCGAGCUGCCUUUUCUUCUUUGGUAUUUGAUCAGAACAAAAUUUUGUGUUACCAGAUGCAAUAGUUGACCUACUCGAAUCUUAGAUUUCAUUGUAUAUUACUUUAAAUAUCCUACUUAUUAUUUUUACAACGUAUUAGGAGGAAUUGCUUGUCUUGGGAAAGACGAAAGAUUUCAUCAUGCUAUUAUAAAGCGUGAUUGCUGAACAAUAGCUAUUACUUGCAACAACUGCCCUACUCUAUGUUAAGUUUUUCUGUUUUUUGUCCACAUCUCAUGCUUUUGUAUCUGAUUAAAACUCUUUCAGCUUUGCAUGGCUCGAGUUGGUGAGCCACAGAAGCUUUAUGCCUAAACUGCUGAUGUGCAAUUCUCCGAAGGGCUGGCCGUUUUUCCAACGCUUGCUAGUUGAUUUGUUCAAAUUCCUGGAACCUUAUUUGAGGAAUGCUGAGCUCGGAGAGCCGGUUUGCUUUCUUACUUUUUUUUUUUUUUUUUUCUUUCUUAUCUUUUUGGUAACAUUCUGUGUUUCCCUCCUUUUUUUAUGGUUGCUUUCUAUUCUGUGCCCUAUUUGCUCCCAGGUUCACGUUUUGUACAAAGGCACUUUGAGGGUUCUGCUUGUGCUACUACAUGACUUUCCCGAAUUUCUUUGCGACUAUCAUUUCAGUUUUUGCGAUGUGAUCCCCUCCACUUGCAUCCAGAUGCGCAAUGUAAUUCUUAGUGCGUUUCCCCGAAAUAUGAGGCUCCCUGAUCCAUCUACUCCUAAUUUGAAGGUGAUUGUGGCAUGACAUUAUUGUUGCACUUUGUUGCAUCAAAAAUACUAGAAUAUUGAUAUAAGCAAUUAAAUAUCUUGUCUUCUAUUAAAUCAGAUUGAUUUGCUGGCUGAAAUCACCCAAUCCCCGAGGAUUCUAUCUGAUGUUGAUGGCGCUCUUAAGGCUAAACAGAUCAAGACUGAGAUCGAUGAUUAUCUCAAGGUAAGUAGGGUUUGAUUACUAUGCUUUGUGGCAUUUUGUCUUAGGAUUAUUAAGUAAAACAUUAUAUUCACUCUCUUUGCUAAGAAUUAACCCCUUUUUUGUGACAUCCCUAGGAUUUAGAAUAGAAUAUAUGAGAUAUAAUAGGGCUAAACCUCUUAACCCGGCUAGGGCGUGCUACAACUAGAGCAGUUCUAGAAUGGGUGACCUUUGGGAAGUGGGGUAUCACAAUCGGUAUUAGAGUCAAUUACCAGAUUCUCAGUUGAGCCAGGGUCAUACAACGGGUAGAGUACGGCUCCUCGGCUAACGACCGUUAAGGUCGGUUAAGGAUAGCGAGAUGAGUCUCACAUCGCCUGGUGCUUGUGAGUGUGCUUGAGCCUGGCGAGAAUGCCAAGGCUUAAAGGAGAGUAGAAUGUGGCACCCUAGGAUUUAGAAUAGUCCUAUAAAUGAGAUAUAAUAGGGCUAAAAAUCUCUUAACCUGGCUUAUAGCAUUUUGUUGGGUGUCUAGGCCCAAAGGUUAAAGAGAGUUAAGUGAGCGUACUAGGGCUAGAAUAGUUCCAGGAUGGGUGAACUCCGGGGAAGCGGUGCAUCACAGUUGGUAUUAGAGCUAAUCACCAGCUGGAAGUAUGAGAUAAGUCUUAGUUGAGUCAGGGUCAUACAGUGGGUAAAGCGUGGCUCCUCGGCUGACGACCGUUGUGGGCGGAGCGCGACUCCUCCAUAAGGUCGGCUAAGAAUAGCGAGACGAGUCUCACAUUACCUGGUGCAUCACUCGGUGCUUGUUAGUGCGCUUGAGCCUGACGAGGAUGUCAGGGCUUAAAGGGGAGAGGAAUGUGACACCUUGGGAUUUGGAAAUCUUAUAUAUGAGAUAUAAUAGGGCUAAAUUGCUUAACCUGACUGAUAGCAUUUUGGGAGGCGGUUAGGCCCAAAGGUUAAAGAAAGUUAAGCGUGCUAGGGUUAGAAUAGUUUUAGGAUGGAUGAUCUCCCGGGAAGCGGCGCAUCACAGUUUUCCAAGCCUGCAUAAUGUAAUCAUAUGUAUUAAGUUCUAGUUCUCUUUAAGUGCACAUUGAGUGUCAUAUUUACUCCUUGUCCUUGUCGUAAUGUAACUACUGCAGACACGGCCAGAAGGAUCUCCCUUUUUAACUGAGCUAAAACAGAGAGUACUGCUUCCGCAGAGUGAGGCAAACGUAGCAGGAACUCGGUACAACAUUCCUCUGAUCAAUUCUCUUGUGCUUUAUGUAGGCAUGCAGGUAAACACUGCAAUUUUAUUUUCAUUAAUUAACUCUUUGGGUAAAUAUAAAAUGCAUUUUGACUGCAUACUACAUAGUCAUCUCAGGCGAUACAGCAAUUACAGAGCAAGUCAACUCCUCAACAUGUACCUGCUCAACAGAUGAGUCAUAAUCCUCCUAUGGAUAUAUUUCUAGUCGGUGCGGCUAUGGAUAUCUUCCAGAGCCUCAUAAAGAACCUGGACACCGAAGGCCGCUAUCUUUUCCUUAAUGCAGUUGCGAACCAACUGCGAUACCCGAAUAACCAUACGCAUUACUUUUCGUUCGUCCUUCUGUACUUAUUUGCAGAGGCGAGCCAGGUGAGCUUUUAGCAUGUCACUUUCUAGUUUUGCUGCCAUUCUAUGACAACUUUGUGUCUGCAAGUUUGAUCGUAGUUUUCUCCGUGCUCUUCGUUUUCCAUCGUGUUGAGUUUCUGAUAUUUUCUUUCUAUUUGCAUCUUUCUAUUUGCAUGGUUUUAAAUGAGGCAAAUACAGACUUGAGCCUCGUGUUCUUCUUUUCUUUGUUUUCACUAAUGUACUCGAAUCAACACGAAUGAGCUGCUGCAACUUUGAUUUAAAGAGAGUAUUAUAUGUCAAAAGUACUUUUUGAGGUGUGGGAAAAGACAACUGGGCUGACGUAUCAGAAUGGAAAUUUAGUAGGAUAAAAGUAAUAACAAAUAACUCUUGAGUUAUUUUGGAGAACUGAUGUUGAAUUGGUGAAUAAACUAAUACUGUGUGGACUUCGUUUAUACAUAUGUUGAGAGGCUUGUUUUUUGUUUGAUUGUAGGAAAUCAUCCAGGAGCAGAUAACAAGAGUGCUCUUAGAACGCUUAAUAGUAAACCGCCCUCAUCCGUGGGGGCUCCUUAUAACCUUCAUUGAGCUUAUCAAGGUAUUUCACUAAUUUUUUCGUAGUUAUUGCUUGUCACCUUGUAUCUCUUGCUAAGUUGUCCUAAGGCAAGAAUCCUAUUGCGAUGUAGAAUCCACGCUACAACUUCUGGAACCGGUCAUUUACUCGGUGUGCACCAGAGAUUGAGAAGUUAUUUGAAUCAGUGUCAAGGUCGUGUGGUGGUCCUAAGGCUGUGGAUGAUGGAAUUCUCUCUAGCAGCGUGUCAGAUGGCAAUCACUGAGAUAUUGGACUGUAUAUUUCUAUUUGAUGAACAGAAAUUGAAAGAACAUUUGUGAGACUUUUGUAUGCUGGUUGUUUUUUUUUCUUCUCUGUUGUAUUUAUUUGAAGUAAAACUGGAAUGGGGCAACAGUCAAACCCUUCUCGUUGUUCGUCUUAUCGGAGCACUUCUUAUGCCUGAAUUGAUUUAUAAAUGUCCUUCCAAAUAUUUAGCUUUCGGAACAUUUAGAAAUGUUCUUUAUCGGAGCACUUCUUAUGCCGGAGCACUUGUUAGCUAUGCUCUGGGCUUAGUCAUCUAUUAAAUCGCUACAAAUAUUUAGAAUUCAUUUCAUAUACCGAACUGAUCCAUUGAGCGGAAUUCGUAGGUUGGAUCGAUCUUAUAGAUUAUAUACUUUAUAGUAAUGAUCUCAAAUUGCCUUUAUAAUUCUGCAAGGAACAACUAUUAGGAACCUUCUAAUGCCUGUAUUGAUUGGAUGCCACCGAGUUAAAGGUAGGAUGCUGCUGUGGUUAAGAAAAUUCUUGCUAAAACCCAAUUAAUGUCGCAAAAAAUUCUGACGGAGCUAAGCCCCUUAGAAAUAAUCGUCCGUGGAGAUUUAGUGCCGAUUUUAAUAUCCCGACUUGAUCGCAUUUAAUCAGCGGUUCGACCGUGAGACAGCUACUUCUCACGUUAGGAUCUAAUACAUUUUCGCUAGACUACUAGUCAGUGCACGUGGUUUUUGGUACAAAUAUUAUUUAGUAAAAACUUUUAUAUAAUUAUUUUUUAUAUGGUUAAACAUUUAUAUAUCAAAAACAUUACUACGUGGUCAAACCUUAAGAUUAUAGUGGGUUUUUUUUUUACUAACUACGUUACUUUAAAUUAUUUAUAGAGAAAAAAAAUUAUCAUUCUGAAUUGAACAAAAUCUAAUAUUACCACUUUGUAAUGUGACUCAUUUAAUUUUGCUUAAUUUUUACAUUUAUCCUAAUAAGGAAGAUAAAUUAUAUAUUUUCUUAAGAAUAUCUAAUAGAUAUUGUAAUUCUAAUAUUUUUGUGAGAAUCUAGAUAUUUAAAGGAAUUCUAAUAAUCUAUAUAUAUAAUUUUUUUUAGUCCAGGUUUGACGUGAGAGAGAAAAAAUCCUCUUGCUUCUCUUCUCUCUCUACAUUUUCUUUGGAAUUUUCAUUUACAUUUUCGGAAUUUUGGAGGGUGGAUGAUAGUGGGAGACUCUAGCAGCCUUCAACAACGAUUUAUCCAGCACAGAGAUCUCCGCAUAAUAUUCUAUCAAAAAUCGAAGAGGCUGUAAGAUGAGUGCGACGAUUUGAAAAGUUCUUUUACUGAAACUACUGUAAGUAUGAUAUUUUGCCGAUGGUUGCUUUUCUACAAUUGGUAUCCAAUACUUUUUCGAUGGUUGCCUUUUUACAAUUGGUAUCAAAGCGUUUUUACUCAGUCUUUUGUUUGUCUUGAAUAUCAAUCCAUUUAUUUGUGCAGAUCUAUCUUUUGUGUAUAGAUUACUUUUGGUGAUUGAUUAGUUUUGGCUUAUUUGCAAUACUUUUAGAUAUCCAAUUACGAAUUUUGUGAGGUUUUGUAGAGUUUUUCUUAUAAUUACCAACAUUUUUUUUUUUUUUUUGUGAAAAUCAGAUUUGUAGCUCACUCUGUUUUUUUUAAAACAAACUAAUUACCGUUUAAUUUUUUUUUUAAAAAAAAGUGUUACUAUUUCUUGUGUGGGGCCGUGCAGCCAAUGCAGCUGCAUGUGCUGCUAGGCCCGGUCCUAGCCCGCCCACGUGCGGCUAUAAAGGACAUCGGGCCCAGCCCUGCUUGAGCUCCCGCGCACUUUGUGCACAACCCGCCCUGCCCAUCUUGAGCCCGCCUGCACGUAGCCGUGCUAGCUGUUGGACCCGGCCUUGCCUGAGACCUACUCCUCGCACUGUGCACAGGCUAUAAAGCUGGCCCGAAUUUUGUUUUAUUUAUCAAAAAAGAAAAAAAGAAAAGGCAGACUACCGAUCUAUAUCCAUGUAUGAAAUUGGGAACCCAAAAAUUGUUCGGCAGCCUCCUCCUCACUCCAGUGGGGUCCCUUUUUUUUUUCACUCUCUCACUCUCUAUCUCUCUCUAGGGGUGGCAAUCCAGCUCGCUGUUCGCGAGCCAGCUCGUGUUCGGCUCGAAAUGAACUCGAGAUCGGCUCGUCGUUUAGUAAACGACCCGAACACGAGCUGAAUUUUUCAGCUCGUUUAAUAAACAGCCGAACAAGAGCUGGGUCAGCUCGCUCCUGUUCGCUCGACAACAGCUCGAAUACAUAUAUUUUAUAUUAUAUAAUUUAUUUAAUUUAUAUUUUUAUAUAUAAAUAAAUAAUUAUAUAUAAAUAUAUAUUUUAUUAUUUAAUUUUUAGCAAAAUAAAAAUAUAAAUCGAGCUUAAUUAUAAAAAAACUCAUUUAUAUGUAAAGUUUCAACUAUUACAUCAAAGUUUAAUGGAUAAGAUUUUAAAUUUAUUUUUUAUAAUAUAUUAAUAUAAUAUUUUUUAAUUUAUUGUUCGUUGAUGGCCACUCGUGAGCCAGCUCGUGUUCGGCUCGUUAAUAAACGAGCCGAACACGAGCUGGAUUUUUCGGCUCGAUACUUUAGUGAGCCAGCUCGUGUUCGGCUCGUUUAAUAAACGAGCCGAACACGAGCCGACCCAGCUCGCUCGUGUUCGCUCGUUUACAACCCGCUAUCUCUCCCACACACUCUACACCCUUUUUUUUUUGUUUUCCUUCUCUCAACACCUUUUCCUUUUUGUUUUUCUUUAUAAUAAGUGUAAAAUUUUUUGCAUGAACAACCCUAUUAAAAAUAGUCGAUAUAAUAAAAUUAAAAUUUCAUAUGGUGUAAAAAAAAAUUGUACACCGAGUGUAUAAGACAUGCUCAUAUACAAUCUAUAAUUUGAAUUCUUUUUUAUUUUUUUCCUACACCAAGUGUAAAAUUUUAUCGCAUGGACCAACCCUAUUUUUUAAUAGUCCAUAUAACAAAAUUAAAACUUCAUACAGUGUAAAAAAAGUUAUACACUGAGUGUAUAAGACAUGCUCAUAUAUAAUCUAUAAUUUGAAUUGGGAACCCAAACCUUUUUUUUUUUGUUUUUGCCUACACCAAGUGUAAAAUUUUAUUGCAUGGACUAAUGUGUAGGCAAUAUUUCAAUUCUUCUAAUUUUUAUUCAAUAUAUNCGAAAACGCCCAGCCCGAGCCUCGGGUUGGCUGAGAAGCGGCCAAAGUCGAUGGCUGUACCGGUACAGCCAUCACUCCCGUACUGGUACACAGCCCUCUGAAGGCAACCCGAGAGCUAACCAAAAAUCCGAUUUUUCGGGUUUUCGUGCUCGCCUUUAAACCUCACUUCUCGGGAUGCGAGCCAUAGGUCGGAACACUGUCAACGACCCACCAGAAAAUCUGGAAUUGCUCAGCACACAGCUCGAACACUCGAACCUCGCAAUUUGCAAAGGUCCAGUGUGUUACAGACAUGGAACCAGCUAAAAGUAAUUUUUGGGCAAAACUUCAACUACAAGGCUACAUGUGUUAAAUUUGAAAUUCCAGUUGCACAUGAAGGACCGGAAGCACACCAUGGGUGAGCACCAUUGUCACACCCGAUGCCCCUUUUGAAAGUAUUUUUGAAAAAUCUUUUAUUUUGAAAUUAGAGUUAAAGAAAAAUCUUUUGUUUUGAAAAAUCUUCACGUAGCGCCCAACCUUCAUUGUAAUAUACUGAACUAUCACAAAGGCAAAGUCAUGGUAUGAGAUGAUGUCAGUGCUUUUAGAGAGUUUUGUGUUGAGUUGGAGCUAUUCUAUGCGAAAGAUAUGCGAAAACGGAACUUAAAAGUUAACUCAGCUAAAAUUUGAGUUUUAGAGUGGUUCUGGAUGCUCAGAAGUUGUUGUGGACGCUCGAAAGUUUAGAGUUGAGGAGAGUUGCCAAUUCGAAUGAUCUGGUGGAUCGGACACUCGAAAAAGUUUGGGUGGAGUUUCGGACGCCCUGAUGUGGCGAGAGUUAAAUAGAAAGGUUGAAGUCACUCCUUACGCAAGAUUGCAAAUGCUUGAAAGUAUUGUAACAGCCUAAAAGUUUAAGGAUAAGGCUGUGAAAGGCGGAAAGCGAGGAGCAGGUGAGUCAUUAUGUAGAUUUUGGAUGCCCAAGGGGGCGGUUAGGGUGUUUGAAAGGCUGAGCUAGUUUUGGGCAUUUGAGUGCAAUAGUGGACGCCUCAAAACCAUCAAAUCAAUGAGCCAUAGGAUGCCCUAAUGUGGUUCCAGGCGGUCGAAUUGUCACACCCCGCGACCGCCCGCCCAUUUGGCCGGGUCGCGGCGCCGCAACAAACCGCCGAAUGGACAGGGUUUCCCCUGUAUCGCAGACAGAGUCUCCCCUGUACAUUCAAGGCGUCGCAAUCAAUAUAAUGUACGAAGUUCCAACCAGGAACACAUUUCAAUCAAAGAUUGCAUAAGGAAGUAUCAAAAACAUAAUCUACUUGCUAUUACAAGCAUUCACAUUAUUUAGAUACAUUUUACAUCACAAUUUCAUUGUACAUUUAACUUCCAAAUACAAUCAUGCUUUUAUUACAAAUUAUUACAAUCUUAUUCCUUUCAUUUUCUUACAUCCCUAAGUAAAGCCGACUCAGGGUACCGCUAUCUCUGGUCUCGGUGGUAGGGCGCUAACUAUGGAGCUACGCCCUCGCCUCGCGCCGCCGUGUCCCUCACGCGUGAACCUGUAACACCCUAAAACAACGUGGGGUGAGAACCAACUCCAUGGUUCCCAGUGGGUACGGCCACCCAAGGGAAAUGCUCGACCAACAGGUUCAAAGGAGGCAACUGCAGGUUAGUUUAAUAAACAGAUAGAUAUAUAUAUCUUGAUUAUACAACGAAUAAAACCAUGCAUUGCCUCACAAACGUAAUAAUGCAAUGUUAUAUGCAAAUCAUGCAAUGAUGCAACUAUACAACCAACUAGCAGUUCAUUCGAUACUACUUUCAAUUCUGCUAACCAUAGCUCAUCCGUUUGAUAUCUAAGGUUUCCUCUAUCUUAGAUUCUUGUCAAUCACCGUUUUAAUCAUAAAGUUUCAUCUACCUUUACAAGGCUAACCACCCGACUCGGUUUUGAGUCAAUCGUCUGCGGAGUACCGCACUAGAACCAGGCUCGAGGCGAUGGACGUCUCACAUACACCUCAGCCCUAAAUCCUCUCGACUGGGAUACCAAAUCCAUAACUCAUAAUGCAUACUUGUUGUACAUUCAUUUGGCUAUGACCCAAUCUUACCGGUUAACCAUGUUAACCCCAAUAACUCACCAUCCAAAAUCCCUUAAUAGCGGGGGAUUCGAACCUCCCUAGGGACCGUCAUCUAGGGGUACUUUACCACGCCCAGUGGUGACCAACUCCGGAGCGCACCGCCCGAGGGGAGCUACCUCCUUCAAGCCAAGACGUAACGUGAGUAUCGAUCCAAUCCUCAACUUGAGAAUUCAUAGCCACUCGUCACAAUGCCAUUGUCAUAAUAGGUUUUCUACCUAUUUAAUCAUGCCACUCUCUAUGUCAACUUGGACCAAUGUCAAUAUGGUUAAACUAUGUUUAACAACCACUUUCUUGAUGCCAAUCAUGUCUCUAUUUUCAUUGUCACCCUUGUUUACUAUUGUCUAAGUCCGACUUAUGUUCUUUAACAAUAGGUUUAAUGCCACACAUGAUUCCAACCUAACUUCUUUGACACUAGGUUAAUGUCUAACCUAUGUUUAUUCACACUAGGUUCAUAUUGUCCAUGUUCAACCUAGGUUCCUGACUCUAGGUUAAGUGCCACUCAAUCUAAUAUAUGUCCAAUGUCAAGCUCUCUAUUAUAGAGUUAUCGAUCCAAUUCAUGCAAUUAUCUAGCAUUUACAUAGCAUAUUUAUCAUGCAUUCUACGAUAAUUAUUAUAUAGCAACCAUACAAAGUAUUUGCCUAGCUUUUACAUCAUGUAAUUUACAUGCAUUCUUUUAGUGUUAACUACAUGCAUCAUCUCAAUGCCGACAUACAUUACAACUAGCAUGUACUUUCCCAAUGCAUUAUUAUGCAAUUAUCCUGUAGUAUGCAUUUUCAUAAUGUCAAUAUGCUUAUUGCCAUCUAACAUGUGUCCAUAUUUAGCAAUUUCUCAAACUCAUAUAAUUAACAAUAUGUUAACAUUCAUUUAUAUGCUCAUGUUCUCUAAUACAUGUCAACAUGAAUUUCAUAAUGCUAAAUGCCCCUAGCAUGUAUUUCACUAAGCAUACAUACUAAUAUGCAAAUUACAAACUAGCAUGCAUUUAUACAAUGCUAAUAUGCCCGUAUGCACAUACACGUAUGCAUCAACAAGGUUCCAUAUUUCGUUUUGACAUGCGGGGCGACCAAGUCCCUUCGGUAAACAGAACCCACCUCAAAUCGCUUUCCGAUUGCUUGUCGACACUUGCAAUCGGCCUCCCGCGGCACGCGGCACCCGGCACCCGGUUUGGCCCGAUCUCUCGCGCGACCACUCGAACGGCCUCCAAUCCACGAUGCGGAAAUUAAAGGUCUUCGGUUAUGUGCCACGAUGCUUCAAAUCCAUUUUCAUGAAUUUACGAUAUCUCCUCGGCCCUCCAGGCGAAAACGAAGCCUAAACAUCUGUUUCUUUAAUAACUUUACAAUGGCUCGACGAAUCGCCGAACCGACUUCGCCAACGUGUUCGUAUACCUAGCAAUUAGGUUUACAUAGGGUCAAAAUAGAUCAAACCCAUAUAUUUUACAAAACUCCAUUCGGAGCCUUAACAUGCAAUUAACCUCUAAAUAAUGCAAAUUAAAUAGAGAGAGUAUGUUUAGAACACUCUAGAUACUACUAGAAUAUCAUUCAUGAAGGAUUUAAACAAAAUCCCAAACGCUUACCAAAACGUGAAUGCCGCGACGAAAACACGCCGCUCCAACGGACGCACGAAAGCUCGAUCCGUCGCCUCCAACGCGUUUACAAGCAUCUUCUCCACCAACCCUCCAAUUUUUAGAGAGAGAUUUAGAGAGAUGAGAGAGAUAUCUAGAGAGAGGUAGAUGUGUUUCUCUCUCUAUCUCCAUGAGUAUGCGUGUGUGUGUGUGUGUGUGUGUGUGUGUGUGUGUGUCGUGUGUGUGCUCGGGCUGAAGGAGGGGAAGAAGCACAUUGCUUUUUAUAUAUUACACCCCAAAACACUAUUCACUCCAGGCAGUUUUUGCAGUUCGGAACAAUUGGAGCCCUUCUGAAUGUCCGUUUGAUCUCAAAUUUGACAGGCAGGCUCAGUUUAACGUACCGAGUAAGAAUAUAUUUUAAGUUUUCAGUUUCAACCCCAUUUGGUCACCGAAAAUUGUACCGAACUGUAAUCUUUAUCAGAUAGCUGUCGUAUUCUAUUUCUCACUCUACGGGUGUCAGAAAAAUAUGAAACUUUAAAUCUAGCCUCAUAAAAUAUUUCUGACAUAUCCUCCAAUUUUCAUAAUUUUCUGAGACUGUGCAUUUUCUGCUAAUUUAUCUGUCCCGUUUCCAACAGAAAAUUCUAAAUCUUCUGUUUUCAUUCCGAUUUCAGCACAAGUCACUUCUGACUUAUGUUUUACUUCUACAAAUUCAAUAAAAAUAGUUUCUCACACUAUUUUUAUUUAUUUUUAUUUUUAUACUAAAAUCUGGUAUGUUACAUUCUCCACCCCUUAAAAAGAAUUUCGUCCGCGAAAUUCAAACCACGCCUCAAUUCAGCUCCGCGAGCAAUUGAGGGUACCAACUCUUUCUCCCACUCCAGAGCGGCUUCACACUAUCGUUGUUCCAGAAGCGGCUCAUACCGAAGGACGUGGGUUUAAUCCUAAACUCAUUUGCAAAGUGUGAUACAAACGUGCAUCACGGGUCUUACAAGUCAUAGUGGCAGCGCAAGUCGGUACUCGACGACUCUACGCGCUCCAACACCACUCACCAUUCGAUACACAAAGAACUCUUCUUUGCACUUACCUUCCCUUCAGGGAAUACAUUCUGAUUCGAUCACCGACAUUGCUUAGGAGCAAUAUCACCGGUGCAUCGCUCCGUCGCGAGUGCUCUAAUUCGCACUGACCCUUAACUUUAACGCGAGAUGGCCUACUUCGGCACAUCUCAAGAAUGAAUCAUUACUUAAUUCUGUUUGGUUUAUCACCUGAAUCGGAAUCAAAAUAAAUAAUUCCCAUUGUCGGUGUUUGGUUCAGGUGGAUAUAAAAAACGUAAUCAAAUUAAUAUACUAACAUUAUAUUUAUAAUAUAUUAAUUUAAAUUCAAAUUAAAUAUUAAAUAUUAAAAAUUUACAUCAAAAUUUUGAAAUAAUGAUAAAAUUUUAAAUCUAUUUUUUUAAAAAAAUUUAAACUUUUAAGUUGAGUGGAUAAUUCAAAAUAUGAAACUAAAUUUUGAUUUAUUCAAAUUCAAACUUAAAAUUAGAAUUUAAAUUUUAAUUUGAAUCCAUAAAUUUAAUUUAAGUUUGAAAUAAAAGUUGAAUAAAACUUCAUAUAAAUUAAAAUUUAAUUUAAAUUCAAAUUUAUAAGUUAGAUUCAAAAUACUUGAUUAAAUUUUAAUUUUUAAUUUAAGUUCAAAUUAAAAUUUAAAAUUAUAUAUUUAAUUUUUAAAUUUUAACUCAUAUUUUAAUUAAAAAAUUAAAAAAAUAAAUUUAAUUUGAAUAAAUAUCCAUUCCGUCCGGAUUCAACUUCCAAUCCGGCCUUCUAGGCCGGAUUGAAAAAAGAGGCGAUUGGGGGAUUCCCAUUCCACUCGGGAAUCGGAAUCGGAAUGAAACUCCCGCGUACCAAAUACCCACAAACGGAUUCACCCAUUCCGAUUCCGAUUCUAGGGUAAAAAAGGAGCGAACCAAACACGCCCUUAUACUAUGAUGAGAUGAACUUGUAUCCAUAUUUUGGAAGUUGUAAAUGUAAAUCAGCUGAGGUUCAUGUUGAAUGUGAUGUAAUAGAUAGAAUGUUCUCUCUUUUAUUCACUUUGUAUGUACUUGUGAUUCUUGCUCUUACUUGUAUAGCACUUGUGGUGCUUUUAUCGUCGUUUGUAUGGAUCAUGUAUGCAUUUGAAUUGUUCCUGGACAAAUUCUUGCACAUGAUCUGGUUGUUGAGCCUUGGGCGGACAAGGGAGGUGCUGUCCGUUCGGUGUUUGUUCGACGUGCCCAAACCAACCAAAUUGGCGUUUGCGGGGCGUGACAGUGAUUUACUAAAGGCAUAGUCACUGAUUCAUUAUGAUGUUCAUACCAACUCAUGGCAUAUGUUCUAUAUUUCUAAACCUCCAGUUUAGGAAGUAAACAAGUAUUAUGCAAAUAUUUCUACUUGACUACACAAGUAUAUUGUAAUAUACCGAAUUUCUAAUUUAUGAAGUUACGAUGUAUGUUAGCUUAGAAAGCCAUUGGAAUCAUUCCGGCGAAGUUUGGGAGCAUUCGGGUGCUUCGGUGCGUAUAGGGCAUGAAAACGGAACCCGAAAGGCUAUGUUGGACCGUGGACUAAAUCUAGCAUUAGCGUGGAUGAAAAGAUGAUGAAAACAUAUUCGAAAACAUGUUUGAAGAGUCUCGGUUCGAUUUGAAAUAAAUCGGAGGUCAAACGAGCGAAAACGGAGUGAAAACCGACGAAGGCUGAAAAUGCUGAAAAAUUGGCUAAGUCUGGAACUUUGGUCCUUCGGGGACCGGUCUCUCACUGCCUGGGACCGGUCCCAGAGACUCGAAAAUGCCCAGUUCGGGCUGCUGCGAGAAAAGCAUUGUGGAGGGGCUUAAGUGCAAAAUGACACUUAUGAGAGUGUAUAGAGAGGAUCCUUUCUCUCUUUCUCUCAUUUCUCUCACUCUCCCACACUAAAACCUCUCCCUCUCUCUCUCUAGAAAGAAAGGAAGGAGAAGAAGAGGAGAAAGAAAGGGACGAAGAAGAUGAAGGAGAAGAGGCCAAGAAUAUGGAGCUUCAUCUUCAUUUUCUUCCUUGAGCCAUUGGAGCAAGCUUAGAGAGGUAAGCCUUAUUGUAAGGUACCGGACUUCUAAAAUCAUGAAGUUAUGGUUUAUGUGAGGUUAGAAAGCCAUUCGAAUGGUUCCGGUGAAGUUCGGUGAAGUUCGGAGGCAUUCGGGCGUUUCGGUGCGCAUAGGUGCGGAAACGGGACCCGAAAGGCUAUGUUGGGCCGUGAGCUAAAUCCGGCGUUAGUGCGGAUGAAAAGAUGAGGAAAAUACGCUUGAGAACAUGUUUGGAGAGUCUCGGUUCGAUUUGAGACGAAUCGGAGGUCAAACGAGCGAAAACGGACGAAAACGGGCGAAAAUGCUGAAAAUUUGGCUAAGUCCUUGAGGCUGAGUUCUGGACCUUCGGGGACCGGUCUCUCAGCCAAGGACCGGUCUCUCAGGGACCGGUCCCUCACCGCAAGGACCGGUCCCCGAACGCGAAAAACGCCCAGUUUGAGCUGAUGCGAGGUUAGAAGAGUUGGGGGGCUUAUUUGGAAAUGUUACAAUGUGAGAGGGGGUUAAGAGAGGACUCUCUCUCUCUCUUUCUCUCAUUCCCUCACUCUCCCUCAUGUUUCUCUCUCUCUCUCUCUCUAAACGAAAGAAAAAGAAGAAGGGGAGAAAGAAGAGAAGAAGAAGAAAAAGAAGAAGAAGAGGAAGGAGAAGAAGGAGAAGAAGAUCAAGAAGGAGAUCAACUCCACCUUCUUCUCUCCCUCCUUGCUAUUGGAGCAUCUUGAGAGGUAAGCCCUUAGCCCUCUCAUGGUAAAUCCCUAGAUGUAGGGUUUUGAUCUCUAGAAAUGGUUUAAUUGGAUUCCUAGCAAGCUUAAUAGAUGUUUAAUGCUAGAAUCUAGAGAUUUAAAGGUAGGUUUUUACCUAAUUGGAAUCUAGGGUUCCAAAAUGGCGUCUUGAUAUAUAUGAGGGUUUGAUCUCUUUUAACCCUCUGUAAACCUAAUUGCUAGGUCUACGAACGCGUUGGCGAAGACGGUUCGGCAAUCCGGCGAGCCGUUACAAAGUUAUUAAAGAAACGGCCGUUUAGGCUUUGGGUUCGCCGGGAGGGCCGAGGCGACGUCGUAAAAUCAUGGGAUUGGAUUUGGAGCACCGUAGCAGCAAGGCGAAGACCUUUAACUCUUGAAACAACGAAGCGGAACGCUCUUGGAGAACAACUGUGAGAUCGGGCCCAAACGGGUGCCGAGUGCCGCGGGAGGCCGAUUGCAAGUGUCGACAAGCAAUCGGAAAGCGUUAAAAGGUGGGUUGUGCUUACCGAAGCAACUAGGUCGCCUUUAUGUCUAAGAAAGACUAAGAAUCCAUGUUGAUGCAUAUAGAUGUAAAUGGAGCAUGAAAAUGAUGCAUGUUAAUGUAAAUGUAAAUGCCGAGUAGAAAUGCAUAAUGAUAAGAUGCAAGUAGCUAAACAAUGCAUGAUAAUAAUGAUAUGAUGUAAAUGCUAAGUAGAUGCAUAUAACAGAUUAUAUAUGUAUGUGAAUAAGAAUGAAAUGCAUGUUGAUAACUCUAGAAUGAGUAGAAUGCUUAGUUGGACAACUAGCUUGUGAAUAGAUCGAGUGGCAUCUAACUUAGUGUUAAAGAACAUAGGUCAUGAGUAGACCUAGAAUCAAAUAGAUCGAGUGGCAUCCAACCUAGUGUUAAUAAACAUAGGUCGGACAUAGUGAUGUGGAACCUAGAGUUUUAUAACCUAGGCUGUGGAAUAGUAAACCUAGAGUGGCAUUGAACCUAGGUUGUUGAGUAUAGUGGUAGCAACCACUAGGAUGUUUUAGGUCGACAGCAUAGGGUUGGCUAUGGACCCUCGACCUGUGGAAGUGGAUUCCGGAAUCCCAGGACUUGUGCUAUGCUAACCUUGGUAUCAAGGCUAGGGCGUGUGCGACGAUUUCGCCGCCGAGGUUGAUACCAAGGAUGGAUUGGGAGGUGAGCGCGCAGAGAUCACCGCCCGGGGCUUGAACCAUUGACGUGGCGUGUGCGACGAUUUCGCCGCCGGAUGGUUAAGCCAGUUUGUGGAUUAUGCCGCCAGAUCGACUUGAGCCAUUGUUGGGUGAGGUGCGAUUCGUUCGCCGCCAGAUGGCCAAGUCAAGGGACUUGAACCAGUGUUCGGCGUGUGCGACGACUUCGCCGCCAGCUGGUUAAGUCACAGAGUGCGGCCAGUGCGCGGACUAUCCGCGGAUGAUUGACUCGAGGCCGAGUCGGGUGGUUAGCUUGAUUAGGUUAAUAGAAACCUUAUAAGCUAGUGAUAAUGGUAAGAGCUAAGGUAAUAGAGACCUUAGAGGCAAUGUGAACUUGAGUUGUGAACUAAGGUAGUAGAACCUUAGAGGCUAAAUGACAUGAGCUAAAGUUAGUAGCGCUGAAUGUAGAAUCAAUUGAUCUACUGAAUGGUUGCAUAUUGUAUAGAACUGCAUAAUAUUCAUAUCGCACGUUGCGAGGCAUGUUAUUUGUUAGUUGCUUAAUAACUGAUGAUAUAUAUAUCUAUGGAUGUUUUUGGACUAACAUGAUUGCAGUGCCUCCUUGGACCUUUUGGUCGAGCUUUUCCCUUGGGUGGCCGUACCCACUGGGAACCAUGGAGUUGGUUCUCACCCCACGUUAUUUUGGGGUUUUACAGGUUCGCACGUGAGCGGCGCUGCGGCGCAAGGAAAGGGCGUAGAUCCAUAGAUAGCGCCCUACCCAGAGACCAGAGCUAGCAAUACCCCGUCGACAUAGCUUAGGGGACUAGAGGGAAAUGAAAAGAACACUAUGUAUCAAACUGUAAUAAGUAAAUGAUGUAAUAACUUAGAUUGUAUUUGAAGGAAUCAAAUGAGAACUGUGAUGUAAAAAUGUAUGAAUGUGAAUGUUUGUAAUAACAUAGGAUGUGUUAUGUUGUUGAUACCUUCCUUAUGCAAUCUGUUUGUUAAGUACUGUUCCUGGUUGGAACCUUUGUAUUGUAUUGAUUGCGAUGCCUUGAACGUACAGGGGAGACUCCGUCCGCAGUACGGGGGAAACCCGGUCCGUUCGGCGCUGUCGGCGCCGCGACCUCGGCCAAAUAGGCGGGUGGUCGCGGGUCGUGACACUUAUGCUCUCUAAUGAUAGAACCUUAUAGAUGGGUUUUUGAUCCCUAGAAUUGGAUUUAGAGGAACCCUAGCAUGCUAUCUAGGUGGAUUUCCCCCAUUUCAUAGAUCGAUUUGGUGGGUUUGGCUACGGUUAACACCUAGGGCUCCAAAUUGGGACUUUGCUUAGUAAUGAGGUUUGAUCUAAAUUGACCCUAUACAAACCUAAUUGGGGGUAUAACGAACGCGUUGGUGCACUCGGUUCGUUGAUACGAAGAGUCUACGCGAAGUUAUUAACGAAAACGUUAUUUUUCGUACAGAUAGCCGCAGCACGCGGAAUAAACGUCUAAAAAUCACGAAAACGGGUCCGGAGCAUCUUGGCAUCAAGAUAAGUAUAGAGCAAUUCCUAGAUUUCAGAUUGGUGGCCGUUCGGGUGGUCGCGCAAGAGUUCGGGCCAAACCAGACAACGAGUGCCGCGGGAGGCCGUUUGCAAGUGUCGACAAGCAAUCGGAACGCGUUAAGAGGUGGGUAGUGUUUACCGAAACGACUAGGUCGCCUCUAUGUCUAAGAAUAGUGUGGUUUCAUAUUGAUGCAUGCUAAUGACAUAAAGUAGAAAUGCUAAUGAGAAUGCAUGUUACAUGUUAUAGAAAUGCUAAGUGAACGCAUAUGAUUUGAUAUAGAAAUACUAAAUGGAAUGCAUGUUGACCUAAUGAAAGAAUGCUAAGUAAAUGCAUGAGUUGAUGUUAAUUUACAUGAGCUAGAUGUCAAAUGAAUGCAUAGAGUAUAUGCUAGUCAAGAAUGCAUAAGUUAAAUACUAGAAAAAUGCGUAUUGACAUAAUGUAAGAAUGUUAAGAAAAUGCAUGUUGGCAUGUUAUACAAAUGCUAAAUGAAGCAUGAGUUAAAUGCAUGUAUAAGAUGUAUGUUAAGUAAACACAUGAACUAAGUGCAUGAUUGAGAUGCUAAUGAUGAAUGCAUAAGACAUAUGCUUAGAUAUGAAUGUGAAUUAAGAUUAAUGAACUCUAAGUAGAGUAAAGAACUUGACAUUGUAAAGUAAGAACAUCGAGUGGCAUGCCAAUUGAGAAUCCUAAGUAUAAAUAACUAGGAUGAUGAGUGGCAAUGAAACCUAGUGUCAUUGAACAUAGGUUAAGAAUUGAACCUAGCGUCAAGGACAUAGGUUGAACAAGAGUGAUAAUGAACCUAGUGUUAAUGAACAUAGGUUAACGAGAAAGGCAUUAAACCUAAUGUUAGAGAACAUAGGUUGUGAAAUAAAAGUAAAGAACCUAGAGUCAAGUCAACCUAGGUAGAAAAGAAUAAUGGACCUAGUGUUAACAACCUAGACUAUGAGUAUGAAAGCAACAAACCUAAAGUAUUAACUUAGGUUGAGUAAAGGCUUGGACCUAAAUAGGUCAAUUCCAUAGGGUUAAGACCAAUCCUUGAGUAAUGAGAAAUGGAUUCCAGAAUCUCUAAGAAUGAAGGCUGCUAGUGCAGCGGAUAAGGCUUGUGACCGAGCGCAAGUGAAUCGAGACUGUGGGUAUGUUGGCUCUCCUCACCCGAUAGUGAUUCAACGGGUAUGUUGGUUCUCCUCGCCCGGUAAAAGAGAUGGCUAAUGAGAAUUUUAACUGUGGGUAUGUUGGUUCUCCUCGCCCGACAGUGAUUCAAUGGGUAUGUUGGUUCUCCUCGCGAGGUAUGCCAUGAGCUAGAGCUCGAGAGACUUGUGGUCCAGGGUUCAAUGGCAUUCCUCACCCCAUGGCAGACCUACAGUCGAGAGGAUUUAAGGCUGAGGUGCAUGUGAUAGUUCCUUCACCUCGAGCCUGAUUGAGCGCGGACUAUCCGCGAUUGAUUGACUCAAGACCGAGUCGAGUGGUAUAAGUAGGCUAAGGUAAAGUAACCUUAGGAAAGGAUGAAAAAUGAGCUUAAUAUGGGUAAGGUGUGAGUACCCUUAGUAAAGAGUAAAGAUCAGCUAAUGAGUAAAGAAUGAUUAUGCUAGGGAAUAGCAAUCAAUAAAGCAUGGCUAAGAACUAAGAAUAGCUAAUAAGUGACGAAUGAUUAGCAAUAAAGAUUGGCUAAGAGUAAAGAAUGGUUAAGAAUAAAGAGUAGAAUCGAUAAAUCUACUUUCAUGAGUUGUAUGAUUUACAUAUUGCAUAUUCGUGAGGCAUGUUAUCUGUUAGUUGCAUAAUUACAUGAUGAUAUAUAUGUCUGUAGAUGUUUUUGGACUAACAUGAUUGCAGUGCCUCCUUGGACCUAUUGGUCGAGCUUUUUCCUUAGGUGGCCGUACCCACUGGGAACCAUGUAGUUGGUUCUCAUCCCACGUUGUUUUGGGGUGUUACAGGUUCGCAUGUGAGCGGCGCGGCGGCGCGAGGCAAGGGCGUAGCUCCCUAGUUAGCGCCCUACCACCGAGACCAGAUAGCAGUAUCCCGAGUCGGCUACUUAGGGUUAUAAAAAUGAAAAGAACCAAAAAUGUAAUAAUUGUAAGAACUUGAUUGUAUUUGGAUGUAUGAAUCAAAGAAUGUAUAAUAUAAUGUAAAAUGUAAUAUGUGAGAUGAAUGCUUGUAAUAGCAAGUAGAUUUAUGUUUUUGAUACUUCCUUAUGCAAUCUUUGGUUGAAAUGUGUUCCUGGUUGGAACUUCGUAUAUUGUAUUGAUUGCGACGCCUUGAACGUACAGGGGAGACUCUGUCCGCUAUACAAGAAAAACCCUGUCCGUUCGGCGGUCUGUUGGUGUGCCCGAAACCGACCAAAGAUGCGGGCUCGGGGCGUGACAGAUAAGAUGGUAUCAGAGCAUAAAGUAGAGAAUGGGAAAGUGGUUUAGAUAAACCUAGGAGACCCUAGGAUAGUGAACUAUAGGAGAUUAAGACUCGUGAGAGAUGAGAACAUGUGACUUGGCGAAAGACGAGUUGAUUGGGUUAUGUUGUAAACUUCUAAAAAGGAGAUUUGAGGUAGAUCCAAGGUGUGGUUUAUUCUCAACCGAGGGUGUUCAUGUUGGACGCGUACAACAUGAAACCGNGUACAUCUUGAGCCUAGUGGUGUAAUUCGCCGAGGCUGGCGGCUUACCCACUGGGAACUAUUGUUAAUAGUUCUCACGCCCUUUUGGUGGUUGUUUUUACAGAGCCUGUUACAGGAGAGGCUAGGGAUCGUGGCAAGGGAGUCGCGCCUAGCUAGGGACUACUAGGAGCGUGCUAGUCGAUCACCUUGCUACUCGGGCUACGGCCGAGGGUGAUGUCCAUAUAUAUAUAUAGAGAGACCACCUUUGUAUCUAUUCUUUUUGUACACCCGUGAUGUAUAUUUACUUUCGGGGUUGAGAUUAUAGUAGUGUUACUUCUCCUUUUUGCUGAGAUCAUGGUUUGUAUACACUUUGUAUUUUGACUUGGAUUGGAUACUCGUUGUAUAUCGACUUGUACUUUGCUCUGAUAUCAGGAUAGGACUCUCUUGUUUUACUUCCUAUCGACUUGCUUCUCGUAGACGCCUUAUAUACUGCAGGUGUAUGGCGGGUCUGUGCACGUGCCGGAUAUGCUUCCGCUGGUACCCGGGCGUGACAAGGUGUCACGCCCCAAUCCCCGCCAAUUUGGUCGGGUUCGGGUCACGUCAACAGACGCCGAACGGACAGAGCCUCCCCUGUCCGCCCAAGGCUCUAACAACCUGUAUAAAUAAGCAAUCAACAAGAGAUUUGCAUAUAUAAUACAAGGCUUGCACGAGGGCAAGCAACAACGGAAGCGAGAGCUCUAAGCUAAAUAUACAACAUACAUGAUAUUUGAUUAGAUUUAAACCAAAUACAAGUGAUUAAAACGAUUACAUUCCAUUCAUCCAUCAUAUCUUUUUACAUUUAGUCAUCCACCGAGUACAUGAUUGUUUACCACUUUACAUCUCUAAAUCAACAAAAGAAGUUGAUACAUGCAUACCAAAAAAGGAAUGACUACAAAAUGUAUAAGAUCCCGGUGGCCGCUAUCUACGGCGCUAAACCCUUGCCACGGUCCUCCGCCGCCCCACUCGUGCUAGGACCUGUAGGGUUAGUGGUGUGAGAACUACAACAAAGUCCCCAGUGGGUCGGCAUCCGACAUCGCCGACUUACCCACUAUGUCAAGCCCCGCGACCAACCGCCAAUUUGGACCGGGUCGCGGCGCCGACGACAGACCGCCGAACGGACCGGGGUUUCCCCUGUACGCGGACAGAGUCUCCCCUGUACGUUCUAGGCAUCGCAAUCCAAACAAUCAACGAGGGUUCCAACUAGGAACGGAUAUCAAUCCAGAUUGCAAGGGAAGUAUCAAAUACAUAAACUACUUGCUAUUACAAGCAUUCAUUUAGCACAUCUCAACUACAGUUUACAUUUUUACAUCAUUUAUCUUACAAGUUUGAUACAUUUUGUUUCCUUGCCUUCUGAUCCCCCAAGCUAGACUGCUUCAGGGUACUGCUACCUCGGUCUCUGUGGUGGGGCGCUAUCUACUGAGCUACGCCCUCGCCUCGCGCUGCCGCGCUGCACAUACAACCUGAAAACACCCCAAAGCCACGUGGGGUGAGAACCAACUCCAUGGUUCCCAGUGGGUACGGCCACCCAAGAGAAAAGCUCGACCGAUAGGUCCGAGGAGGCACUGCAACAUGUUAGUUCAACAAUAUACAACAGAUAUAUAUAUUCAAUUGAAAUACAUGCCAUGCCUCACAAUAUGCGAUAUGAAAAUCAUGCAACAACUAGUAGAUCAUUUGCAUUCUACUUUUACUUAGCUAUUCUUAGCUCAUAUCUUUACACUAAGGUUUCUAUUACCUUGGAAUCUCAACUCGGUCCACUGGCUCCUAAGGUCUCUAUUACCUUAGCUCAAGUCUCUAUCUCUAGCUCAUAGAGGUUCCUCUACCCUAUCGAAGCUAACCACCCGACUCGGCUUCGAGUCAAUCAUUCGCGGAUAGCCCGCGCACCGGCUGCUCAUCAGCCUACCGCCCUCUCUGUCUCAACCCCCUAGCGGUGAAGUCGUCGCACACGCUAAGCUCGGCUCAAGUCGCACGACUUGACCAUCUGGUGGCGAUCGCGCUGCACUUACCCAGCGUGAGCUCGAGACAUGACACCCCGUCUGGCGGCGAACGGAUCGCACCACACCCAACAACGGUACAUGUCAGACUCAGUCACCUGGAGGCACCCGCAUCGUACUUACCCAGCAUGGAUUCAGUCUGCUCUGGCGGUCUGAUCCUCAAUCGGCUUAACUAUCCUGGCGGCGAAAUCGUCGCACAAACGCCACGGCAAUGGUUCAAGCCCCGGGCGGUGAUCUCCAUGUGAUCGCCCCCAAUCCUCCCUCGGUACCAAGCUCGGCGGCGAAAUCGUCGCACAAACGCCCUAGCUUCUACUAAGGUCAUUACAAGUCAUAGGAUUCCGGAAUCCACUUACCGCAGGUCGAGGGUCCAUAGCCAACCCUAUACUUUCGACCAAGCUCAUCCUAGUGGCUAUACCACUAUACUCAGCAACCUAGGUUCCAACACUCUAGGUUCUAUGUCCAAGUCACUUAACCUAGUUACACUUGCUAGGUUCCUGUCAUCUUUGCCUAGAUGUCCACUUCUAGAUUUACUAGUUCGACCUAGAUUACUAACACUAGGUUCGAUGCCACACACCUAGAUUGUUCGACUCUAGGUUUACUAACACUAUGUUCUUUAACAUUAGGUUAGAUGCCACUCGAUCUAUCUGACAACCUAAUUGUCCAAUCAUCUCAGCUUACACUAGAGUUAUUAUCUAGUUCAUAUGCAUAUACUCCUAGCACGUUCCCUAAUGCCGAUUAUGCAUUCUUUACUUUAGCUAACAUUAUCCACACGUCAUGUCUAUCAUGCUUACUACUUAGCAUUUUAAAGUCUCAUUCAUCAUACUUUCUACUUAGCCUUAUACUCUAUGCAUUAUCAUUCAUCAUGCAUUUCUUGUUCUGGUCUACAUGCACAUGCAUCAACAUGGAGAUACAUUGCCAAGACAUAAAGGGCGACCUAGUCGCUUCGGUAAGCACAACCCACCUUAGAUAGCUUUUCGAUUGCUUGUCGUCACUUGCAAUCGGCCUCCCGCGGCACUCGGCACCCGUUUGGGCCCGAUCUCAAAGUUGCCCUCCAAGAACGCGCCGCUCUGUCGCUUCAAGUGCUAGCGAUCUUCACCUUACCGCUACGGUGCUCGGGACCCGACUUCACGAUUUAUGGACGUCGCCUCGGCUCUCCAGGCGGAAACGAAGCUACGAGCGCCCGUUUCUUCAAUAUCCUCGCAACGGCUUGUCGGAUUGCCGAACCGACUUCGCCAACGUGUUUCGUUACCUACCAAUUAGGUUUACGAAGGGUCAAAUGAGAUCAAACUCAUCUAUUUACAAAAACCCCAUUUUGGAUGCCCUAGAAUGCCCAUACCAUCAAACCCACCAAAUCGAGCUAUGAAAUGGGAAAAAAUCCAUCUUAAUAACAUGCUAGGGGGGGUCCAAUAAUACCAUUUCUAGGGUUUAAAACCCACUCCCAAGAAAACUACCAUGAGAAGCCAUGAAACUUACCUCUCAAGGGUGCUCCAAGAUGAAGAAGAAGAUGAAGAUGAAGAUGAGGAAGAGGAUCUCCUCCUUGGUCCUCUCUUUCUUCUCCUUUCCUUUCUCUUUUUCUUCUUCCCUUCUCUUUUCUCUUUUCUUUCUUUCCUUUCUUUUCCCAUUCGCACGAUCAGAGGGAGAGAGAGAGAGUGGCUGAGGGAGUGAGAGAGAGAGGAAAAGAUCUCUCUCUAAUACCCUCUCUCAUUUUAUAACAAUAUCCCCAAAGGCCCCUCCACUUUUCACCUCUUACACAGCCUUCACUGGGCAUUCUGCGCGCUGAGGGACCGGUCUCCUCGACCUGGGACCGGUCCCAGGGGCCUCCCCCCGCGGGCACGCGUUCGGGAACCGGUCCCUCCCUGAGAGACCGGUCCUCGGGAGACCGGUUCCCCUCAGAGAGACCGGUUCCCGAGAGCUAAACUUUCGGGACUUAGCCGAUUUUCGGCUCUUCUCACUGGUGUCGCAGGCUGGGACCGGUCCCUCCUCUGCCAGGGACCGGUUGCAUCAGCAACUCCCGCAGCCUUCAGCUGAUGGGACCGGUCUCUCACUUCCAGAGACCGGUCCCCGAGAGCAACUUCAGCCCAAAAAUGCAAAUUGUAUUAUUUGCUCUCGCGGACUCCAUUCUAAUGCACUUCUCGGAUUUUGUGCAUCCUAAGCUAUUCCAAAGCUUAUCAACUCGACCCUUGGUCGAUUCUGGACGAAGCACGACUCUCGGAUUUGGAGAAUUCCAGGGUAUAACAUUCUCCUCCUCUUAAAAGAGUUUCGUCCGCGAAACUUACUCAUUUCCAACCCCCUUCUUAUUCCUCGAUCCACCUCUCGAGUACUCAAGGGUUCCAAUGCACUUUGCACUUCGGAGUGGCCUUUAUUCUCAUCGAACUCAUUUAAAGGCCAACUACGAAGAAUGUGAGACCACGUUUACUCACAUUUUCCUUUUGCAACAUCAAAAGUGCAUUACCACUUUACAACCUCGAGGGUAGUGUGGGUCAAUACUCAUGACCCCACACACUAACAUCACUAGCUACUCGGCUAGAGAAGGACCUACUCCUUCGUCUCUGCGGUGUGGACUUAGCAAGUUCGCUUCAACUCGAUGAACGAUCCACCACCACAACUUUAUGUGCACGGGUAGACUCUCUCGAUUUACUCACAUACUCACCAGGUGGCACUGCACCAUUUUGGCCAUUUGGGAGCCUAAUACCACCUUAUUAUCCUAUCAGUACCAUCUUUUUCUCAUCUAUCAACUUGGGGAACACACUCCGAUCUGAUCAAAGGCAUUGUCCAAAAGCAAUAUCGCCGGUGCAUUUCCCAAUCGCAAGUGCCCCAAAUCAAUCGAGCCCUUUCUUAAUCUUGAGACGGCAUACUCUCGCACAUCCCAGACCUCAAUCCUCUUGGGAGCAUCAUCCUCAAUUCCCAUUCCCACGUGGCUGUCCAUUAUCCAAGUGUCUCGUAGAGACCACUUUACUUUCUCUUUGUCCUUUGACAUUUUAGGCCACGUUCAUCACCACGCGAACCCUCUGUUCGCGGAUCUAAGUCCAACUCACUGAUGGAGUUUCCGGCUAUACCGACCAUCGGUUUCCUCAAGUGGACUAAGGCCACCAAUCCUACGUAGGUCAAUCGCCUAACUCAUCUCAACGACGCCUAGCGUCUCUCGCUCGCGAGCGUAAACCUACUCAGCAUCGGGCGACAUUCUCGUUGGAGAAUUCGCACGCACUCCAAACAGGAGUAUCCAAGUCCUCAAACUCCGUCAAGUCCUCAGGUUGGGUCACCGCACACUCGGCGUACUAUCGAUCUCACAAUCCAACACGUGGCACUCCACGCACUCGGGUCUAAGCUCAGACUACCGUCCUGACCAAACUCUCCGCCCUAUCUAUAGGUAUCAGGACGCUGUCUCUCACAGCUGACUGCGCCUGCCCAAUGGGCCCAGGCUCCACAGUCCACAAAUGGUCCAGGCACGGGUCGUCCCCAAGCACUACCCGCCAACGUCGUCCUACACGACAUGCUCUACAGAGCUACACACUCUAUCGGCUCCUAGGCACCUAGUGCGAGCCACUAGCCCUACGAGUGGUCCAUGGCCCGCUUCACACUUAGCCCUGCUAAAGUGCUACUGCCAAUUCACUCGACCGACUGAAUCGAAACCGCACCCUACGAGUAUUUAUACUUGAGCGCUCUAUGCCUCUAUGGCAUCUCACACGAAGUCUAGCAUCAGGCAAUUUAGCCUAUGCACACCGGCCACACGAGCAACAACUCGUCCUCCUCAACUUGAGGUACUACUGGGCCCACAGGCCAAGUUUGGCGCUAUUCAACCAAUUUCGCAACAGGGGUUCAUCCCCACUGUUCCAUCUAUCGAAUUCGCAUCCGAACUACUCUUGGAACAUUCGGGUGUCCCCAAAUGUCAAGGCUCACUCUCGCAAUUUUUAACCCAUUGCUUCGAGAGUUCUCUCACAAUUUCGAUUUCCACUACGAACCUCGUUUCCUGUUCAAAAUCACCACUAGCCAUUUACUAGUACCACUUGGCUCUCUACCUGCUCUAGCAUGCGCUACACUCCUAUCCUGCAAGCAUGCUCGGGUGCCUACCUACCCGACCACUUGGUCCCUACCAUGCGAUGUAAUAAUAGUAGCAACUGACCAACGAUGAAUGCAUGCUAUGCAACAACUUGAGAUCAUGCAAAAGUAUGCUUGCUCGAUUAACUCAUACCUGCCAAGACGUCAUCAGCACGGCAGGCCCCGUAACUCGGGUCGUUCAUCCACGGCCACUUGGCGCUUGUCGCGAACCCUCUGGUUGCAACGUCCUCAACGGCUGUUCCCCCGACCAUGCCGCAGGUGGCACACCUGCCGGCUGUUCUGGAGAGGAAUAAGCCGUCGCCAGUGUCAAGGCCCGGCUAUCACCCUGCGGACACUUGUCCCGCACAUGACCCGGCAGCCCACACUUGAAGCACUUGUGCUCUGGCUGUUCACACUGUUGUGGGAAAUGAGGACCCCCACAAAUCACACAUCUCGUCGAGGACCGAAUGUGAUACGUCCCCGGAGCUCUAGAUCGAGAGCGCGACUUUUCGAAGGUCUGCUGGGAACUUGACUGACCAUCAUGUCCACUCACUGGACUGUUUGAAGUGAAAAAUUUUUUUUUUUUCUAAUCAUAAUCGAAACCAAUUAGAUUCUGACUCAAAUAAUUUUGAAAGGUCUUAUGUUGACCAGAAAAUUUUGGGGCCAAUAAUUACAAUUUAAAAUCCACAAUAGGCCUAUUCAUAAAUGUGAGGGGGUGGGCCCUUACGAAAGCCCAAACAAAUUUUAAAAAAAAAAAUGUGAGUGGGUGAGCCCUUACGAAAGCCCAAACAAAAAAAAAANAAAAAAAAAAAAAAAAGAAAGAAAAAAAAAGAAAAAAAGAAAGUGUUCCUAACUUCUACCUUUUUCCACAAGGAAAACGCCAACAUCAAAGAACGUUGUUAUUGCAUCAACAAACUCAAUAAUAUUGGAGGCGGGUUUGCGAGUCUGCUUGCCCACGUCCGUCCUGAUAUUCGAAACUGCAGGUGCCUCAAUCCAAUUUGGCGCGAUUCCGGAAGAUGUUCGAGCUGCUGUCAUGGCUCAAAUUCUUGCUGCUACUGGGGGCAUGACCACUCUCGUCGCCCCUUCACAGGAUGUAUCCAAUGUGGUCAUUCCUCGGCUGCUAUCUCGAGGAAGACGAUCCAAUGUGGUCAUCCCCAACCCUCCUCGCCGACUCAUAGGCGAAUGAUUCACUUACCAACCUGCAUCCAAGAGGAUGGAGUCUGAGGGAAGACUGAUAUUCCCAAAUGGCAGAGUGCAGAAAGCAUCAAUAUUAGAUAGGCUGGCGCUUUCUAAUGAUACUACAACCACCAUUCCUCCAACGAGAGCGUCCUUUAAAAAGAAUAACAGCCGCCAACUCCACAGAGGAAAAGUUGCUGGGGGUAAGGACAAUAACGUUCAAGAGCCCCAAAUGAUUCAAUCGACCGGCAGGUCGUUAAACUAAGCAAAUAUAGCCGACAAAAUGAGGCUAACGUGCGUAGUGAGGCCAUCCUCAUUAAACCAUAUAGUUGAAAGACAUAUCACUUCUCAAUUGGUCAAAAAAAAAAAAAUGUGGAGGACAUGUUGUCUAAACUUUUUAGACAAUAUGGGUAAAAUAUGAGCCACCGGCGGACUUGAUUGUCCAUAUCGGACUUCAAGGGUAAAAUUACAAAAAUUUCCCGGCUGUGGUAUGACCCCACAGGCAAAAUUGGGAUCCCCGCUGUGAGAAAACCUUUCGAGGCUCACAGGCAAAAGUUAGGGGAAGGUAUCUGGUGAAAACCCAUUCGGGCACCAGAGUACCCAAAAUAUAUUUUGCCUAUGACGGAAUGCUAACUUACCUUAGGGUCUGUUAUGCGCAGCAAUUUCGAUUGCUUCUCGAGGCAAAAUAAAUAAAAAUAAUCCAUAUUACCUAAAAUACAUUUAGCCUAUGACGGAAUGCUAACUCACCUUAGGAUCGGUUAUGCGGAGCAAUUUCGAGGCAAAAUAAAUAAAAAUAAUCCAUAUUUUUUAUUACCCAAAAUAUAUUUUGUCUAUGACGGAAUGCUAACUCACCUUAGGGUUGGUUAUGCGUGGCAAUUUCGAUUGCUUCUCGAGGCAAAAUAAAUAAAAAAAAAUAUACAUAUUUCCUGAUACAAAAAAAGGGGUGGAGGACAUGUUGUCUAAAUUUUUUUAGAUAAUAUGGGUAAAAUAUGAGCCACCAGCGGACUUGAUUGUCCACAUCGGACUUCAAGGGUAAAAUUGCAAAAAAUCCCUGGCUGUGGUAUAACCCCACAGGCAAAAUUGGGAUCCCCGCUGUGAGAAAACCUUUCGAGGCUCACAGGCAAAAGUUAGGGGAAGGUAUUUGGUGAAAACCCAUAUGGGCGCCAGACUACCCAAAGAUCUAUUUUUGCCUAUGACGGAAUGCUAAUACACCUUAGGAUCAAUUAGCGCAGCAAUUUUGAUUGCUUCUCGAUGCAAAAUAAAUAAUAAAAAAAAAUAUAUAUAUAUAUAUACUUCCUGAAAAAAAAAUAAUAAAAAAAAAAGACAGGUGGAGGACAUGUUGUCUAAUUUUUUUUAGACAAUAUGGGUAAAAUAUGAGCCGCUAGCGGACUUAAUUGUCCACAUCGGACUUCAAGGGUAAAAUUGCAAAAAAUCCCUGGCUGUGGUAUAACCCCACAGGCAAAAUUGGGAUCCCCGCUGUGAGAAAACCUUUCGAGGCUCACAGGCAAAAGUUAGGGGAAGGUAUUUGGUGAAAACCCAUAUGGGCGCCAGACUACCCAAAGAUCUAUUUUUGCCUAUGACGGAAUGCUAAUACACCUUAGGAUCAAUUAGCGCAGCAAUUUUGAUUGCUUCUCGAUGCAAAAUAAAUAAUAAAAAAAAAUAUAUAUAUAUAUAUACUUCCUGAAAAAAAAAUAAUAAAAAAAAAAGACAGGUGGAGGACAUGUUGUCUAAUUUUUUUUAGACAAUAUGGGUAAAAUAUGAGCCGCUAGCGGACUUAAUUGUCCACAUCGGACUUCAAGGGUAAAAUUGCAAAAAAUCCCUGGCUGUGGUAUAACCCCACAGGCAAAAUUGGGAUCCCCGCUGUGAGAAAACCUUUCGAGGCUCACAGGCAAAAGUUAGGGGAAGGUAUUUGGUGAAAACCCAUAUGGGCACCAGACUACCCAAAGAUCUAUUUUUGCCAAUGACGGAAUACUAACUCACCUUAGGGUCGAUUAGCGCGACAAUUUCGAUUUGCUUCUCGAAGACAAAAUAAAUCAAUAUUCACUAACAUCCAAUCGACUGCCAUGUCGUUAAACUGAGCAGCACAUAUCCAAUCGACCGCCAUGUCGUUAAACUAAGCAUUCCAUAUUCAAACCGACCGCCAUGUCACUAAACUGAGCACCAAAACUCAAACCGACCGCCAUGUCAUUAAACUGAGCCACCUUAGAUAGCUUUCCGAUUGCUUGUCGUCACUUGCAAUCGGCCUCCCGCGGCACUCGGCACCCGUUUGGGCCCGAUCUCACAGUUGCCCUCCAAGAGCGCGCCGCUCUGCCGCUUCAAGUGCUAGCGAUCUUCGCCUUACCGCUACGGUGCUCGGGACCCGAUUUCACGAUUUAUGGACAUCGCCUCGACCCUCCAAGCGGAAACGAAGCUACGAGCGCCCGUUUCUUCAAUAUCCUCGCAACGGCUUGUCGGAUUGCCGAACCGACUUCGCCAACGUGUUUCGUUACCUACCAAUUAGGUUUACGAAGGGUUAAAUGAGAUCAAACUCAUCUACUUAAAAAAACUCCAUUUUGGAUGCCCUAGAAUGCCUAUACCAUCAAACCCACCAAAUCGAGCUAUGAAAUGGGGAAAAAUCCAUCAUAAUACCAUUUCUAGGGUUUAAAACCCACUCCCAAGAAAACUACCAUGAGAAGCCAUGAAACUUACCUCUCAAGGGAGCUACAAAAUGAAGAAGAAGAUGAAGAUGAAGAUGAGGAAGAGGAUCUCCUCCUUGGUCCUCUCCUUUUUCUCCUUUCCUUUCUCUUUUUCUUCUUCCCUUCUCUUUUCUCUUUUCUUUCUUUCCUUUCUUUUCCCCUUCGCACGAUCAGAGGGAGAGAGGGAGAGUGGCUGAGGGAGUGAGAGAGAGAGGAAAAGAUCUCUCUCUAAUACCCUCUCUCAUUUUGUAACAAUAUCCCCAAAGGCUCCUCAACUUUUCACCUCUUACACAGCCCUCACUGGGCGUUCUGCGCACUGAGGGACCGGUCUCCCUGACCUGGGACCGGUCCCAGGGGCCUCCCCCCGCGGGCACGCGUUCGGCAACCGGUCCCUCCCUGAGAGACCGGUCCUCGGGAGACCGGUUCCCCUCAGAGAGACCGGUUCCCGAGAGCUAAACUUUCGGGACUUAGCCGAUUUUCGGCUCUUCUCACUGGUGUCGUAGGCUGGGACCAGUCCCUCCUCUGCAAGGGACCGGUUGCAUCAGCAACCCCGCAACCUUCAGCUGAUGGGACCGGUCUCUCACUUCCAGAGACCGGUCCCCGAGAGCAACUUCAGCCCAAAAAUGCAAAUUGCAUUAUUUGCUCUCGCAGACUCCAUUCUAAUGCACUUCUCGGGUUUUGUGCAUCCUAAGCUUUUCCAAAGCUUAUCAACUCGACCCUUGGUCGAUUCUGGACGAAGCACGACUCUCGGAUUUGGAGAAUUCCAGGGUAUAACACACUAGGUCUAUCCAGGCAUAAGUAUUUUAAGGAAAGAAAAGUAACCAGUACUAAUGCAUCUAAUACUAUGCCUGCAGAAGAAUGUCAGUAGAUACAUAUACUCGAUGCAAUAAUAGAAAUGCAUGCAUGCUCAAUUUAUGAAUAAACUUUGGCUCUUACCCAAUCUUACCUGUUAACCUUGUUAACCCCAAACACUCACAACCCAAAAUCCCUUAAUAACGGGGGACUCGAACCUCCCUAUGGACCGUCAACUGGUGGGGCUUUACCUCGCGCAGUGGUGACCAACUCCGGAGCACACCGCACGAGGGAGAGCGACCUCCCUCAAGCCACGACGUAUCGUGAGUAUCGAUCCAAUCCUCAACUUGAGGAUUCAUAGCCACUAGUUACAAUACCGAUAUCAUGAUAGGUCUCUACCUAUUCAUUCUUGCCACUCUCAAGGCUAUACCUGUGAUGAUGCCAUAAUUGGUUAAACUAUGUUUAAUGGUUCAUCUCGCAAUGCCAAUCUUGUUUCUAUGUCAAUGUCACCUUUGUUUUCUUUUGUCUGAGUCCAAACCUCACAUUCACACACCUGAGGGUCUUACCACAUAUGUCCAGUUUUGGUUCAAUCAUUCUCUAUGUUCAACUACGUUAGAAACAUAUAAUGAAAGCAACCCGAAUUCCACAUGUAUCUACCCUAAUAUGUAUGAAUGGCUAUAAAUAGAUAUAUGCUCAAUAAAAGGGAAAAUAGACAUAGAAGGGAAUCCAACGAUUCCGGCGUGCACCUCCACCUUGUGAGGUAUAGGGAAACUACUCCGAUGAAUCCCACGCUCAACCGAUCGCCACUCGUCAACCUACACCCCAAAAUAGAGCCAAAUUAGGCCCAAUGUACACAAACCAUGCUCUAGCAUUUUCGUUUCGUCAAAUGGAGUUGUCCCACGCAUUUAGAGCACCCCCAAUUUGGUUUCUACGAGGUCAAUUUGUCCUCGAAAAAUCCUAGGGCAAAAGCCCUAAUUUCCAAGCCCUAACAAUGCCAUUUAGGAUUUCCUCGUGGAUUGAUCUCAACACUAAGCAAAUAAUAGCUUAGAAUCCUCUAAGAAGCAUUCUAACAAGGUUUUCAAGCCUUUAGAACCAUCCCUAGGGACCCUACCUCAGCCCCUGUGUGUUCACCAUGAGAGCACCUUGAGCUCUCAUGGGUACCAUGGCAUCCAUGGCUCAAAAGAGCCUCUAAAGCCCCUAAGAAGCACAAAGCUCCAAUGCCCUAAGCCAAAAUCCAAACCCUAGAGGAAAACCUUGCAAAACUCACCUCUAGUCCAAGCUCCAUCAUGGUUCUUCUUGUUGGAGAGCCCCUAGGACCACCNCUUCUCAAGCCUCCAACCAGCACCCUACUGGUUCAGGACAGCAAAGAGCCUUCCAAAACACUCCCUCACACGUGCACAAAGGUGCUGCAACGCUCACAAAUAGCGAAGAACGCACGCGGCGACGAAAACGAGCGAAAUCGGCGAACUCGACGUAGAGAGAGAAAAACCCUAGAGAGAGAGAGAGAAGAAGGGAAGAGAAGCUUUCCCAGAACUCUUGCAUACUCCACUGAAGUCCCAGAGCCGUGCUGGGAUCAAAUAGGUAGGUAUCCAAUGUGAAAUUACCAAAAUACCCAAGCUGCCACGAAUCUGCCAGCUUGUACCGGUACAAGGUGAUGGCUGUACCGGUACAGCAAGCAGAAAAUGCUGAAAUUUCGCAGGUCAAUGCAUUUUCUUAGUUUUUGCAUUCCAAUCACUCUCAAACUUGUCCAAACACUUGUUCUAACCUUUUAGAACAUGUAGGAGUGACCCACACACCAUUCCACACACUCGAACUUCACAAUUUGCAGAAGUUCAGUGUAUUACACACUCCUUCAGGGACCGGUCCCCGAGAGCACAAAAUCUGGGACUUAGCCAGAUUUUCAGAUUCUCUCUCUCGGGUCCCUUUUAGCUUCACUUAUGGACUCUAAUGCGCUUAGGGUCCAUUCUAACUCAUUCAACUCCGCGUUCCGCUCAUUUUGACGGAACUCGACACGAUCUACGAGGGAUGUGGUAUGUUACAUUCUCCACCCCUAAAAUUUAGUUUCGUCCGCGAAACUACUAAUAUUGAAAUUUAAAUUUCUUACCUCACUUUAGAUCCUCGAAGAGGUGAGGAUGACGCUCCCUCAUUUCGCUUUCGAGCUCCCACGUCGCUUCCCGGUCAUCAUGUUCACACCAAUGAACUUUAACAUACGGGAUUUCGCAGUUCCGAAGCUUUCGCACCUCCCGAUCGGCAAUAUAUGCUGGGAACUCCUCAUAUGUCAUAUCCUCUUGAAGCUCUAUCGGUAUAUACGAGAGAAUAUGAUCUGGGUCAUACACAUACUUGCGAAGUUGGGAUACAUGGAACACAUCAUGUACUCCCGCGAGCCUCGGUGGUAAUGCCAACUUAUAGGCCACCGCACCAACUCGUUCCAAAAUCUCGAAGGGUCCGAUAUAGCGGGGGCUCAGUUUCCCGCGAACACCGAACCGCUUAACUCCUCGCAUCGGCGAUACUUUUAGAAAUACGCUGUCUCCUACCGCGAACUCAAUAUACUUUCGCCGCUUGUCAGCAUAAUUCUUGUGCCGUGAUUGCGCCGUCACUAAUCUUUGUCGGGCAAGGCGGACUUUCUCUUCCGCCUCCCGUACCAUAUCCAGGCCAAGAACCAUCUUCUCGCCCAUAUCGCUUCAGUGUAUUGGCGAGCGACAGGGCCUCGAAUGGCGCCAUCGCAAUGCUUUCUUGAUAGCUGUUGUUGUAUGCGAACUCCGCCAUCGGUAAGUGAUCGUGCCAUCCGCCCUUAUAAUCAAGCACACACGCUCGAAGCAUGUUCUCAAGUAUUUGAAUUGUCCUUUCCGAUUGACCGUCACUUUGAGGAUGGAAUGCCGUACUAAAGUCGAGCCGCGUGCCUAAUGCCUCAUGUAAGCUCUUCCAAAAAUGAGAUGUGAACCUAGGGUCCCGAUCCGAUACAAUAGAUACCGGAACCCUGUGAAGUCUCACCACCUCAUCGAUAUAAAUUGAGCUAACUUGUCUCCCGACCAAGUAGUGUGGAUCGGCAAAAAGUGCGCCGAUUUGGUUAACCGAUCCACAACUACCCAAAUCGCGUCAUGUCCACCUUGUGACCUAGGCAAACCCGUCACAAAGUCCAUUGCGAUGUCUUCCCAUUUCCACACGAGUAUAGGUAGACUCUGCAAUUUGCACACUGAAAAUCGACGCUCCGCCUUCACUUGUUGGCACGUGAGACAUUGCGCCACGAACUUCCCUAUGCCUUUCUUCAUGCCCGGCCACCAGUAAUGUAAUUUCAAAUCUCGAUACAUUUUGGUGCCGCCCGGGUGAAUGCUAUAGGGAGAUUGAUGCGCUUCUUGCAUAAUCGCCCUCCAAAGGUCGUCGUCCUUGGGCACGCACCAACGAUCCCGAUAUCGUAGUGCGCCGUAGAUUCCAAUGCCAAAAUCAUCGGCAUUAGCACUCUCAACUUUGCCCCGCACCUUUUGGAGAAACUCAUCUGAUGCUUGUAAUUCUUUAAUUUUCUCCAACAAGGUUGGUUGCACAACUAAGGUAGCGAGUGUUGCCGGCACUCCUGGCGCCACAACUUCUAGUCCAAACCACUGCAUCUCCUUUUGCAAAGCCGGUUGAGGCUUAAUUUCCGCCGCCAGAAUUUUCGCCGACUUUCUACUUAAAGCAUCGGCUACGAUGUUCGCUUUUCCAGGGUGGUAGAGAAUCGUGACAUCGUAAUCCUUGAGCAACUCUAGCCACCGCCGCUGUCGCAAGUUCAGCUCCUUCUGGGUGAACAAGUAUUUGAGACUUUUAUGAUCGGUGUAGAUCUCACAAUGUUCCCCAUAUAAGUAAUGCCUCCACAGUUUUAGCGAGAAAACAACCGCCGCUAGUUCAAGAUCGUGAGUCGGGUAGUUCUUUUCAUAACUCUUCAACUGGCGCGAAGCAUAAGCUAUGACUCGGCCAUUUUGCAUUAAGACACACCCGAGACCGAUAUAUGAAGCAUCACUGUAUACGACAUAACUCUCUCUCGGCGUCGGUAAAGCAAGCACCGGAGUAGAUGUCAGUCUAUUCUUUAGCUCCUCAAAGCUCCGCUCACACUCGGGGCUCCAAACGUACUUCGCCCCUUUGUGCGUAAGGCGCGUUAGUGGAGUCGUUAUCCGGGCAAACCCCUCCACGAAUCGCCGGUAAUAGCCCGCAAGUCCAAGGAAGCUACGAAAUUCCGCUACACUCGUCGGGCGAGGCCAAUCUUUAAUUGCCUCAACUUUCUUUGGGUCCACCGAGAUGCCAUCUCCGGAUACAACGUGACCCAAGAAAGUGACCUCCGAAAGCCAAAACUCGCAUUUCUUCAAUUUUGCAUAAAGCUUUUCCCUUCGGAGUAUCUCCAACACGAGGCUUAGAUGCUCCUCGUGUUCUUCUUCGGUCCGAGAAUAUACCAACACGUCGUCAAUGAAAACCACGACGCACCGGUCCAAUAGCGGACGGAAGAUUCGAUUCAUUAGGUUCAUAAAUGCCGCUGGGACGUUAGUAAGCCCGAAUGGCAUGACCGUAAACUCAUAAUGGCCAUACCGCGUACGGUACGCCGUCUUGUGCACGUCCUUGGGCCGUAUCUUCAACUGAUGAUACCCCGACUGCAGAUCAAUCUUCGAAUAUACCCUUGACCCUUGCAACUGGUCGAACAGGUCAUCAAUUCUUGGCAAUAGGUAUUUGUUUUUGAUCGUCACUCUAUUCAACUCGCGAUAAUCAACGCAGAGUCAGAGUGUUCCGUCCUUCUUCUUUACAAAUAGCACCGGAGCUCCCCACGGGGACACGCUCAGCCGCAUGAAGCCUUUAUCGAGCAAAUCUUGCAACUGGGCCUUCAACUCCUUUAGCUCCACCGGUGCCAUUCUAUACGGAGCCUUCGAAAUUGGCGCCGCCUCAGGAAUCAAGUCAAUAACAAACUCGACUUCCCGAUCCGGGGCAGUCCCGGUAACUCCACUGGGAAUACAUCCGGAUACUCCCGCACAACUCGAAUACUCUCCAGUUCCGAGUACUCCUCUCGAGGGUCUACGAUGGUCGCCAAAUAAGCCUUACAACCACCCUUGAUCAUCCUUUUCGCCCUCGCCGACGAUAUGGUUGCUGCGAAGCGUUUGCCUUUACACGCCCGAUACACAAACUCCUCUUGGUUGGGUUCACGGAACGUGAUCACCCUUCUUUCGCAAUCUAUAACCGCGUAGUACUUGGAGAGCCAAUUGAUCCCCAAGAUUAUCUCGAAUCCCCACAUUUCUUUCAACACUAGAAGGUCGAUCGGCAUAAUCCAAUCACCUAUUUGCACUGGGCAGUCCAAGCACUCAUCGUAGACGUCGAUCGAGUGCUCGGGAGUGUUCACCGACCAAUACUCCUCAUUAUGAGUGAUCUCUAUAUUAUGAGCUUGUGCAAAUGAUGCUAAUAUGAAUGAAUGAGAUGCACCUGUAUCAAAUAUAGCUCUAGCUCUAGUGCCUCUGAUCAGAAUAAUAUCUGCCACCACGUCGUCAGGAACUAUGAUCGGUGGCUCCUCCACCUGAGUGGCAAAUACCCGCCCACUAGGUGCUCGAGAGGCCUCCGGCUGACGAGGUGCCGACGAUCGUCCAGCAGAUGUUGUGGGUGGCAGUCCCGCCAGCUGUCGCUGUGUGUACUGCACUGAAGCUGAUGACGGGGCUGGGGAUGCGCCGCCCGGGCAUUCUCGGCUCAUGUGCCCCGGUUGGCCACAUCGAUAACACCGCCCCUCCCGCUGUGGGCAAGCGGUGGCUCUAUGUUCUCCGCCGCAUAUCACGCACGGGGAGGUAAUCUGGCCCUGUGUCUGACUCCUACCUCCCCGCCAUUGUGAUCGCUAAGGUCGCGGGGGUCGCUUAGAACUCGAUUGCCCCGCAGAUCCACAAGCCGGUCGCUUCUUGGUCUUAUCUCUUUCCCUGUCUCUCUCAAAAGUCUCGCGCUCAUCACGCGCGAUGGCAUUCCGCGCUCCACCCAAAGCGCGCGAUCCAGCACUUCCUCGUAGGUCCUCAAGCGAAAUGCAUGAAUAACCUUGAAAAUUUCGGGUCGCAACCCGCACUCGAACACCUCCGCUAGGUCCCUAUCACCGUGAACCAAGCCCGGUACGCAGUUAAUCAUGUGCGUGAAUUCCCUCUCGUACUCCCGUACUGAUCGGCUUUCUUGUCUUAGCUUCCGAAAAUCCUCCUUGAUUUUCCUCUUGUCGCUCUCGGGAAAAUACUCCAUAAGCAGCAUGUAAUACACUGAACUCUUACAAAUUGCAGAGUUCGAGUGUGUGGAAGGAAGUGUGGAGCUAUCCUACAUGUUCUAAAUGACUUAGACAAGUUUUUGAACAAGUUAGAGAAUGAUUGGAGGGUUAAAAGUGAGAAAUUGCAUCAACUGGCGAAAAUCAGCUUUUUUCUGCUUGCUGUACCGGUACAGACAUCACCUUGUACCGGUACAGCAUUGGCAGAUUAGUGGCAGCAAGGCUAUUUUGGUCUUUUCACAUUUUGAUCCUAUCUAUUUGAACCCAGCACGACUCUUGGGGCUCAGUGGAGGUUGCUGGAGACCAGAGAAGCAGCCUUGCACCAUUUUCUCUCUCUCUCUCUAGGGUUUUUCUCUCUCUACAUAGAAUUCGACGAUUUCGCUCGUUUUCGUCGCAAUGUUGGUUCUUCGCCGUUCGCAAGUGUUGCAGAGCCUACGUGGACGUGUGAGGGAAUAUUUUGGAGAGCUUUUCGCAGCUCUGGACCAGUGGGUUGCUGGUUGGAAGCUUGAAAGGUAAACGACUUGAUGUUUUUCCGUUAUCAGCAUUCUAGUCGUCGAUUUGAGUAUUGAGUUUGAGUUUUUGCUUCUAACCGAUAUAAACUGAGAAUUCAGCUAUUAUAAAUGAGUUAAUUAGCUGUGAAUUAACCUUCUUAGACCAGGGAUAAGCUACUCUGAAGCUUAAUUGGAAUAUUUAGCCAAUUAUGAAGCUAAAUUAGAACUAAUUGCACUUAUUUGCGCGAAUUGAUGCAAUUUCGGGAUUAUUUCUUCGCAGCAGGUCUUCGAGCCUCGUUGAGCUGAACUUGUACUCUUUGAAGCUGGUUUGGAAGGUAUUCUAACCUGAGGUAAGCAGGGAUUUCAGUUAGAAAACUGAAUUCGCAAGNCUCCUACAUGUUCUAAAAGGUUAGAACAAGUUUUUGGAUAAGUUAGAGGAUGAUUGGAAUGCUAAAAGUGAGAAAGUGUAUUGAACUGGCCAAAAUCAGCAUUUUUCUAUUUGCUGUACCGGUACAGCCAUCACCUUGUACCGGUACAAGCUGGCAGAAUCGUGGCAGCAAGGCUAAUUUGGUAAUUUCACAUUUGAUACCUACCUAUUUGAUCCCAGCACGACUCUGGGACUUCAGUGGAGUAUGCUAGAGCUCAGCAAAGGGUUUUUUCACCUUCUUCUCUCUCUCUCUCUAGGGUUUCUCUCUCUACUUCGAAUUCGUCGAUUUUGCUCAUUUUCGUCGCCGCGCUUGUUCUUCGCUGUUUGCGAGCGUCGCAGAGCUUUCGUGGACGCGUGGGAGAGUAUUUUGGAAGGUUCUUUGCAACUCUGGACCAGUGAAGUGCUGGUUGGAAGCUCGAGAAGGUAAACGACUCGAUUUUCUCCAUUAUCAACGUUCUAGUAGUCGUUUACGGGUUGCUUUUGAGUUAUUGCUUCUAGUUGCUUUAAUCUGAGAUUUCAGCAAUUAAAGUUGGAUUAUUUAGCUGUGAAUUGAGCUCCUUAGACUAGGGAUAAGCUUCUUUGAAGGUUAAUUAGGAUAAUUAGCCAUUUAUGAAGCUAUUUCGGACUAUACACGGUUUAUGCGAUCGAAUUGAUGCAGUUUUGUACGUUGACUUCGCAGCAGGUCUUCGAGCCUCGUUGAGCUGAACGUGUACUCGUUGAAGCUGGUUUGGAAGUUGUUCUACCCUAAGGUAAGUAAGAAUUUCAGUUAGGAAGCCGAAAUUGCAAGAUUCCGACCAUAAUUGCUAUUAUAUGAUGAGUUUGAUGCCGUUUCGAUUUUGUUCGUAGCGUGAAUGCGAUCGAGCCUUGGAUCAUCGUUAGUUGACUUGUGAGAGCUCUUGGAGACUUAUUUUGAGGUAUUACACUAGUCCCAAAGCAGGGAUUUAAGGGGUUACUUUGUACUAAGUGUAAUUUAGGCCGAAAUCGGAUAUUCCGGUCGUUAUUUUGACGCGAUGUUGAUGUUUGUGUUCAGCAGGAUUGAGACCUAGUGGAGCUGAUCCUUGGGACUCCUUGGACUGAUUUGGAGCCUAGUACUAGGUGGGUUUGACCUAACCAGAGCAAGUGAAGCUCCCCUAUGUUCUAUAUGUAUUAUAGAAGUGGCCUAGUUAUAUGCUUAUGUGAUUGUUAAAGGGCUCGGAAUUCGCCAUCAUGACGUUUUGCAUAUUUGAAAUAGAGCGAGAGAAGCGUUCAUGCAUAAAAGUAUUCUUGUUUAGUUCAGUAGAACAACCAAGAGAUAAGUUUAUUAUGUUUCUAUGAUAUAGAGAACAUAUAUACAUGAACGUAUUUAUAUUUCUAUUCAAUUCAGUUGAAUGACUUAUGAACAAGUGUAGGAUGCACUUAUAAAGUAGAGAACAAUGACAUUCUCUUGACUCUAAAGUAGAGAACUAUAACAUGCUUAUGACCAUGUUGAUAGUGCCAUAAUAGUGGAAAGAUUAUAAUGCCAUGUGAUUUAGCAUUACUCUUACAUGUUUACAAUCUAGUAGAUACUAGUUCUUGUUACUCUUUGUGUAUUGAAAUUCCGAUCAGAGAAUCGAUGGUAAGAACAUUGCAAAUGAAAACAUGAUAAUUGAGACAUGUGGACAGUGGAAUAUGCUUGCUUGCCAUCGUGCUCAUUCGCACACGCUUGUGAGGGUCGCUCCCUACAAGCCGGCACUCCGGAGUUGGCCUACGCGACAGUUGCUCGCCCGUGCGGGAUUGGGUGCCGAAGUGGAUUGCCGUGGGGAGUGUAUACUACCACGGGGCCAUUAGGCGCGGCGCAAGCUGGACUACCUUGGGUAGGUCCCUAUGAAUGAAAAGAUAGUACUUAAUGAAAAAGGACGGCAAUGAAUGCUUAUUAAUUAAAGUGUACAGUAGUCACUUUCACGUUUGUGCUUAGAUUCAUGUCUAUGUUCAUGAUUACAGAAAUUGCCAUAUCCCUAUUAUGCAAAUGAUUCAUUACUGUAGAAUGCUAUUACAUGUUGAUUACAUGCUCAUUACUUGUUAGCAUCAUGCUUAUAAAUCAUGCAAUUAUCGUUUUUGCUUUCAUUUAGUACAUCAUGAGCCUAGUGGUGUAAUUCGCCGAGGCUGGCGGCUUACCCACUGGGAACUAUUGUUUAUAGUUCUCACGCCCUUUUGGUGGUUGUUUUUACAGAGCCAUCUGCAGGAGAGGCUAGGGAUCGUGGCAAGGGAGUCGCGUCUAGCUAGACUUUGCUAGGAGCGUGCUAGUCGAUCACCUUGCUACUCGGGCUACGGCCGAGGGUGAUGUCCUUUGUAUAGAGAGACCACCAUUGUACCUAUUUUUGUAUACUCCGUGGUGUAUAUUUACUGUUGAUCCCGAUGUUUCUGUUGUGAUACUUGCUCUUUAGUCGAGAUUUUGGGAUUGUACACUUUUUGUUCUUUUGUUGAUAUAUAUCGACUUGUACAUUGCUCUGAUAUCAGGAUAGGACUUUCUUUGUUUUACUUCCUAUCGACUUGCUUUCUUCGUAGACGCCUUAUAUACUGCAGGUGUAUGGCGGGUCUGUACACGUACCGGAUAUGCUUCCGCUGGUACCCGGGCGUGACACAGCAUCUCCCGAAACGCCUCCCAAGUAACAAAAGGGUGCUCUAGCGAGCGACUUUUCUUCGCUUGAUUCCACCACAACCGGGCCGACCCAUCGAGACAAUGAGCCGCAAGAUGAACCUUAUCCUUUUCGAGGGUGUAGAUAUCCUCGAAUAAGGCCUCCAUCGCGGCGAGCCAACUCUCCGUCGUCCACGGGUCCUUCACAUCCCCGGUGAAGGUCGGAGGGUUGAAUCGCUUGAAUGUCGUCAGCGCCGCCAAUGUGCGCUCCUGCUCGGCCUCGAGUACAACGAAAAUAGGUGCCGAUGAACCCGAUGCCGUCGGAGGAAUAGCCGUCACAGGGGCUGCCGCCACCGCAGGAGGUGGUGCUACAGGAGCAGCCGGUGGGGGUGGAUCCCUUGGCACUGAUGCCGCUGCCGCCUGUUGCGCGAUCAUCUCGUGGAGCCGCCCUAUCUGCUCCCCUUGAAGCUGCAUAGCCCCGGCCAAAGCCGCUACUUGGGCUCGCAACUUGCGCAUGUCGUCCGACCCCGACUGCUCGGGCUCCUCCCGAGGCUCCGCCGGUGUGGACCUCGUAACUCUCCUCGGUGGUGCCAUUGCGUCCUGAAAUGCAAUGCACACACAUAUUAGUACUCGAAACACGUGACUCUUACAUGUUCCAAGUAACUACCCAAUUAAGCGAAAGCAACAAGCAUAAUCGUGUCCACUCUCGGCGUCAUGUGGUCGGCCGCCCGACAAAGUUCCUUAAGUAGACAACAAUUAAGACUUCUAGUCCAUCUCUACUUCCUUCUAGAGAAGUGUUACCAUUAACCCAAUCACUUGCUUUCGCAUAAACCAAGUUCACGUUAAACGUUUUCCUAGGUCCUUAUGGUCUCCACACCUAGGGUUCCUAGGUCAUUCCUAGACUUUUGCUUUCAACUUCGCUCUGAUACCAUUAUAUCUGUCACGCCCCAAUCCCCGCCAAUUUGGUCGGGUUCGGGUCACGUCAACAGACACCGAACGGACAGAGCCUUCCCUGUCCGCCCAAGGCUCUAACAACCUGUAUAAAUAAGCAAUCAACAAGAGAUUUGCAUAUAUAAUACAAGGCUUGCACGAGGGCAAGCAACAACGGAAGCGAGAGCUCUAAGCUAAAUAUACAACAUACAUGAUAUUUGAUUAGAUUUAAACCAAAUACAAGUGAUUAAAACGAUUACAUUCCAUUCAUCUAUCAUAUCUUUUCACAUUUAGUUAUCCACCAAGUACAUGAUUGUUUACCACUUUACAUCUCUAAAUCAACAAAAAAAGUUGAUACAUGCAUACCAAAAAGAGAAUGACUACAAAAUGAAUAAGAUCCCGGUGGCCGCUAUCUACGGCGCUAAACCCUUGCCACGGUCCUCCGCCGCCCUUCUCGUGCUAGGACCUGUAGGGUUAGUGGUGUGAGAACUACAACGAAGUCCCCAGUGGGUUCGGCAUCCGACCUCGCCGACUUACCCACUAGGUCUAUCCAGGCAUAAGUAUUUCAAGGAAAGAAAAGUAACCAGUACUAAUGCAUCUAAUACUAUGCCUGCAGAAGAAUGUCAGUAGAUACAUGUACUCGAUUCAAUAAUAGAAAUGCAUGCAUGCUCAAUUCAUGAAUAAACUUUGGCUCUUACCCAAUCUUACCGGUUAACCUUGUUAACCCCAAACACUCACAACCAAAAACCCUUAAUAACGGGGGACUCGAACCUCCCUAGGGACCGUCAACUGAUGGGACUUUACCUCGCCCAGUGGUGACCAACUCCGGAGCGCACCGCUCGAGGGGGAGCGACCUCCCUCAAGCCAAGACGUAAUGUGAGUAUCGAUCCAAUCCUCAACUUGAGGAUUCAUAGCCACUAGUUACAAUACCGAUGUCAUGAUAGGUCUCUACCUAUUCAUUCUUGCCACUCUCAAGGCUAUACCUGUGAUGAUGCCAUAAUUGGUUAAACUAUGUUUAACGGUUCAUCUCGCAAUGCCAAUCUUGUUUCUAUGUCAAUGUCACCUUUAUUUUCUAUUGUCCGAGUCCAAACCUCACAUUCACACACCUGAGGGUCUUACCACACAUGUCCAGUUUUGGUUCAAUCAUUCUCUAUGUUCAACUACGUUAGAAGCAUAUAAUGAAAGCAACCCGAAUUCCACAUGUAUCUACCCUAAUAUGUAUGAAUGGCUAUAAAUAGAUAUAUGCUCAAUAAAAGGGAAAAUAGACAUAGAAGGGAAUCCAACGAUUCCGGCGUGCACCUCCACCUUGUGAGGUAUAGGGAAACUACUCCGAUGAAUCCCACGCUCAACCGAUCGCCACUCGUCAACCUACACCCCAAAAUAGAGCCAAAUUAGGCCCAAUGUACACAAACCAUGCUCUAGCAUUUUCGUUUCGUCAAAUGGAGUUGUCCCACGCAUUUAGAGCACCCCCAAUUUGGUUUCUACGAGGUCAAUUUGUCCUCGAAAAAUCCUAGGGCAAAAGCCCUAAUUUCCAAGCCCUAACAAUGCCAUUUAGGAUUUCCUCGUGGAUUGAUCUCAACACUAAGCAAAUAAUAGCUUAGAAUCCUCUAAGAAGCAUUCUAACAAGGUUUUCAAGCCUUUAGAACCAUCCCUAGGGACCCUACCUCAGCCCCUGUGUGUUCACCAUGAGAGCACCUUGAGCUCUCAUGGGUACUAUGGCAUCCAUGGCUCAAAAGAGCCUCUAAAGCCCCCUAAGAAGCACAAAGCUCCAAUGCCCUAAGCCAAAAUCCAAACCCUAGAGGAAAACCUUGCAAAACUCAUCUCUAGUCCAAGCUCCACCAAGGUUCUUCUUGUUGGAGAGCCCCUAGGACCACCAAAGCACCAAAACCCACCUUUUUCUCCAAGUUCUUUUUCUUCUUCUCCAAGUUCUAGAGGAGUUCUAGAGAGAGAAAGAGGGAAAAUGAGAGAGUUGGAGAGAAAUGGCUGUGGGAAAGAGGGGUUGAGCCAUAUAUAGUGUUGUAACAAUUGCACUUAAGCCCCUCCACUUGUUUCACCUUGAACUGCCCAGACUGGGCAUUUUUCGCCUUCGGGGACCGGUCUCCCCGACCAGGGACCGGUUCCCGAAAGUGGGUUUUCCAGGACUUAGCCGAUUUUUCGGCUUUUUCAGCUGCUGCACGACAGGGGACCGGUCUCUCCUUCAGGGACCGGUCUCCCGAGGACCGGUCUCACCACCAGGGACCGGAUGCCUCAGGGUUUCCUGGCAGGCUGCGCGUACGGGGACCGGUCUCUCCUUUCUGAGACUUAGCCAGAUUUUCAUAUUCUCUCUCUCGGGUCCCUUUUAGCUUCACUUAUGGACUCUAAUGCGCUUAGGGUCCAUUCUAACUCAUUCAACUCCGCGUUCCGCUCGUUUCGACAGAACUCGGCAUGAUCUACGAGGGAUGUGGUAUGUUACACCAGGACAACCUACGGGUGUGCCACCUGCGGCAUGGUCUGGAGAGCAAGUGAGGAUAAGGCAACCGAGGGGUUCGCGGCUGGAGGCAAGUGGCCAUGGAUACGCGGCCCAGGAUGUGGGACCUGCUGCUGACGACGUCGUGGCAGGUAUGAGUUAUUAAUGCAGUUAUGUGUUUCUGCAUGAUGCAAAGUUGGAGCAUUGCAUGCAUUGAGCAUAUAGUUAGUUACUACUAUCUAUGUAGUAGCAUAGUAGGGACCAAGCGGAUGGGUAAGUGUAAAUAUUCGGGCAUGCUUGUGUUGUGAAAGCAUAGCAAGUUGCUAGUGAUGAUCUAAGGAUGAGACUCACAGUAGAGAUGGAAGUGACGAACCAACUCGCAGAGCAAUGCGUAGCUGAUUGCGAGAGUUGCGUCGUGACACUUGUGGACACUUGAAUGGUUCGAGUAUUCCAAAUAUUGCUUCGAUAGAACGGUUUGUUGUCAAAUACGGGCGCGUUGGCCUAGUAGUACCUCGAAUUAAGGUAGGUGAGCCGGGCUCGCGUGGCCGGUGUGCAUAGGCAAAGUUGCCUGAUGCUUGACAUAGUUGGAAUACUAUAGAGGCCAUGUAGAGUGCUCGUGUCACGCCCCAAUCCCCGCCAAUUUGGUCGGGUUCGGGUCACGUCAACAGACGCCGGACGGACAGAGCCUCCCCUGUCCGCCCAAGGCUCUAACAACAUGUAUAAAUAGGCAAUCAACAAGAGAUUUGCAUAUAUAAUACGAGGCUUGCACGAGGGCAUGCAACAACGGAAGCGAAAGCUCUAAACUAAAUAUACAACAUACAAGAUAUUUGAUUGCAUUUGAACCAAAUACAAGUAAAUAAAACGAUUACAUUUUCAUUCACCCAUCAUUUCUUUUACAUUUAGCCAUGCACCAAAAUUACAUGAUUGUUUACAACUUUACAUCUCGAAAUCAACAAAGGAAGUUGAUACAUGUAUACCAAAAGGGAAAUGGCUAUAGAAUAUAUAAAGUCCCGGUGGCCGCUAUCUACGGUGUUAUACCCUUGCCUUGGUCCUCCGCCGCCCCGCUUGUGCUAGGACCUGUAGGGUUAGUGGUGUGAGAACUACAACGAAGUUCCCAGUGGGUUCGGCAUCCGACCUCGCCGACUUACCCACUAGAUCUAUCCAGGCAUAAGUAUUUCAAGGAAAGAAAAGUAACCAUUACUAAUGCAUCUAAUACCAUGCCUGCAGUAGAAUGUCAGUAGAUACAUAUACUCGAUUCAAUAAUAGAAAUGCAUGCAUGCUCAAUUCAUGAAUAAACUUUGGCUCUUACCGAAUCUUACCGGUUAACCUUGUUAACCCCAAACACUCACAACCAAAAAUCCCUUUCUUUACCGGGGAGGCUCCAAGUACUACCGACCCGAGGGACCGUCUUCAGGGACCUUGCUCCCUGUGGUGUCGAUUUUCGGAAACACACCGCUUGAGGAGGAGCGACCUCCCUCAAGCCAAGACUUAUUAUGAGUGUCGAUCAAAUCCCCAAGUUGAGGAUAUUUAGCCACAUGUUACAUUGCCACUUUUGUGAUAGAUUUUUCUACCUAUGUUCUCAUGCCACUUGCUAGUCGAUCUCGUUACAAUGCCACUAUAGUUAAAUCUAUAUUUAACAUUCAUUUAUCCAAGCCAAUCUAUCUCUCUAUUGUCAAUGUCACCAUUUGUUUACUUGUGCUAAGUCCAAGUCCCACUAUCAUGCAAUUCCUAGGGUUCAAUAACACAUGUCCAUCAUGGUUCCAUUUCUCUCUCUUUCAAAUACACGUAGAAUAAACAUAAUGAAAACAACCAAAGUUCACAUGUGAAUUAACCCUAAUAUGCAUGACGGAAUGAAUAACCAUAUGCUCAAGAAUAGAGAAAUAGAUAUAGAAGGGAAUCCAACGAUUCCAGCGUGCACUCCCCACCUCUAGUAAUCGUGUGGGUGAGAAUACGAAACUCCCGAACGCUACGAACGACAAUCCGCGUCUUACAAUCCAAAAGGGUGCCUAAUUAGGCCCUUAUAUACAUGAACUAUUCUUAAAUAUUUUCGUUUCCUCAAACGAAGUUGUCAAACGUGUUUACUUGACCCCCAAUUAGGUUUCUACGGGGUCAAUUUGUCCCCGAAAAAUCCUAGGGCAAAAGCCCCAAUUUUCAAGCCCUAAUAUUGUCAUUUAGGGUUUCCCCAUGAAUCGAUCCCAACCCUAAGCAAAUAAUAGCUUAGAAUCAUCUAAGAACAUCUUAGUAAGGUUUUUAGACCUUUGUGACCAACCCUAGGGCUCCUAACCCAACUUCCAAGGGUUCACCAUGAGAGCACUUUGAGCUCUCAUGGGUACUUUGUUGUUCAUGGCUCAAAAGAGCCUCUAAAACCCCUAAGGAGCACAAAGCUCCAAUUCUCUAAACCAAAACCCAAACCCUAGAGGAAAACCUCACAAAACUUACCUCUAGUCCAAGCUCCACCAAGGUUCUUCUUGUUGGAGAGCUCCUAGAACCUCCAAAGCACCAAAUCCACCUUCUUCUCCAAGUUCUUCUUCUUCUUCUCCAAGCCCUAGAGGGAUUCUAGAGAGAGAAAGUGAGAAAAUGAGAGAGGAGGAGAGGAAUGGCUGUGGGAGAGAGGGGAUGGGCCAUAUAUAGUGUUGUAACAAUUG